RNAcentral lists this long non-coding RNA (89478 nucleotides) under Sorghum bicolor (sorghum). RNAcentral's name for it is "long non-coding RNA (SBIC_LNC005579)". The record is from RNAcentral. Lineage: Eukaryota; Viridiplantae; Streptophyta; Magnoliopsida; Poales; Poaceae.
CAAAGUAAAGCGCGGAAGCAACAACAAGGACAAAACUUAUAUUAAGUAAAGUUUCCACUUAAACAUUUUUAUUAAAUCGUGAAGGAUCACCUUGAUGGUACACUAAGUUUAUUACAACAAGCCAAGAGCGAUAUUAUUUAAUCUAAUUGUGGGUGAAACCGUGAAGAUGUGCCGCUAAUCCCAUCCCUUCAAGCAAAGCAUCCAAACAAAGCACCUGGAAAGAUAGAGGGGUGAGAAUAAAUCUCAGCAAGCAAACUGCCUGAAUAUGUCAUUCAAUCUACAAGUUAAUUAAGCAUCGAUUAAAAGUGGAAGAUAUGACAACAUAAGAAAUUAAUAAUUCAUAGUCAAAUUAUUUAUCAAGUGAUAGCACCAUAAUGCAUGUAGUAAACAUCAUCAUGGUAUUCAAUAAAUAAACUACCUCUUCAAAUAUAAAAAAUGCCUCAUAUCCACAUCCUCAAUGCAAGUAAACCUCAAAGUGCAGAUGCAAUGCAUAUGCAUGUCCACUACCUCCAUACCCAAUAAGGUAUGAAGCUGCAUCGUACCCCUCCUCGGGCAACGUACGAUGCUGUACCGGUACGGUCGCGGCUAGCAAGCGGCGACAUCCACGAAUGCCAUGCAAUGCAAUAUGAUGCAAUGAUAUGAUGCAACUGCAAGAGUAGUUGCCACAUAUGUCGUAUACCUCCACAAUCAAAUAUAUCGCACUUACCUCAUGAAGAAAGAUAAAUACUUACCACACAUGCCAUAUGUUUCCACAAUUAUAAAACAUACCACUUACCUUUCAGAUGACAUAUGAGAUUCAACAAUUAUGAUCACAACAAAUAGUAUUAUAAAGAAUAUGUUAAUUCAUAAUAGGUAGAUCAUCUUAGUUCAGUUAAUGUUAUAACAAAGUGUAUGUAGAACAAACAACAAGUCAGGCUGUAGCAACCACCGCUACGUUUACUUGCCUCAAAACAGCGAUUGAAGAACAUGAGCUUAGAAUGAUCCAAAGGCACACCACCUGUUUAAACAUCAUCACCUCAGAAAAUAAACUCAUUGAAAUAUUCACAGAUGACAAACAAAACACUUCUAUGGCCUGCAACAUCACUCUCCUCAAAACAGCAACCAAACAACCAAUCAACAGCAGCAACCCUACUUUAAAUUUUUAGUGUGGAUAGGUUACAUGUUCAAAAAUUAUGAAAUUUUUAUAGAAGAUAUAAAACUCCAUUAUCUACAACUUUUAUAUAAAUCAAUCUGGCAUAUGAGAUCUAUAAGAUAGCAUAAAUAGCCUCUGAACUUGACUGAACUUUUCUGACGACAAAAACAAGAUAGCAAACUUCUAAAAUUCAUAACUAAAGUUAUGCUUAUCCAAAAAUGAUGGUCUUUAUCAAUAUAGAAAACCAAAUUAAUAUUCUACAACUUUCAUGUUAUAAGCUUUGCAUUUUAAGGACUGAAAAAUGCUCAUAACGAGCCAAGAAUCUCACUACACUUUUUCAGAUAGCAGAACAACAACAGCUGUCUAAAACACACAUAACUGGAGCUAUACUAGUCGAAAAUAUAUGAUAUUUAACAAUCUGGAAAGCUUAUGAAAUUACAAACAAGUUUUAUUUAGAUCAUUCCAUGAGAUUAUGGACGUAUGACAACAUAAAACUGAAUGUAUUUAACUGUGUACAGAUUUCAGACAGCGCAAAUGCAUCAACAAACAACGACCAUAUAUCCUAAACCAUAAGGGCUACAAUGUUGAUAUUUACACCAAAAGAAAGAUAUUGAAGUCUGCUGCUUGAAUAUAUUUUUUUAUGAUUUUUUAGAUACAUAAAAAUAUCCCAAAACAGCACACCAUUUACAACUGCGCAAUCUGAAAAACACAGUAGGGCCUAAUUUCGAGAUUAGAACCCUAACCUGUCAACUAAUCCAAGGGAAUUGACAAACCCUAGCAUCGAUUUCCCACAAAAUAAAAGGGAAAAGAAGGAUCUUACCCCCAAUGAGUUUAGAUGAGGAACGAACACGGCAGCGAUCCACGAGCGAAACCCUAGAUCCUCCCACCUUCUCCCUUCUCUCCUCUCCUUUCUCUUCUCCCCUCUCUUCUUUUCUUUUUCUGAAUAUGAACGGCUAUGGAUGACACCUAAAGGCCUUGGAGGGGGAUAUAAAAGGUCACCAUGGGCACUGUAGCGGCACGCUACAAUACAUCUUUUCUGUUUAUUUGUUUUUCUUAAAACUUCUAAAAUUUAUAUCUCCAUGACCCAAAUUCCAAACAAUGCAUAUGAGCAGUGCAACUGAAAACAUUCGAUGAGCUCUACACAUUUGUGGUCUCUAAUUGUUCAUCCAAGCGACAUAAAAAAAUUAUUUUUUUGCCACUCACUAGAACUCCUAAUUAUGUAUUUACCAUUUUAUGCUUUCUAACAUACAAAACGUAUUUUGGGGUGUUACAAUAUAGGAAAAGUGCCUGCUCUAGUUACCACCAUCAGUCAAGGCAAGUAUCUCCUUGCAGAGAUAAUUUAAGUAACCGUGCAUUGGAACGAAGGCAAACUUUGAUCUAUGUGUGACAAGCUAGAAUCAAUUGAAUAAUAUUGUUUCUGCUUCGAGCAACAGACCAAGAUAUAUGCCGCCCUAUAUAUAUACUGGUAUGGAGUACCAACUUGUGCACAUUUAGAAUCAAUCUAAUACCAACAGAAUCUUGUUUAAAAAAAUCACCAACAGAAUCAAGCUAGGUGUGCACAAAAAUUCAUCUAAUUUUGGACCUGAUAACUAUAAGACCCUCUUAGAAAGAAGAACAUACAUCACAUAUAUACACCUAGCAGCCAUGUCUUCCCUCUAAUAUAUAUGCAAAAAACUAAAUUAAUACUUCAACCAUAGUUGCAUAACUUGCAGUAUGAAGUAAUCAGAGAUGUACCACCAUUCUAACUCUACACCUAUUUAAAGAUGCAUUUUUUUACAACAAACAAUUGAUAGAAUUUGCUAUAGGAAAUCUCUUCUGUACACAGAACUCUAAACUCAUCCAAGAUUCAGAGCUUCGUUCUUCUGGACAGUCAUGUCCCUAAUAUACAUUCAUGGUACAAGAACACUUAGCAAGUUUGGAUCCUCCCUCCUUGAAUCCAUCGGUCAAUUCAAUUCUGGCUAAUGUAUGUUGCACUAUUGGUCCAACUCUUAGGCCCUGUUUGGUUCCACCAACUAAAUUUUAGCUAGCUAAACUUUAGUCACUUUAGUAGCUAAAGUUCCAAACACAUUGACUAAAAGGAGUUAAAAUAGUUUAGUUCUAUUAGUCAUCCAAGAGUAGCUAAAAUAAUUUUAGCUAGCUAAAAUUUAGCAUGGGGAACCAAACAGGCCCUUACUCUAACGAAAUGGUUCAAGCAAAUAGUCAUUUUACUCCCAGGCCAAACCACAAGGCAUGAGUGAAACUAAAGGGAGUUCAGAGAUAUCAAGCAGGAAGUUAAUGAUCAGAACACCAUAACAUAGAGUUAGAUCUAAUAAGAAACACAAGCAUCUAUCUGCAAGCCUGUAUGACACUUACAUUGGAAUCUAAAAAAAGAAUUUAGGUCUCACUAGAACUGCAUGAGACCAAACUCUGGGAUUAAAUUUGUUUAUUAUGGUGAUUAUUCUACGUUGUCCAUAAUAAAGGAGACACAUGAGCGAUAUGCCGAUAUGCUCUUCUUCGGAAAUGAAAAGGUUUUCUCAAACACAUCAGUUUUCAAACUUUAAAGAAGGGAUCAUUAUUUGUUUUGAUGUUUUUGUUUAGAUGCAAGGCAAGGGAGAAAAAACAACAGAUUUUGUGCAUCCUUUGAAAAAAGAAAAUUCAAAUCAAAACACUGAACAUGGGGGAAUAAAUACUUCUACGCUUAUGAGAUCAAGGUCAGAUUAGGCACAGAGCAAAGAAAAACUGAAAUAUGAAAAAGGGAAGGAAAGGAAAAGAAACCUGAUACAUAAGUGAUGAAGAAGCUAUGUACAAAUUCCCUAGAAACAGAACGAUAAUUGAAGCUCAUAAGUCCGGUUUAGAAUAAGAAACAUGCAGAUAUUUGUGAUAUUAUUCAAAAUCUAAUCAGCAACUGAAAAUGUAGCCAGAGCAUACCAAUUCAGUGGUCUGUGUCCAUACCAAUCAACAGAUCAAACAUUCAGAACUACUCUACAUAUCAGCAAACUGUCUUACUGCCUGUAUCAGUGUAUCAUGCAAUUCAUUGAUGCUAUCUGUCAACAAAAUGUCAAUCGAUAAGUUAGAGAUCAGACUCUCGGAGGAGGCUUACCCAAUCAAGUAGAGACAGUGAGGAGGCGAGAUUGCAGACCGACAACACAUGUGGUUUCCUGAUCGAUGGCGGGUGCAUGAUCGAUCGACGGUGGUGGCUAUCGUUGACUGGCCUCUACGCCUGUUUGAUUCUUCGUGCGGGGGGCAGCGCUGAUCGAUCGACGGCGGUGUCUGUCGUUCCUCGGCCUCCGCCCCUGGUUGAUUCUCCGAAUCUCCGUGCAGGGGGCGGCGGGAGUUUCCGGCAGUUAGGGGAGAUGGGUGUUAGCGGUACGGUGGUGACUGCCGGCGGGGGAGGGGCGGCGAAGCGGCGGGGUUAGGGCGGGAAGGCGGACGGGGGCGUGUGGGGCUGGGGCCGAGUCGGGUUUUUUUUUUUGGGUUAAUUAACUGUAGAUCAUACCCACGCAUUGCCGCAUCUCCGCCCGCGGCAAAGCGCCGCUGCUCUCCCACGCCUCUCUGACCACCUCCGCCCGCAGCUCCGCCCUGCGCCGGCGCCUCUCCGGCCACCUCCACCCGCGGCCCCGCGCCGCUGCUCUCCUGCCCACUCACGCCGGCCGCCUCCGCCCGCAGCACAGCGCCGGUGCUCUCCUGCCCGCCCGCCCGCUCCUGACCAGGGCCCCACGCCGGAGCUCUCCGCCUGCCCGCGCCGGUGCUCGACCGUGCGUGCGCGCGCGAGAGAGAGAGAGACGGCGCUCGCCGCUUACUCGUUCUGGGGGAAUAUUGGAGAAAGGGGAGCGGGUCCAUCCCUCUCCCUCAACCAAACGGAACCGCUCCGUCCCGUUUCCCCUCGCCCUCGCCCCCUUCGACCAAAGUCACCAAACGCAUCGUAAACCAGCUCCUCGACUCGAGCUCGAGCUCAACUCGGCGGAGAUCUCCGGCGAGGCGCCGGACGCCGGCGAUGGCACCGGGGGCCGACGAAGCACUGUACGAGAUCCACCGGCACGCGUCAGGAUCCCACGUGAUCCCUCAUGUGAGUGCCCGGCCCCUCCAUCUCUCCUCAUUCUCCCAUGCUUCCUCCCGCCUCGUAAUCCAAUCGCGGGCGGGUUGUGCGUGGGAGAGAUGCGAAGCGGGUCAUCGUAGAUUCGCGCUCUUCAACACUAUUUUCUUGAUGUCUUUUUUCCGAAUUCUAUUUUCUGGUGAGAGUGUCGCCAGAGUUCAUAGCAAUAGCUCACAAGGAUUUUUCGUUUUAGCCUGUCUAUCGUUCUAUGUGUGUGUGUGUGUUUUAAUUUCGUGCAACGUUGCUGCAAGGGUGUUCAUUUUGCUAAGUUUUUUUUGUAGUAUUUUGGAAGCUAAAUAGCUGUGAAAUCUUGAUGGUUAUCUUCAUUGCUAUGUAAUUUUUGCAAACACAGGAAGAAGAAUACCAAGGUGCUGCGACAAGUAGUGGUAGCUCAGAUGCUGGAGGAGGAGGCGUCCUCUCCUAUCUCUCCUUGCAAGGUACAAUUCCAUCACUUAGAAUUCUUAACAAAUUCAUCCAUACAGGAUGCGGCGCUGACCAGUUGCUUCUUCAUGCUACCACCAUCCACCCUUGAAGGUGUGAGCAAACUUAAGGAAAGGUGGGCUAGGUACAGUGUGCUGGGGAAGAGUAGGCAGAGGAAGAGGGGUGAUGGCGUGGCACUGUUCGUCUCACCAAACGCGGAAUAUGUGUCUGUAACUGUUGGGAAUCGCAUCAUCAUCUUGAGGAAAGGUGAUGGCUAUGCAUCACCUUGCGGUGUUUACACAAGUGAGUGAGUGCCCUGCUUGUUCCUGCAUCACUUUGGUUCUUAUAGUGUUAUUCACUGAUGUUGACUAUUAUGUGUAUUAUUAUGCCUGAAUGAACAUUGCCUCUCAAUUCUCAUGCGUAGAGAGUAUUAAGUUAUAUUUAUUGGAAUGAGUAAACCACAUAUUAUUUGAACUUUGAAGUCCUUUCAGAAAUGUGGCAUCUGAGAUCAUCAUAAUUUGCAUUGAAUAAACAAAAAAUGUUGUUUGUGGAAGAUAUCUUUAUUUGGUCAUGACAAUAGCAUUUCUGGCGUGUAAUUUUAAUAUGCACUGCUGACACAGAAGUAUUGUUGUGACUCUAGUUUCCUAGCUUGCUGCUCCCUUUGUCUGGGAAAGAAUACGAGAGUCAAACCAUUUUGAGUUUGGCCAAGUUUAUUAUUAUAAAAAAUAUCUAUAUUUAUAAUACCAAAUAAGUGUCAUUUGAAUGAAAUAUAUUGUUAAUAUACAUAUUUUGUGUUGUAAAGAUUGAUACUUUUUCUAUAAUCUUGGUCAAACUUUAGAAAGUUUGACUAAUGAUAGAGGUAGAAUUGCAUGUUUUCCCAGACGUAUGUAGUACUUCACAUAUAAAUUGUCUAUGUUAAAGUCUCCAAUUUUAUUUAUCGAAAUGUGGAGGAUUUGGGUGCAGGAUGCCAUUUCCAUGCUUCAAAGAAAAGUUGAACUGAUUAUUGGAAGGAUUUCAGUCCAUGCAUCAUUUGUUACCAUUUGCAUCAAGCAUACAUUUUUCACUGCUCAUUAUGUUUUCGUUCCUUAAGGAGACCAAUUAAAAAUUUUGGGAGAUUAGGUGCCAGUUUUUGUUUAUUUUGGCAGAAAUAUUGCACUAUGCGUUUUGCUACAAUCCCUAGACAGUAGUAUCUGCAUAUUUCCAUUUUAUUUAGUUGCUUAAAAAUGGUUUUAUAAUAUGGAACAUAGUUUCAUGUGCAUUUUCUGCAGUAGAUGUCUGGGGGCAUAUUUUUUUUCCUGAUUAUACACUGUAUUCUAAUUAUUUGUGGUCAGGUAAUGACAGAAUAACAUUUUUCACAAAUGGGGCUUGGCUGGAGGCUCAAGGCAUUUUUGGUGUGGUGGAUGACCUAAGCACACUUUACUUGAUCAAAGAAAAUGGGGAGUUAUUAGCAAGGAGGACAUGCGAUCAGUUGAAGCUAUCUUCUUCCAUUAUUGAUCUGGUUUUGCAGGAUGGUUCAAGCUUGCUUAGGUGAUUCUCAGUUGUUUUCAGUUGGGAGCUUUCCCCUUAAAUUAUGUAUGACAUCAUUUCAUGGGAUAAUUUGGCAGUAACUAAUAAAUUCCAUUACUAUUUGUAGGCCAGGUUUCUACAUUUUUACAAGUGACUGCUUGGUUCAUAGAUUUGAUUACACUGAAGAACCUGAGGCCAGUCUAUGCGAAGUUCCCAUAUCAACUAAAGAUGUGAUGUCAGCUAAGACUAUCCAGUUACCUCGAAGUUUAUCGUGCAUUGAUUACCAUCAACGUCACUCACUAUUUGUCCUAGUUGGAGAUUCCAAUGUUUCAUUUAGCUCCAAUAGUUAUUCUGGUAUGCUCAUUCACUAGCCUGUUCUCAACUGCUACACUUGUCAAUCUGCACUAUACAGCUUGUUCAUGAAAUUCAAAUGGUGCUGUUUCUAAUCUUCUUUAUUAUCAUAUUUUAGGAACCUAUUUUAUGUAUCUAUUACACGUCAACAAAAAACUGGAACUUAGUCUUUCAUUUCAAAGCCUGCAGUUGGAAGGGGUAUUUUCCCCCCUAAAGGAUCAAAGAACCUUUGUUUCAUCCCCGAAAAUCAGGAUCUCGCCUCAGGGAAAGUAUAUUGCUACGUUGGAUUUGACUGGUUUUGUAAACUUCUUUUCACUUGAUGGUGACACGCGCACUGUUUCACUUCAUACUCUUGGAAAUGGUAGAUGCCUAAUUGAUGUUAAGGACAUCAGUUGGUGGACAGAUAAUGUUCUCAUGUUGGUCAGAAAAGAUGGUAGCAUUAGCAUGUACAGCAUCACUGAAGACAAGAUAGUUUCCAAAGAUGAUCCAGUUUUAUCUACACCAGUAUUGGAGAAGGCAAAGGCUACUGAAGGACAUACUUUUGUUUUGCAAUCUAAGAGAUAUGGAACAAACACUCCAGUUAAUAAGCAGAUGGAUAAUGACUCGGAACAUAGACUGCUCAGUGGUUCUGGGGAGCACCAACAAACAGAAAUGGCUGAAAUGUCCUGGAGUCUGAUAUCAUUCUCCAAAGUUACAGUAGCAGAAAUGUACUCCGUUCUGAUAAGAGAGAAACGAUACAAGGAGGCUUUAGAUUUUGCUUCAAGAUAUAAUCUAGAUAAGGAUGAAGUUCUUAAAGCAUGCUGGUUGCACUCUGAUGGCGAUACUCAUGAGAUAGACUUGUACUUAGCAAAAAUUAAAGACCAAGUAUUUGUAUUAUCAGAAUGUGUAAACAAAGUUGGGCCUACAGAAGCAGCUUUAAGGGCUCUACUUUCUUUUGGACUUUGUAUAACUGAAGAUUACAAAUUUUCUGAGUUGGAUAACAGCAGUAAAGGUUCAACAUGGGACAGUCGCAUCAUUAGGCUUCGUUUAUUGCGGCACAGAGACAUGUUAGAGACAUUCUUGGGAAUUAAUAUGGGAAGGUAUGCCUUGCUAUUCUUUCUCUAGAUAAGAAAGCACAAGCAGGAAAUUGUUAAUUUCUUGGAAGCAUUUACAACUAUUUUACAGUUGUUGAGUCACAUUAAUCCUACACACAAAUUAACACAAUUCUUACGUGCAUAGAGCAUAUCUGAGGCACAGUUCAUCACUCAAGGUACUAUAGAGGUUUCUGCACUGAUAUACUCCCCUUAGUAAUUUGGUUUAUAACUGAAAUGAGCUUAACCCAAUGGCAACCUGAUCUUCUUAGUCAAAGGAAUGUUUCUUGACUUGUUUCCAUUUUAUUGUUAACUUAACAUUGCCAAGAUUACAUGUUGGCUUGUUUUUCAUUUGUCUAACCUAUUUGCUCAUUCCAGUUUUUAAAAUCACUUUCCUCUUUUUCUGCACUGUAUGAUGAUGUUAGCUUUCUUAGAAAAAUAUAUUGCAAAGUUGAUUGCAUGCACAUGUGGUGCAUGUGCAACUUGCUGCUUUAUAUUGGAGUUUGCUUGCUUGCUGCUUACUUUCUUUAUGCUAAAUGCAAUGGUCUUGUUAUGCAGGUACGCAGCAGGAGAAUAUAGCAAAUUCCGUUCAAUGCCAUUGGUGGAAACAGCCAUAGCAUUAGCCGAAAGUGGCAAAAUUGGGGCUUUAAAUCUUAUAUUCAAGCGUCAUCCAUAUACUAUCUCUUCAGAUAUUUUACGUGUUUUGUCUGCUAUCCCAGAAACUCUUGCUGUUCAGACUUAUAGUCAGUUGCUACCAGGGAAAUCCCCUCCCAGUGUUGUCAUAUUGAGAGAUGGUGAUUGGGUUGAAUGUGAACAGAUGGCUUCAUAUAUAAACAAUUGCCCUGCUGAGUUGGACAAGAUUGGAGAGAUCAAAACCGAAAUACUUGUAAAGCACUCAAAAGGCUUUUCAUGGCCUUCAGUUGCUGAACUUUGUGAGUGGUACAGGAACAGAGCAAGGGACAUUGACUGCUUAAGUGGACAGCUUGAAAACUGUCUGGCCAUAAUAGAGCUUGCAUGUCAGAAGGGCAUCGUAGAGUUGCAGCCAUUCUUUGAUGAUAUUAAAUGCCUCUACCAGGUUGUAUAUUCUAAUGAGUUGAAUGAGUUUACAAUGAAUCUUUUGACAUGGGAAGAUCUGCCUGAUUAUGAAAAGUUCAAAAUCAUCCUCAGAGGAGUCAAAGAAGAUACAGUUGUUCAACGGCUAGAAGAAAAUGCUAUCCCUUUUAUGAAGAAGGGAUUAUGCUCAACCUCCUCAAAUAAUGUGUGCAAACAAGCAUCCUACCUGGUUAGAUGGCUGAAAGAGGUAGCUGCUGAAAAUGAGCUUUUGAUUUGCUUAGCUGUCAUUGAAAAUGGUUGUGGGGAGUCACCAAUAUAUGGGCUCUUCAAGGAUCUUGCUGAGAUGAUAGAAACAGCUAUUCACUGCAUUUAUAUGUGCAGUGCAACUAACCAGUGGAAUACCAUGUCAUCAAUAUUAUCAAAGUUACUCUAUAAAACAAAGAGAGAGAAAUCUUUAGUGGCUAGUGAAGAAGACUGUAAUCUGAAAGAUGCUAAGCAUGCUCUUGGUUCUUCUGUGGUUUCUUAUGAGGAGAUGCAAUGUGUCUGUGCUGAUAUCUUAUCUGGUCUGGGCAAUGCUCCAGAAGAUUUUCAUCACUACGAACCUAAUAAUGUCAAAUAUCUUGAUAUAUUGGAGAAGAGGCUAAAAGUUGCUGAAGGCCAUGUAGAAGUAGGACGGCUCUUUGCUUAUUAUCAGGUAUUGAUGCCUCUUCAAUAAAAUUCCUGCUUCUAUGUUUCUUUGGUGUUUUUGACAUGUUGGAUUGUAGUAAAUCUACUUGGACUUCUUUAGCAGUGCUGCUCUGUAUAGGGAUACCUCAUACCUGUGAGCAUAUGUGAUGUGAGGGGGGGAAAAAAGAAAAAAUUAUCACAUGCUUUUCCGUUUGUGCUGCAAAACAUUGUCUAUCUGCAAGAUCAAACCGAACCAAAGUUAGGGCUUCCACCUCUUAAUUCACAGAACCACUGCUUGACAGAACAAUUGUCACUCUCAGAACCCCUUUGUUGUGUUUUAAUUCUAUGCCACUGAACCUUUCAUGCUGCCAAACAGAAUUUAAAGAUCUUUCAUUUUUUCAGCGAAUAGUUACCCUUUAUUUAAUCAGUUUAUAAGAAGCUUGAAGUAUUAGAACCUUGAAUUUUUUAUCGGAAAGGAACAUGACCUUCAAUGAUUUCAAGCUGUUCACAAGAUUGAAGGAGAGUGCUUUGUAGCCAUAGUUCUUUUCUUUCCUUUGGUGGGCUUGGCAGCACUGGUAAGUGGCGAUAAGAGUGCACUGUGGGAGAUGGUGGAUUGAUUGGAAUCGGUGAACAUGUAAGGCAGAUGCUGUUUGUGAAUAAGUUAUAGCAUUGUUCAUGCAUUUUCAUUCUUUUGCAUAUUCAUUUGCACUGAUAUACUCCCCUUAGUAAUUUGGCAUAGCGUUCCACUUAUAACUUAAAUGAGCUUGCUAGCAGUUAUACCUUCAAUUUUUCGUGGAUUAUUUACUUGUUUGCCAAUGUUUUUCACUGUCAGUGCAUCUCAUAGCUGAAUGUGGUUACAGGUCCCAAAACCAAUGCAUUUCUUCCUUAGUGCUCACUUAGACGAGAAGAAUGUAAAGCAAAUUAUACGGCUGCUUCUAUCGAAAUUUGGCAGACGUCAACCUGUUCGAUCAGACAAUGAGUGGGCUAACAUGUGGCGUGAUUUGAAACUCUUCCAAGAAAAGGCAUUUCCUUUUCUUGAUUCAGAAUAUAUGCUGGCAGAAUUUAUUAGAGGGCUUUUGAAAGCUGGUAAAUUUUCACUAGCUAGGAAUUAUCUUGGAGGAACCAGUGCUGUUUCUUUAUCUACAGAGAAGGCUGAAAAUCUUGUGAUACAAGCUGCAAGGGAGUAUUUCUUCUCGGCUUCAACUUUGUCUGGGAAUGAAGUGAGUUAAUGUUACAAAAUUUUUUCCAUCCAAUUAUUGAUCUGCCAUUUCAUUUCUGAUUAAUGCUAACUUGGAUUCCUUUGUAGAUUUGGAAGGCCAGGGAAUGCCUAAAUCUGUUGCCUAAUAGCAAAAAUGUUCAAGCAGAAACUGAUAUAAUUGAUGCUCUUACUGUUAGACUUCCUUAUCUAGGGGUGACUAUCCUUCCUGUUCAGUUCAGGCAGGUAAAGGAUCCUAUGGAGAUCAUCCGCAUGGUGAUAACAAGUCAAACAGGUGCAUACCUUCAUUUUGAAGAGAUUAUUGAUGUUGCUAAACUUCUGGGAUUAAGAAGUGAAGAGGAAGUAGCGGAUGUGGAGGAGGCUAUUGCCAGAGAAGCUGUGGUAAAUGGUGAUGUUCAACUUGCCCUUGAUAUCUGUUUAAAUUUAACAAAAAAGAGUCAUGGUGCAGUGUGGGAUUUAUGUGCGGCAAUUGCUAGAGGCCCUCCACUUGACAAUUUGGAUACUGGUACCCGUGAAAAGCUAUUGGGUUUCGCUCUCAUCCAUUGUGACGAAGAUUCUGUUGGGGAAUUGCUUAAUGCUUGGAAGGAGCUUCAUGCUCAUGGUAAAUUUGAGAAAUUAAUGAUUACAACCGCAACAAAUCCUCCCAAUUUCUUGAUUGAUGGAUCUUCAAUCACACCACUUCCUGUACAAAGUGUGCAAGACAUACUUGACCUGAGAGAUGACAGUGGCCAUGAUAGAAAUAGAGAUCUUGUGGAAAUUGUUAAAGACAUGCUGUCAAAAGUUUGCUUGGACUUUUCAAAUGGCGACACACAUAAUUGGGAGUCUAUAUUGGAAGAAAACCGGAAAUUGUUGUUGUUCGGAGCACUGGAAUUACCAUGGCUUUUGAAAUUGUUCAAUAAUGAAGUGUGUGAUGGUGAAAUAAGGGAUCAUCCCGCUAGGAGAUGUCGAUUUUCAACAAAAGUUGAAGCAGCAAUCAGCAUCAUAUAUUGGUUAGCUGUAAAUGGUUUGGCCCCCAACGAUAAUAUAAUCAUGAUUCUUGCAAAGUCUAUAAUGGAGCCUCCCGUUGAUGAAGAGUUUGAUGUACUUGGCUGCUCGGUUCUUUUGAAUCUAAUGGACCCUUUCAAUGGAGUGAAAAUAAUAGAGGAAGAGCUAAAAAGACGAGAAUGUUAUCAAGAAAUUAGCAGCAUAAUGAGUAUAGGAAUGUUAUAUAGUUCCCUCAAUAAUUCUAAGAAAGAGUGCUCCACUCCUGAGCAGAGGAGAAAUCUGUUGCUUUACAAAUUUCAUGAGAAGUUCACCUCAGCCGAUACGGGUAGGUGUACUAAAAUUAACAAGUCAUCAAUAUGGUCACUAUUUUACCUUUGAAUAUUCUGCUGAGCUCAAUACUUCUGCUGGGCUUUAUAUGAAUUGUUUUUGUGCUAAUAUAUACCAUAUUCAUUUUGUUUCUACCAACUUUGACAGAUGAUUUAGACCAGAUUGAUAUGGCAAAUACAACCUUCUGGAGAGAAUGGAAAUCAAAGUUAGAAGAGGAGAAACAACUGGCUGAUCAAGCGCGGAUGCUCAAGCAGAUAUUACCUGAUAUAGACACAUCUCGAUUCUUGUCUGGUGAUGUUAAUUAUAUCAAAAGAGUAGUUUACUCCUUUGUUGGUUCUGUAAAGCUGGAGAAAAAACACAUACUCAAGGAAGCAGUGAGGAUAGCUGAGACAUAUGGCUUGCAACGAACUGAGGUCUCUCUCACACAUCUGAUCUUAUAUUUUUGUUUUCUUUAGAUGUAAAUUUCUCAUCUGCAGUUUUGUCUCCUGAUGUUUUACAAUCUCAUAUUGUUGCUUGGAUUUUUAGGUGCUUUUACGAUUUCUUGCCUGCAGUCUUGUGUCUGAAUACUGGGAUAACAAUGAUAUUCUGAACGAAAUUUCUGAAUUCCGGGAGGACAUUGUCAGAUCAGCUAAGGGUGUGAUCGAUAUGAUAUAUUCUGAUGUCUAUCCGGAGAUAGAUGGGUAUAAUAAACAGCGCCUUUCUUACAUUUAUGGCAUUCUUUCAGCAUGCCAUUCAUAUCUGAAGAGGACCAAUGAGAUAGAAUUGAGAUACCCAGAGCAUGUGCAUACCCAUAAGCUUGAACCAUUUGAGUAUUAUAAGGUACUUGAGGAAGAGUGCAAGAAAGUCUGCUUCAUUGAUGGCUUGAACUAUAAAAACAUUGCUGGACUGGAUAAUCUGAACUUUGAGCAUUUCAAUGAAGAAGUAUGCAAGAAUAUCCAUGCCUCUACCGUUACUGCCCUAGCCGAUAUGGUACAAUCUCUUGUGAGUAUGUAUGUUGAUGUACAGGCCAAGGGACUCAUAUCACAACAAGGUGUUUACAAGCACUAUGUUCUGGGGUUGCUGGCAUCAUUAGAAGGCCGCAGUGAAGCACAAUCGAAUUGCACAGAUUAUGAAAAGUUGCAGGCUGCCCUAUGCGAAGUUGAAUUGAACUAUGAUAGUUGCAGGGAGUACAUCCAAGCUCUUCCAGCCACAGAUAUUUCAUAUAUUGUAGGAAGGUAUUGCACCCUCUGCUUUCCAUCUAACUUAGCACGAAGCCUUCCACAGGAACCUUCGUGGAGGAAACCUCUUGCAACGCUACUAGCAUUUUGGUCUAAACUUGUUGAUGACAUACCGGGGGAUUCAAUUGAUGCUCGCUCAUAUGAAAGAACAGACUACUUAAAUUCAAAUAGGUUAUCUCUGUGCAUAGGAGCUUUCAGGCAGCUGUUGAUAAAUGAUGAGAUAGCACUGCACCAAGGUUGGGAUGCCAUCUCCAUGUAUGUAAAAGAUUGCCUUAGAAGUGGAAUGAUGAUGGAAACAUCAUGUUUUUGUAGAGCUAUGAUUCUAUCAGGCUGUAGUUUUGAAUCUGUAGUUGAAGUAUACUAUGGAGGACAAGGACAAUUAGGGAGUGAGAAUGCAGAUCCAAGCAAUUAUUUGGAUCUCUUAGAACUUUAUAAUGCUGCUACAGAAGAGUGUUUGUCAGAUUUGAGUGAGGAAUCUUGUGAAUAUCGAAUAUUGCUUCAUCAUUUGCUGUCAUCUUUGAGCCGGUCAACAGGAAAACAUGCUGGUACUCUAGAAAUGAUCAGAUCUGGUGUUUGGGGGAAGUUAAUCCGCUUUUCGGAAGACAUGCAGCUAGAGAGCCAAUUACGAGUCUAUGCGCUACAGCUGAUGCAAUGUAUCACAGGAAGAAACCUUAAAACUCUUCCAAAUGAGAUGGUGUGCCAGGUUGAGCCAUGGGAAUCAUGGUAUGAGCAUGGAGCAGGUGCUGCCAUGGCUGAUGAGAGUAUCAACUCCUCUAGCAGCAUCACAGGGACUCUUGUGGCACUUAGAUCUACUCAGAUGGUCACUGCAGUUCUGCCUGAUGCUAAUAUCACUCCAGAAAACCUAGCAACUCUUGAUUCUGCAGUAUCUUGUUUUUUAAACUUUUUAGAACAUGCUUCUGCUGCGAACGUUGCUGUUCUGGAAGCAGUGUUAGAAGAGUGGGAGCAACUCUUCUUCCCCAAAGAAGAGCAUGUUGUGCCUCAUGAAUCACCAAAAGAAACAAGUGACUGGAGUGAUGGAUGGGAUGAUGGCUGGGAGGCCCUACCGGAAGAGCUGGAGAGUCCAAAGAAUAAACAAGAGGGUGUGUCGUUAUCUGUCCAUCCCCUCCACAGUUGUUGGAUGGAGGUUAUCAGAAAACGUGUUGAGCUUGGUGAGCUGCACAAGGUCGUUGAACUUCUGGACCGAGCAUCUGCGAAACAUAGCGUGUUCCUAGAGGAAGAAGAAGCACACAGCUUGGUUGAGCUUGUAUCUGCUCUGGACUGCUUCAUGGCUCUUAAAACUGUGCUGCUACUCCCAUAUGAAGCUCUGAGACUGCAGUGCCUGCAGAUGGUGGAGGCGAAAAUGAGGGAAGGAAUCGUGUCCACCUCAUCAAAUGCUGAUGAUCAUGAGCUCCUUGCCUUGGUUCUUUCCUCUGAAACUAUGCAGAAGAUCACCAUAGAAGAGGCGUACUCCAAAUUUUUCUCUUACAUAUGCCAUCUUGUCGGGCACCUUGCAAGGUCAUUCCAGACUGCUCUCCUCGUACAAUGGAACGAUGAAGCAACAUCUAAGAUCAACAGAUCUUUACUGUUCGGUAGAGUUUUGUUUCCAUGUUUUGUAUCUGAACUGGUCCUCAGAGGGCAGUAUCUUCUGGCUGGGUUCGUCAUCUCGAGAUGGAUGCACACACAUCCAUCCCUGGGCCUGAUGGAUAUCACUGAGACCAGUGUGCGACGCUUCCUUCAAGGCCAGGUUGCCCAAGCUGAGCUGGUGGGAGGAAGCGAUGCUGCUUUCACUGACGGUGAAGUUUGUGUAAGGCACACAAUCUCCAACCUACAGUCGAAACUUGUUUCUCUUCUGCAAUCCGCAUUGGCAGCCCUCCCGAACCAGGAGUUGUAAGCAGCAUUAGUUUUGUGUACAUUUAUUUAACUUUACAUUGUUGCUGUACUGCCAGUUUACCUGUAACAUAUAAUGUUUACUUGAGAUGAUGGUAAAAGGAAUAGUUGGAGAUUGCAGAAUGUUUUCACAAACCUACGAAGUUCUCUAGGUUCAGAAACACAACCACAUCCCCCAAUCCAUGUCUUCUGAUCACCAAGCCUGGCUUCAACCAAACAAACCACGCAAGCCCACAGAGGCUGCAGAGCAUGUUCAGAAAGAUGUUAAAGCGACUUAAACUACUUCAUUACAGGCUAUGGUCCGGCAAACAGCACAUCCUUCCUUCGUGGCUUGAUUGUGAAUGGCUUGAUUGUGAAAGAACAGCGUCGUCGUCUUCAAGUUUUUUGAUCCCUGCACCAUCUACUUUCGCUGAAUAGACGAGGAAAGAACAGAUCAUACAGAUGAUCUCAAUCAGGGAUUUGACGCGUUUGUCUUCAAAGCAUUCAGUUUCUUGUACGCCAGAUUGCCUUACAAAUAGCAGCAAGACCCACUGCAUACACUGGUUACCAUUGGGUAAGCUUAUUGUAAGGGCAGUCCCAAUGGUCGAAACUAUGUGCAAUAUCCAAGAUGACCACGUCAGCAAAAUUUCAUGUAUAGAACUAUUCCCUCCAAUGCAGAUUUCUUCACGUAAUAAAUACAAAACUUUUUUUUCCCUUAUCCAUUCCUCCUCCAAUACUCUCUUUCCCGUUUUCGAACUCUCUCCCAACUGCACACUCUCGUUCUCUCAAUCGCUGCCAACCAAGCACGAGUACACAAGGCAUGAAACACUACGAGUACGGCGGGCGAGCGUUGUGGCAGCUAGCGCGGGCGAGCGAGCGUUGCGGCGAGGUGGGUGGGCACUCAAGGCAGCAAGCGAGCGUUGCGGCGGCGCAGGAGAGCGUGCGUUGCGGCUGCUGGGGAGCGUUGUGGCGGCGUGGCCGAGCGCACGGUGGGGCUGCCGGUGAGCUUUCGUGACGGCGUGGGCGAGUGUUGUGGCGGCCGGCGAGCGUAGUAACUAGGUGAUGGAGCAGGCGAGCGCCCAUGGUGGAGCUGACGAGGGCAGGCGGACGUACGACGCGAGAAGGGCGGGCGCGCUGCCGCAGCAGCGGCCGGCGAGCGCGAAGCCCGCGAUGUGAGCCCACGCAGCAGCGCCGACGGGUGGCGCGAGCAGGGCGGGCGCGGCGCUGCCGAAGGCGAGCGGGACAGGCCGCGCGACGCAACAGGCGCGAGCGAGAUGGACAGUUUCUUCCCAACGGCGAUUUUGCCGUUUCUUUGUGCCUUGGGGCGAGCGUAGAUGUCGUUUCUAGGUGAAGAAACGAUUUCUACUAUUUCUCUUCUCUUUCCUCAUUAAUUGAUCUGCCAUGUCAGCAUUUUAACUUAGGUGGCACCUCAUUUAAGAGAAAUAGAAACCACAAUUAAUAUACAUUGGGACUGCCCUAACUUUACAAGGUCUGCAGACGGCUGCUGAUUCCAAAAGCAAAGGCAAGGUAACAACGUACUCUCUCCAUCCCAAAACAAAGUGCUCAUCUUGUACUGCAAGAAGUCAAUUAAACCUAUAUUUAACUAAAUAUAUAUAAAAAUAUACUGAUAUUUAUAAUACUAAAUAAACAUUAGAUUAAUCAUGUCGUCUAUUUUUGUUGUAAACUCAUUGAGAGAUAACUGAACCUGAUUGACUCCUUGCGACAAAAAAGUUGAUUGACUCUACAGCAUGCAAGACGUGCACUUGUUUUGGGGAUGGAGGGAAUAUUUGGUUGUUAUACAUCCAAAGAUAAGAUGUUCCAAUGUUUAAAAGCUUAUUUGGAUGAAUUAGAGCUAGUUACUAGUUAGGCUAAAAAUUAGCUUAAAUUAGCUAAGGUUGUAUAUCUAAUUUGCUAGUAACUAGUUAAACACUUGCCUAAAAAACUAGCCCAUCUAUUAGCCCUUAUAUGAUGCACUAGAGUCUAUUCACUUACCUAAAAGGUAUGGUUUAAAGUAUUGUUUACUGAGAGAAAAACACUCCAAAAAACUCAAGCGAACAGACUCUAACCGUGUGUUUGGUUGGAGAGCGGGGCGAGCCGGAUCGCAGCGAACCCGUUCCCAUGACUAUUUGGUUGGAGGAUGUGAGGGUUGAGUUGGCUUCAGGGUGAAAUAUUCCUCUUAGAAGUGGGUUGGACUCGUCCGUCAAAAUCUGUCAGACGGAGCCGCUCCAGCCGGGUUGACUCUCACCAAACAUUGAAUUUCUUUAACUAAACACUGAACGGAGCUGCUCUAUCCCUAAUCCUUCAACCAAACACUGAAACGGAUUGGCUCCAUUCCCAAAAGCAGAAGUAUAACCAAACAUUAGACGCGUUGGCUCUGCCUCCAAAACUUGGUUGGAUGCAACCCAACCCAGCCAACCCCAACUAAACACACGGUAAGUGUGAUUAGCCAUGUAUCAAAAACAGGCCCUUAGGUGGCGCUCGAAAAAACGAUGCUGCUCCUGGUCCGAAUUUCGUAUCACGUUUGGCUCACACCUACGCUUUUCGUCCCACGUUUUGGAUUUUUAUAUCAUCUUAUUCAAACCUUUUAUAUAAAUAUUUGAGGAACGGGGUAGCCAAAAGUCAAGGACAAAAGGAAACACGUACGCGCCGCUCAAGUACUAUAGACACGAAUCACACCUAAAACCAUUGCGUCGUCGUCGUUCCAGCAGCAGCUCAGAGUUGGAACCCCCACGCACGCAGCAUCGUCGUCGAACUCUUCGUCUCUUCCCGUUGCGGCGGCGGCGGAGAUGGCGGCGAAUCUAGAGGACGUGCCUUCUCUGGAUCUGAUGCACGAACUGCUCCGCCGCAUGAAGUGCAGCUCCAAGCCCGACAAGCAUCUCAUCCUUAUCGGUACGGGAGGCCCUCCCCUUCUUCCUCCCACCCGCAGGCGGCGGCGGCUCCGCGCUGUUCCUGGUGCUGCCGGGAGGGCAAGGCUGCGGCUUGCCGCGGUUCGCUCUCUGGAUCCGCCGUACUUUCUUUGAAAUCUUGGUUAUUAUUUCCUAUUUCACUUCUUGCAUUUGUGGCGAAGAAACCUGGCUUCGUUUUGGUUUGCAUACUGGAUUGUCUGCGAUUUCUUAACAUACCGAAAUAUUCACAAUUGAUCAUGCGCUUGUAGAUUAGUUCUGGACAUUCAGGUCGCUGACUCCUCCUGCUGUUUGGUUUUGGUGAUUUUGUUGUAAUCUAGAAUUCUUUAAGGAUUCAAAGGAUAAUUGUAGUGUACUUGGCCUGGUGUGGAAGCCUUUUCUUCAUGAGGAUAAGAUAUGGGUGCAACUUUGUGCAUGCGCGUGGAGAUGUUGAUCUCGAGUUCUCGACAAAUGCUAGUCUGACCUGCCCCUUUUUAACAUUGGGUCCACUCAAUAUUUAUUGUCAUCUAAACCUUAUGCAACUAUACUGUUAGUUUUUGUUGCUAAUAAUGAUUAUGCAUUUAAAUCGAAAAAAACUGCAUUAGAGCAUCUCCAAAGGUCUUUAAAAAUUACUACUUGGUAAACCAAUGAUUAUGUUAAGUGAAUAAAAUAAAUAGGGAGCUCUAUUUUUACCUUUCGUCCAAUAGUUAGCUUUGCAAAACUCGGAAACCAGGCAGGACAGGAGAAAAAUUGCAGCGGAGGGAGUGCCUCCGGACAACCGGACAGAUAGCAAGCGGGAACUCACGCGUAUAUUUGUAUGUUGAGAAGGUAGAUUUACCAAGUGCUUAUCUUUAUGGAAGUUCAGAUACAAAACUGUUGGAGGGCUGAUUAGGGAGUUUUAAGGAGCUCUUGGAGAUGCUUUUAACAAAAUGAUACUAAACUGUGAUACCGAACACAAGUAAAUUGCAAUAUAUGGUGUGUCUACUAUUUGGUGUUUUCUUUUCAUGGUAGCCUUAUUCCUUGUCAUGCUAUUUGACUUGAUAUAUUAUUCUUGUUGGGUAGUAUUGUAUAGGAAGAAUUAAUGUCAUAGUGCCUUUUUGUUUCCUCAUUCACAACAUUUUGACUUUUGAUUUCUUAUUCUAUAGUGCUCCUGAUUUGGAGAGUUUGGCACCCCUUUCACUAAUCUUGUAGGUCCACCUGGCUCUGGAAAGGGUACUCAGUCUCCCCUUAUUAAGGAUGAAUAUUGCCUGUGCCAUUUAGCCACUGGUGAUAUGCUGAGGGCUGCUGUGGCGGCCAAGACACCUCUAGGUAUCAAAGCUAAAGAAGCUAUGGAUAAGGUAAUGUUAGCAGACCAAAACAUAUAAGAGAACUAACCAGCUGAAAUGUUUCUUUGUGACUCCAUUGUCCUUCCUGUUUUAGGGGGAGCUUGUUUCAGAUGGCUUGGUUGUGGGGCUUAUUGAUGAAGCUAUGAAGAAACCCUCAUGCCAGAAAGGUUUCAUUCUUGAUGGCUUCCCUAGAACUGUCACUCAAGCACAGAAGGUCAGAUGCUCGAUCGAUGCAUCAGCGAAGAAACAUUCCUAUAUCAUAUUCUUGUAGAUUCUGUAUUUGAUUUAGUAUAAUUUCCCCCCACGCUGUUUUUUUUGAACAUCCUGUACAGCUCGAUGAGAUGUUGGCAAAGCAAGGUGCUAAUGUUGACAAGGUCCUGAACUUUGCAAUUGAUGAUGCUAUAUUGGAAGAACGGAUUACUGGUCGUUGGAUCCACCCAGCCAGUGGUAGGACUUACCAUACAAAAUUUGCACCUCCAAAGUCUCCGGGAGUUGAUGAUGUAAGUCAAGUACGGAGCAUUUAGUUUAGCCGCUUAUUUUAUGUUUGCGUGAUCUUAUUUGUAUUGCUUCUACUUUCUUCUAGUCUUAGUGUGGAUCGAUUCAGUAUUUUACCGUGUUUGUUGUUCUAGUUUUCCACUCAGCUUCAUGUGGCAUAACUUUUCCAAUCUGUUAGAUAAUAAAUUAGAGUAAUCACAUCUUGACAAUUAUGGCUGGGUGAAUUUUUUUUCUCGAACACACAGGAUAGCUACAUGUCAUUGUAUUAAGAAGAAAUGGCUGAGUCAAUAUUGGCAUACUGUUAUGGUCUGAGUCUGCUUGUGGACGCCAUUAUUUCUGCUUGUGGAUGCUAUUAUUUCUCAUUGCAUGAUAUAGUUUGUUACUUUAAGCAGUGAUGCAGCCUCUUUCUGCACCCUAUUUCUCCCUCAAGGAAAACCAUGCUCAUGAAAAAUGCACAUAGAUAAAUUCAGUUGUUGCUAUCUUUUUUGCAGCAAGGAAAAAAACCUGCAUUAUUGAAAGCACUUCCACUUUCUCUUGUAUUCAGCUAUUAAUCGCGAAAGUUUAUGUGAUAUAUCCAGAAUAUAUUUAUCAGCUGUUGUGUAUUUGCUCUUCUUUUUCACAAAGGUAACUGGAGAGCCAUUGAUUCAAAGGAGAGAUGACACAGCCGAGGUUUUGAAGUCAAGGCUUGAAGCCUUCCACAGACAAACCGAGCCUGUAUGUUAUUCUUUAAAAAAUUACUUUUCUGAAAAAAUAUCUUGUACCACUAUAUAUGUAUAUAUUAAAGUUAUUUGUCUUACCUUCUAAAAAUUGAUUCUACUGUUUAAGAAUUAAUUUUGUUCAUUGAUGAUAUCCUUCCAUUUAAAUAUUUAUAUCAUCAAUUAUGCCAUAGUAGUGCUGCAUAAAGUUCAAUGAUUUGGUGGGCCCUGUUUGAUGUGCAUUUUUUAUGCCCUUUAUUAUAGUUUUCACUCAUAUAUGUUUUUUGUGAUCACAUAAGUCUUUUGGGCUCUCCACAUUUUAUUCAUAGUUCUGAUUUAUGUCAUGAGAAUCAAUUUGUGUAUCUCUGUACUUAAUGAUGUAUUUUUUUAGAUCAGUAUUAUUCCUAAUUUGAAAACAAUUGGUUUGACCCAGGUGAUUGACUAUUACUCUAAGAAGGGCUUGGUGGCGAAUCUGCCCGCAGAGAAACCACCAAAGGAAGUGACUGCUGAGGUGCUGAAAGCCCUCUCAUGAUGAAGUGUCCACUCUUUAGGUUAAGCAUGAAAUGUACCAGAAUCCCUUUGUCUGGGUUUCUUCAAAAUUUUACUUGCGCCAACAUCAUGCAGUGUCCUUUUUGUGCGAAUGCACCAUUUUGCCAACGCUUUGACAAGCUCGGGAACUGUCUGAAUAAUCUCUGUUUCGAAUGAGAGAAGCUGUUUUUCAGUACAAUGCUGAGAUGAUUACAGCAAUUCGUCUUCGGCAAAUUUUUCCUUGCUAACCUUGUUCCAGUGCUUUUCAUCAAUGCUAUGUGACUGGCUAUGAUAAUCGGGAAAAAUACCUAGCUGUUCUGUUCGCCCAGCACCUUGCUCUGUUGAGUGGAGGUAUCGCUGUGAUGUCAUAUAAACGUUUCUAAGUUAUAUGAUUCUGGGUAUCUAGUGCGGUUGUACUCGUGCUUAUGCUUAUGCUUAGCUCUUCGUUAAAAGAACAGUUGGGCAGCCAGCGUGGGCCAGCAAUGACAGAGGGCCGCCAUCAAAGGCAUUCCUGAGAUUUCAAAGGGUCCAAGCUCCCAAGAUCACAACACUAUUGAACCCUUUUCUUUAAUCCAGCAGUCGGGGAAUCACUCAUCGCAUUGCGUUGGAGGCCUUAUAGGGGCCAGCAAAUUAUACGAAAAUUGCCUUAGAUAAAACACAGCUGGUAAGAAAAUGUUGCGUCAAUCUCCACAAAGAACUGACUCUUUGUGAGGCUUGCAUGUUGGAGCCAUUUAUAGUCAUGCAUUUUCAUGAUAGGAAACCGUUCACCAAAAGAAUUCCAAACAUGUGGGUACUUGGGUUAGAUAAAUAAAAAGAUAAAAUUUAGAACGUGGUAUGGCAGAGCACACACUGCUACAUUCUCCCAAAUUUGUUCUCCACUUGUUUAUCAAAUUUGUAUAGAAGUACAGCUUGUAACAAAGCUAAUCUAUUGUGCUAAAUGCCUUAGUAAUCCACCUUGACCUUGCUAUCCAAUUCAGUAAAUUCUUCAUAAUAUGCCUUGAAAUGCUCAUAUGCAUGGCUAAUAUCGUCAACGGCACACAUUUCUCUGAUGCUGUGCAUUGAUAAUUGGGGUGCUCCAAUAUCAACAGUGCGAAUACCAACACCACUAGCAAGUAUUGGGCCAAUUGUUGAACCACAAGCCAUGUCAUUGCGAACAACAAAAUCCUGCAUAUUUGGAAAAUGAAUAAGAUUCUGCCAAUGCAUCAAGCAAAAUGAAUAAAAACAAAUACUAAAAACUUGAAAAAAAAAUGAAGCAAAAUUGAUUUAUUGACUAAAAAAAUGAAUAAAAACAAAUACUAAAAACUUGAAACUCAGAGCAUUGUCUGAAUCCACAUUAUAAAGACAAUGGUGUGAAACAAAAUGUUUAGAUGGAGCAUAAAGUAGAAAAACAUCCGUGGCCAAUGUUCCUACAAGAUACCAGUCUCUCAUGAGAGAAGCAUAUAUAGACAAAUAAAACAAAACCUAAGAACCAAUCUUCUAAAACCUAGUUCAUUAGAUCAGCCUAAGCUUAACAGCAAGGUCACCCAAAAAAGAUGAAAAAGCUUAACGACAAAAGAUAAACACUAGGAACACACAUCAUAAUCAUUAACUUUAGAUGUGGAUGGUAUUGGAUGCAUUGAGAGCUCAGUUACAUCUCUGACUGCAAAACUAGCUCAUAGGGCUUAUAAAAUAUGUUCAUCCUUAUAACAAUUGUAGAUCAAUAAAUGGAUUCCUUAUAACAAAAACAAAUUAAUAUAAAUCAGAACUAUAAGGAAAAAUGUCAGGGUACAAACCAUAAGUUGGACUAACCAUUAGUAAUUCACAAUUAUUAUAUGGGGUCCUUUGUGUAUCAACUAACCUGUACAGGUAGUUGGUGUCUCUCAGCGAUUUCUCGGAAAAUAAAUGCUGUCACAGCAUUUGUAGCAUAUCGUUGAUUAGCGUUAUGCUUGAUUACAAGUCCUCCAUGCAAUUUUGGUUGGUGGUUCUCCUCAUGCUUGUCCUGGAAAAGUAUAUCACAAAAUGACUCAGAAUUGUAUUUAUAUCUUGAUGCAUAUAUGUAAAAUGUUAGAUAAUUCUUACCAUAUAAUUGGGGUGUAAAGCAUGUGCCAUGUCAGCAGACACCAGAAAGCUCCUCUGAAUAGCCUUUUCUAGCAACUGAAAAGUAUAAACAGAUUAAAAAAAGCCAUUUUCUAUUCCAACUUGGAAACUAACUUAUAUAAAAACUGCAAAUAAUGUGGUAGGAUAAAAUAAAGGAUAACAAUUCUGAAAGGUUGAACACACAUUACUAAGUACCUUGGAAUUUGAAGAGUUAAAAGACCCAGUGAUUCUUGAUAAAGCAUCCAACAUGGCAGGGGAACCAGCUCCCUGAGCAGAAUCAGAACCAACUUCUUCAUGGUCAAAUAGAGCUACCAUUCGCACACCAGAUUCAUGGUCAAGAGAGUGUUCAACAGAACUGGAGUCGAUUAGGGCCUGAAAUAGUAUUAGAGAAAUAAUUGUUAUUAUGAUUUUAUUGCAAAAAGGCAUUAGUUAGGAUUUUGUUACUAAAAAUAAAAUGCUCUUGGCGAUACAGACUUGAAAGUCCAUUAGAUGUGAGAACACUCAGAAUAAUACAAGUACCAUGGAACAGUUAAUCUUAUAGAGAGAUUUGUUAUCCAAACGAGAGGAUAUUACUAAUAAGUAUAUAUAAGUAUUAAACUAUGGCUAGCACAUUUGAUUAAACUCACAGUUAGAGCAUCCCCAACCGUUUUGCAUAUUUCGUUUGGCAAAUGAGGGAGUUUGCCAAGUCCCAAAUAAAUAUGCCAAAGAUAAAAAGAGUCAAUCUCCAAUGGUUUGGCAUUUUUCACUUUCCAAAAAAAGGAAUUUGUGGAUCCACAUAAUUUUUCACUUUGCAAAAAAAGAAAUUUGAGCACCGGAGCAUGCACGGGGGCGACGCAAAUCGCGCGGCUUGCAUAUAUGCAAGUGCUUCCCUAGUAUUUGCCAAGUUAAUAAAAAUGCAAAGCCCAUUUGCCAAAUCGUUGGAUAGGUGUUUUUUAGACUUCUUUGCAAAUACAAGAAUGCAAAGGCCAUAUGCAAAACAGUUGGGGAUGCUCUUAGUAUUUUUUUUAAACAGAAUGGCAGCUAUAGGUAUAAACCAAAUAUCUUCUAUCCUACUACAUGUAAGAUUAUAUAUUUUCAUACCAUUGGUGCAACUGCAAGUACCUAGCUCUAGACUUUAUAUAGAAUAAUGACACCAGGAAAUCACAAGAUGUGGUAGCUUAGGUAAAUAAAAUAGUAAAGACAAACCUUCAGUGAACAAAAUGACAUGCAAAGAUUGUCGAGCCUUCCUGAAAAGAUGAACUCUUUCAUGGCACCUGCUACAGCACUUGGUUGAGUAUCACAUAGUUGCAGUUCAAAGUCACAUAUCUCAUCAGGCUCACAGUUAGCCUCUUUAGCAAUCAACUGCAACAAAAAAAAACAUCAGUCAAAGUGGAAGUGGAAGUGUGGAACAUACUUCAGAACCCAAGGACUCUUCGUAUUUAGUUUUUAUAUUAUAUGUGAGAACCUCUAGUGAUGUUGAACUACAAUGUCAAAAAAGUACCUGCAAUAGUAAUGGAUGAUGCUUUGUGUUCACAUUUUCGGAUGUCUGCUUUGGGCCAUUUUCUGCUACAAAUUUCUGCAUUUCAUUCUGUAAAAUGAUGGUAUGAGUUUACCUUCAGCAUCAAAAGAUGUGAGCUCAAUUGAUUUGUUGCAAAUCAAUUAUUCAGGAAAAGUUGCUCAUGCUAUACAAAAUUUGUCUUUUCAACCAACAAACAAAUCAAUGCAUUCAAAUCACCUUGAUACAUGUAGCCAGCACUGGAACAAGAUGACUCUGAUUGUUAACCUUGAGACCUUCUGAGUUGAGACUCCUGUACAUAAUGUAUUAAAUUAUUUAGUGUCACUGUAACAGGCCACACUUUCAAGGGAGCCUACAACCUAUAGGAUUGAUUGUACUAUCACAAAUGGCUGCAAUAAUAAUAAUAUAAUAUAACAACAACAACAACAAUAAUAGUAAAUAGUAACACAAUGAGACAUAGCAAAUUGAAAUUUACUGUGUCCCAACCUGUCUAGGUGAAUAGCCAAAGUAGGUAUCCUCAUAAUUGGUUCUUGUACCCGUACAAGCUUGUGUGCAUAAGAGACCUCGCCAUCCUUCUUCUCCCUUGUAAUCACCCUACCAGCAACAGUAAGAUCACGGUCGAACCAUGUGUACCACAAUCCACCACCAUACGUUUGAACCCCAACCUCAAGGUAACCUCCUUUGGUUACCUGCAAAACAAGCAAGAUAAUAUCAAUAACUUAUCAAAAUGUGUAUCAUCAGCUACCACCUAAAACUCAAUAACAACUUCUGUUCCUGGUUAAAACAUGAAUCACUGGUUACACAGACACCUGCUAUCAUAUACAAAAUUGAAAUACAGGACACAAGGUACUCUGAAAUCAGUGAGGGAGAGUUGAGGCUUGAUACCUUGGAUACAGGUUUGAGCUUGAGGCAAGGGCUGUCAGUGUGUGCACCGAUGAUGUGAAACCCAUUGCCAGCAACGUAUCUGUGAAAUAUCAACACACAAGCUAGCCAAUUAAUCCACAUAACAAACAAGUCAACGCAAUAUGUACAGAAUAUUUUGUUAACUACUGUAGAAAGUAUGGAUUUAAGGCUCUCAAACCUAAGGCUGGUGAGAACAAGGAGGACGGGGAGCGGAUCUGGCUCACUCACUUUGCGCCGAUGGCGAAAGCGACGAUGGUGGAAUGGUUGCGUGUGAAGAAGUACUUGCGCCCAGGCUCGAGCCCCGCCCACUCCUCCCGCUCCGAGAGCUGCACGAACCCCGCCGCCUUCAGCCGCCGCUUCGCCUCGUCUUCUCCCGAUGGAAGCAACAGCGCAACGGAGUCAGCUCAGAUCAAUUCCGCGAGGGGGAAAAAAAAGGGAAAGGGGAACAGAUGAUGCGUACCAACGGCGUGAAAGGCGGUGGGCGACACGUUGAGGAAGUCGACGAGGUCGGAGACGACGGGGGCGACGGCUGCCAUGGGCGGUGGCGGCGAUGAUGCCGAUGCGGCUGGGGAACAGCGAACGAGUACAGACGGAAGUGAGGUCGUGUUGAGAAAUUUCCAAACUAUAGGGGAUGAUCUCAUCUCACCCUAGAAGGCAAGGAGAGAAAGGUUAAACAGAAACACGUGCUCACCUUCCGACCUCCCAGGCGAUCUCGCUAGGCGCGAUGGCGACACCGUGUUCUCCGAGUCCCGCGGCGACGUCCUGGACUCAGCGGUGUCGGGCGGCGGCGCGGCAGCGGAGUAGCUGGAAGAGAGUGGCAGAUUGGGCCAAGCAAUAUGGUUUUUAUAGUAUCUCCAACAGUUAUGCAAUUGAAAUUUGCUAUUCGUUGAAAUUUGCUAAGUCUUUAAACAUUUUAUCAAAGGAAAAAUAAGUCUAUCUCUAAGUAUUUGGCAUUUUUAACUUGCUAUUUCCUAAAAUAGUGGACCCAACUAUUUUUAUCCGGGAUUUUUUUUUGUUUGGCGCACUUCACGCGAGAUUUUUCCUCUGCGCGGGAAUUUCCGUCGCCCGUCGCCGCCAGUCCACGAAGUCGCAAGUCACCGCCGUUUCUGUGACUGGCGGCCCCCCGGUCCGCCAGUCCACGAAGUCACAGUUCGCCAGAGUUCCGUCGCACGCCAAUAGUCCACGAAGUCGCAGGUCGCAGAGUUCACGUCGCGCGGGAAAAAGAGUUCGUGCGGGGAGGAGUCCUCGCGUGAAACUACCGCAGCGCGUGGGGAGGUCGCGCACGAUAAGGAGUCCAAGAAACUCAGGAUAUCAAAAAUGCCAAGCUAUUGUGCUUAUGCAAAAAUGCCAAGUUUAGUCCAUCAAAUGUCAAGUUUGCCAAAAUGCAUAAGUCAAAUACAUAACUAUUGAAGAGCAAUAUUUAAGAUUUUUAACAAAUCUCUAGAAUGCAUAGUCCAAUUACAUAACUGUUGAAGAUACUCUUAGUGAGAAUAUAUAUGAAUCCUGCGAAUCCAAUUCACCCGCUGAUCCGCUCCAACAUGCCUAGGAAAAUCCCGGACAUCAAAUAGAAUAUUGGAAGGACCCAUAUUCUACGAGCCUUAAGAGUUGGUUUAUUUAAACUUAUCAACCGAAUUUAUUAGUAUUUAGCAAUAUUUUUUCUCUUAUAACAAAUCAGCGAACAGAAUAACCUAAACUUAAAAAUAGAUUGUUUAUGAUACUUUUGCUGACCAAAACAACCUUCAACAGACUAGGCAAACGAGCCACACAUUUUGGUUUAGUGCCAAUGUGCGAUGCAAACAUGCAUCCUCUCUCCGUCCUUCUAAGUCUCCACUCAGGCUCUGUUUGGUUGUUUUGGAUAUUUUUAACAUUUAUCGCAUCAAAUGUUUGACACAUACAUGGAGUUUAAUAAAUAUAUACUAUUUAGAAAACUAAAAACACAACUAGAGAAUAAUUUGCGAGAUGAAUCUUUUGAGUCUAAUUAGCCUAUGAUUGAACACUAAUUAUCAAAUAAAACAAAAAUACUAUAGCACUUGAUAAAUUUUAACACCCCAACCACCACCCCCAUAGACACGUCGCGUCAGAGCAAAACACGAUGUAUAGUCGUUAUAGGCCCAUCACCGAAAAGAGUCUUAUUGGCAAAGCCACCGCUAGUGGUGGAGUGAUCGUAGAUCGGUUGGUUAGAUUCUUAUAGCGGAACUUAUCUAUCUAGAUUCAAGUUCUCGAUUUAGCAUAUGUAUUCGUAUUUUUUGGAUUUAAUCAAUGAUUUAACGGCGCCAUGCUUUAUGUGGUAGGUGACGUUCCCGUCGACAGUGAAACAUCAGUGAUAACUUUAUGAUUUUCAAGAUUUACUGGCUCAAUCAUUUGAAGGUGCUCAUAGAGAUAGGUUUACAUACAUGUAUUAAUAGAGCUAAGUGUGCGUAUAUAUUAUAGACCACAUGGUUAUUUAGGCUCAUCGAUGAAGUGUAAAGGUUCUUUGUUUGUGUUAAGAAACACUAUUUUUAGAUAAAUAAUUCUAUAAAAUAUAGAAUUAUUUAUCUAAAAAUAGUGUUUUAACGAUACUAUGUUUUUAGUGGUAGGCGAAGUCUUCAUCAACGACGAGGCGUUUGUGGUGACUUCUAGAAUUUCAAAAUCUGCCAGCUCAGUUCUUCAUAGAUGUUCAUAAAGAUAGAAUUCAGGUAUAUAUAUUUAUGGAAUUAAGUAUACAUAUGUGUUAUGGGUGUCUAUAUUGUACCGUGUAAUUUUAAAAAACCAGUUGUUUGUAUAAAGAGAAACACUAUGUUUUUAGAUAAAUGAUUUUACAAUUUACGUAAUAGCAAUUGUCUGAAUUCCUAAAAAUUUUUGAGUGAUAAUGGAUUGCUGUGCUUGAUAGUGGAGUCGAGGAGGUUGGCUGUGAGGCGAGGGGGGGAAUGUGCGAUGGCAAAGUAUUUCAUAAAGCCAUGUUAUUUCAAAAUCAGUAAACAUACUUUACAUUUAAACGGUGCCCAAACCUAUAAAGAUUACGUGGCAUUUUAAAAAACUUUGUAUCAUUUGAAGAGUCAUUUGUAUAAAUAUUAAUUUUUAUAUUUUUAAUUCUCCAACAGUUUUUCUAUAUCCCUAUUAUUGAUUAGCAAAAAUUCAAAAAUAGAAAAUAGUUGAAUAAGCAUUCAGAGAAGCUGUUGAAGGAGAAAUGCUCUUACGAAACAAAAAAUGGUCGCCAAGAGCGCCUAAUUCAUUCUGAGCAAAUCAAAAUGAAAAUAAAAAUCCAAAUAAAAAUCAUUUUGAGACGAAAAUGAUAUGAAACCUACGGCAUAGUAUCUGUCCACCUGGGCCAAUAAUCGCACUCCUCUCAUCCACACCACCAAACCUCCGCCGCUCUUCGCCGUCAGCCCGCCACUCCCCUCCCCGUCCCAACCGUCGCCUCGCUUGUCCCCGCCCGAUUGCCCGGAUCUCUAACGCCAAUGGCCUCCGUCUCCCCCGCGGCGGCCGCCGCCGCGGUCUCGGGCUCUCACCACGGUCGACUCCUCCUCCCAUCCUCCCCGCGCCGCCUCCCCAGGCCCCGCCCGCGCCCUCGUCCGCGCCUCCGCCUCGCCGCCUGCCACGCCGACACCCUCCUCCCUUCCUCAUCAUCGGAGGCCCGCGCGCCGCCGGCCCCCGCGGUGGACCCUUCCUCCGAAUCUGCCACCGACUGCUUCGUCGACUGGCUGCGUGCGCGCGGCCUUCCCCCAGGCAAAGUGGACAUCCGGGAGCGGCCAGUGCCCUGCUUGCUCAACGGCAAGGACCUGCCGCUGCGCUACGUCGCCGCCGGCGUCGACCUUCAGGUUGGUGUGGCAGCACGUGAUUUUUGUUUCCUGCAGUAAUGACGGGACUAUGACCUGGAUUUUGUUGGCUGGCUCGUUUGUGGCGCAGGCCGGGGAUGUCGCGUUCGAGGUGCCAAUGUCCCUUGUCGUCACGCUGGAGCGGGUGCUCGGGGACGAAUCAAUCGGUGAGAUAGCCUCUGGCUCUAGUAAUCUAUAAUUCUAUGUGUGCUUGUAUUGACUACUCAGUUCUAUCACUCAUAGGAAUUGCCAAAAUGGGGAGUUUGGGCUAUAAUAAAUUGAUUUAGUAUCUGAAUAAGUCAGUAACCGAGCUGUUCGACAUUUUUCUGCUAAAUUGGCAAGCAUACUUUGCUCUGAGAUUAUGUGGCCUGCUCAUUCCUGUCUUGACUCUUGAGUAGAUGUCCUAACCACGGGUCUGUUGCAUUUUUCAACAUUUAGAGGCAUGUUUGCAAUAAUCAAGAUAUAAGAGGGAUUGCUUUAGACAUUUAGGGCUUUCCCCAAAAUAUAGGCUGCCUGUCCAAUUUUCAUGUUUUGCAUCACUAUGUCCAAGCUUUUUUGGGCAUGCCUUGUGUUAUUUAGCAUUCUAGUUUGCAGCCAUUGGCAUCAUUCAUGCACACUUUUUGGUCAGAUUCCAGUGCUUGCACAAAAUAAGAAAGAGGAGGGCAGUAGGCAUUAGGUCCUAUCUUGGCGUUCGUGGAAACAUCUAUCAUGUUUCAAAAUGUUGUACCUUGACUUGGAACUUGGAAGCUGACUAGAAAUGCAAAAUGGCUUUACCUCUUUUUUCCUGCUUCAGUUUUCAUUACAUUGCAUUUGGGUCUGCGUUUUUCGUUAGGUUGUUUUGUUAUUAGUCAAGAUCGCAGGUAGUCGAAGCAUGAGUGCAUUAAAUUUUUUUGUGAUAUUUCUGUUUCAUCCUUGUAAAUGCAUUUGUGCUUGCUGCAUAUUUUGCUUGUGUGAUUUGUGCAGUCCACUUCAAAUUCUGGUUCAGUAGUUCUUCUCUGUCCUUUAUGUUAACUAUAUUUCUCUUUUAUAACUUUUUAUCCCUUAAGGGAAUAACUACUUAAUGGUAACACUUACCCACCUGCGACACAACAAUUUUGUGCCAUUUGCACAAAGAUAAAAGUAACUGAUUUAUAUGUCACAGAUAUGUUUCUCAGUUUGUUGAUAUUUUUGAACCAUGCAGCUGAGUUGUUAACAAACAACAAGUUAUCUGAGCUGGCAUGCUUGGCAUUGUAUCUCAUGUAUGAGAAAAAGCAAGGAAAGGAUUCAUUUUGGUACCCCUACAUUAAGGAACUUGACCGACAUCGAGGAAGGGGGCAGCUAGCUGUUGAAUCACCACUUCUAUGGACUGAAAGUGAACUGGAUUACCUUACUGGAAGCCCCUUGAAGGUUAGUGGUUUUACUCUGUUGUAUCUCAAUUCUCAAUAUAACAUUAUUUCUUUUUGAUGUUGAAGGAUUACUCAAUAUUCUGUAAGAACAUUAAUAUCCUAACGCAGAUGAUAUGUUUGCAGGAUGAAGUUGUUGCUAGAGAUGAGGCAAUAAGGAGAGAGUAUAAUGAGCUUGACACAUUGUGGUUUAUGGCAGGUUCACUAUUUCAGGUAUUCCUUGAUCCUCCAAGCAUAUUUUCUUUCUAGGAACUAUAUCGUCAACUGAUCCUCUUUCUCACAGUUAUUAUUGUUUUGCAGCAAUAUCCUUUUGACAUACCUACAGAGGCUUUUCCAUUUGAAAUAUUCAAGCAGGCUUUUGUGGCAGUACAGUCUUGUGUGGUUCAUUUGCAGGUAAUGUGUUGUGAUGGAUUUAUGUUUAAUCAAGUAUGAUUCUAUAAUCUGUUGCUUGUACAUUCGUUGUAUUUCUUCCUUCUUUGUGAAACUCGAUGCUUAUAAUUUGUUCUGCAUUUAGCAUGAAGUGUAGAAAAAUUUAGUGCUGAAGUGUUUAACAUCGCCAUACUCAUCACUUGUAAAAACCUGACAAUGUUUUUUUGCCACCAAACAUGCUUCUCUGAAUUUUGUAGAUUUUGUUCUUUUGCACAUAUUCUAUUUAGGCCUUGUUUAGUUCCCAAUGGAAAAUAUUUCGUGACACUGUAGCACUUUCGUUUGUUUGUGGUAAUUAUUAUCCAAUCAUGGACUAACUAGGCUCAAAAGAUUCGUCUUAUCAAUUUCGACUAAAUUGUGUAAUUAGUUUUUAUUUUCGUCUAUAUUUAAUACUCCAUGCAUACGUUUAAAGAUUCGAUGUGACGGGAAAUCUUGAAAAAUUUUAGGUUUUUGGGUGGAAGUAAACAAGGCCUUAGACUUCCAGAUUCUAAAGAAUGUGAACAUAGUUCAUUUAGUUUUGCCCCCAGAAAUUAUGGUCCAGCACACAAUGACCUGGUGUGGUGGUGCUAUUUGUUUUCAAAAUUUAUCUCCUUUACUUUUACAUAUGUCAAUAUGUGUUGGAAGAAUGGAGCCUCGGAAGAUGCCUCAUCUGUUGUCAUUGUAUUCAGUCAUGUAACUAGUGUCCGAUAGGAAGAAGUAAGCUGAUGCACUGCAAAGGGUAGAGCGACCUACAUGUGGAGAAGAAUUUAUAGGACUUAAACAGACUUUAACAGAAGAAAGUAUUACUAUGUUAUCAUCUCUUGUGUGAGACCAACAGUGCUUAGUCUGCUAAGUGUUUGGUUGUUAGAGAAGUACUGAAAUGCUCCCAAUUGACUCGGUUUCUUAUUCAAGAGCAGAAAGUUAGUUUAGCUCGAAGGUUCGCGCUAGUUCCCUUGGGGCCACCACUAUUGACUUACAAGAGCAACUGCAAAGCGAUGUUGACAGCUGAUGGUGAUUCUGUUCGAUUGGUGGUGGAUCGGCCAUAUAAAGCCGGAGAACCAAUAAUCAUCUGGUACUAUGUUUUCUUCAGUUGCAGCAACAUUCUUGUCCUUCAUCAUAUUUUGCAAUCUGAUGCUGAUCACUUAGUGCAGUUUUUGUGCAUUAUUUUGGUACAUACGUUCAAGAACCUCAAAUUAUGUAGAUUAUACAGGUGUGGACCCCAAACGAACUCCAGGCUUGUUCUGAAUUAUGGUUUUGUUGAUGAAGACAAUCCCUUUGAUCGCAUAGCAAUUGAGGUAGACAAUCUUUAUUAUGCAGCAAUCUUCUUUACUGUGUGGUUGGUGUAACUCUGUUUGAAUCUUUGUUACAGGCAUCUUUAAAUUCAGAAGAUCCUCAAUACCAAGAAAAGAGAAUGGUUGCUCAGAGGAAUGGAAAGCUUGCUAUCCAAAAUUUUAAUGUGAGAACUUUUCCCCCUUCCUUUUGUAGUGAAAAUUGUAAAUGUUAUACGUUCAUAUGUCUCGUUGAAUCAGGUCUAUGUAGGUAAAGAGAAACAAACUGUUGCAGAAAUGCUGCCUUAUUUGAGAUUAGGAUACAUAUCAGAUCCAGAUGAAAUGCAGUCUAUACUCUCAUCUGAAGGGGAUACAUGUCCAGUAAGUCUGCCUACUCUUCCUUGAUGUUGCUACCUAUUUCUUCAUUGAUUUGGUUGGGUGCUUCUAAAAUAUGAUGGAUACAUGCACAAAAGCACUUGCUCUGAUAAUUAUUUAACAUAUUUUUCCUUUUCAGAAUUGCGAUUAGUACCUGUUUGAAUUUUUAUUUGUUUCUGUAUGGUCCAGUUUCGUGGUUUCUGGGCAUAAACCUAGCCAUUCAAUUUAGAUUCAAUUGUUGUGGUUCUGUAUGUCUGCAGAACUUUUUAUCAUCAGCUUAUUGAUUGACCCUAAAACGAAAAACAUGCCACCUAUUUGUGCCCUAUCAUUGCAUGUAAAUCCAUAGGUUGAAGCUAGCUAGAUAAACAGGCCUAUAUCUUGACAGUUCUCAGUUACACUGAAAUGUUAAUUUUUGCAUGGACUUGUAACGGAAGGCAGAAUAUGUAAUUUUGAGAAUUUGAUUGCAUUAGAGAUUUUCCUCAGGCAUUCCAUUCGUAUUUUCCUAUGUUUGGGAUCAUAGCCAAGUAUAUUUUGGGUUGUGAUCCAACUGAAAUUGCUCGUAUUUGAGUACCUGCAUGCCAUUACUUGCUGUAGGCAUUAGCUUGGGUAUAAAACUGCUGAUAACCUAGGGUAUUAUUUUUCUUAAAACUACAGAAAGAUGUGAAAUGUAAAUUUUAGCAUAGUAACAGCAUGGUGUUUUAAUCUAUGAUUUAACAUUUUGUUUACAUUUGCUGUACUUCUCUAGCUUAGCCCAUGUACAGAGCGAGCUGUACUUGAUCAACUUGUUGGUUACCUGGAAUCUCGGUUGGCUGGUUAUCCAACAACUUUGGAUGAAGAUGAAGCUAUGGUAAUAAGCUUUGUGUUUUUUUAUGAGUUGUUUCUUGAUCACUCUAUGGACUUGCUGAAUGGUAUACCAUUGCUUUGGUCAUUGCCAGUUGGCAGAUGGCAGUUUGGAACCAAAGAAGGAAGUUGCUACUAGGCUUGUAAGGUUAGAGAAGAAGAUGAUCCAUGCCUGUCUACAGGCCACAAAUGAGUUUAUAAACGACUUGCCAGACCACACAGUAUCUCCUUGCCCUGCUCCAUAUGCCCCUGAACUGAAAUGAGGUACCAGCGAUGAUCUACAUUUUAUCAAUUUGUGAACUAUAAUGCUGUAGCAUGUAAUUUGUUCUUUUUUCUUGCAGAUUGCAUGUUGUUUUCCUUUCCCAGAUGGUCAUACCAUUAAGAAUGUCAAAAUUUGAUCAAUGUGCAUCUCUAUAUGAAGACCAUAUAUGCUGCAAGGUGGAUAUAGCAUUUGAAAGAAUCUGCUGCUUGUUUCCUUCAGAGAUUACAGAUAUGUUAAUUGCAUGCUAGAAGGUAAAUGAGGCAGACUGAAGUUUAUUAAAUUGUCUCAUGCCAAAAAGCACACUACAUAAUACAAUUUUACUGUUCAUCGAUACGAACACUGCUUAUGGUUUCAACUUGCAUGUUCCAGGAAAUCGCAUCUCUUGCUGUUCAACUUAAUAAGGAUAGCAAUGGUCUCGAGCGGGAUAUGGUAAUGGUCUCCAACAGGAUAUGGUCAUGUUGUAGGUAGUUGCAAUGCACGGAAGUGUGCAUGUAUCUCUUUUGUUAACCUAGUUGGUGUUGUAUCUGCAACCUCCAUUUGCUGAUAAUCAUGGGCUAGGAAUGCCAAUCAACAAUCAUAAUUCAUGUAUAUGAUUGCUGACUGAUCACUUCUUUUUUCCCAGGACAUGUGGUCAUGGCUGUAGUUGUCGUUAGCAUUACUUACAAAAGUGAAUUCGGUGCAUAACUGGAUUCACUUAACCAUGCCUGGCAUUUUGAAAAAUCUUUGCCUGAACCCAAGUCGAAAAUUCCAUUUAUAUUAUGCUCUAUUUGACUCAUGACCUUAAGCUACGUAACGGAAAACAAAACAUUACGGCUUGAGUGACUCUGGCGAGACACAGGUCAGGCGUACAAAACGUUACGGCUUCAGUGACUCUGGCGAGACAAAUGUUAGCCGUAGUGGAGAUCGAGAGGAAGAACUUGGCUAGGGCGAUCACUAAUUUGGGAGAAAGGAUUGUCUUAAAAUUUGGACUUCAUACAAUAUUAUUGUUCAUAUCCCUCGACCCUCAUCCUCUCUGCAUAUUAUUUAUGAGCACAUCCUUCAUCUGUUGCCAACUCUUUUGUACAGUGUGUUUUAUUUAUCAGCACAUCCUUGGUAGAUUGUGUUUGGUUCGAAGAAUCAGUGACAACACAAUAAAGACUGUUGUAUGCUUGAGAAACAUUUGGUUUAUAAUUACACAUGGUAGCACCGAGAUAGUAAACAUACCAUAUUUAUUUAUAUACAUAUAUAAUUUUUGCCAUACCAUCAUAACCAAUAACAAUAAAGUCACAACAAACUGGGAUUAGACAACUCUGUCUACAAUUUUUUUUUUUGCGUUCUUAUGUAAUUUAGUUUCCAGCAACACAUCAAUUCGUAAAGUCAUCAGUAAGAUGAAAUACUAUUUCAUGUAACGACAGUACACAAAACUUAGUUUAAGCAAGCCAUGAGACAAUGAGUACACAAAUCUAAUAUCCCUGUUCAAGGGGGGCACACCGUACAAGCGGGAGCCGUUCAAACCUCCACAGAAUAGUACGAGAGCCUACAACCUUCCCUACAAGAUAUAAAAGCAGAAUGAGUAGUGUUUCGGUAAGGCUAGCCCAGACAUAUAUAAGUAUCCUUUUUUACGCGAGUUGAAAAGACGUAUAAUGGAGAGAUCAUCAAAAGAACAGAAACCAUAGCCUCAUGCAUAUCUUGUGCCAUAGUAGGCACUAUCGAGCAAGAAAACCCUGUGUUCCCCUAAAGCAUUUGCAUUUACAGACCAAUCAGCAACACUUGAGGUCUAUGUUUUUUUGCCUGAAGCACAUGUUUAUUCUAUUGAAGAAAACACCUAAACAAACCAUUCUUACUCAGUAUCAAGCAAGAAAACCCUAAACCCUAAAUGUUCCCCUGAAGCAUUUGCAUUUACAGAUCAAUCACCAGCACGGCAGCACCUGAGGUCUAUGUUUUUUUUUUGCCUGAAGCACAUGCUUAUUCUAUUGAAGAAAACACCUAAACAAACCAUUAUUAAUCAGAAUAUUGAAGUGCCUGACCCAGUUAACUGCACAGGUAGAAACAUCCACAACAUCUAGGAAAAGAAACAAUCAUGGCCUAUUGUAAGUAUAGUUGAGCACAUGACUGGAAACAAUAGCAAAAAGCUACAUGCAAAGUCUCUGAACUAUGUAGUCUUAAGAGAAACUCACUCACAGGGGUAUCCCAUUUUGAUAAAUCAAACAAUUAUAUGCUAUGUGUCAUUAGAUUUGCCUUGUAUACAUAACUUAAACAAGAAAGCUAGUUCUGGAUAAUAUUAUUAGUAUCUUCCAUUGGCAAUUAGUACAAAGCCACACAUUUGAGCACGUAAAAAUUAUGCGUUCUCACAACCUAGAAAUUACUAACACAUACACAAGCAAGAAGCAGCAACGCUUUAUCAACUUCAGACCACCACAUUAACAUGUAAAGAUGGAUGUCAACAUUUUAGCAACAAGCAUCAUCGGUUCACACUACCCAAUAGACGAAGACUGUAAGAUUUCCACAAUCUCAGGUCACUGACGCCAUCUGCUGGGAAGUUCACACGACAAGAAACCAGCCCACCAACAAAGAUCAUUACAACAGGCAACAAGUAAUAACACACAUAAUAAAUCUAGAGUGUCUUACGAUUGGGGCAAACUGGCUGUCCAGAUAUGACGAGUAGUGAGAAAGAGGAAAGGUCAGGGCAAUGGAUAUAAGGAGAGAGUCUCCAGGUGGCCCGGCAAAUAAGGGGAAGGAACGACUCACCAGCAGAGGGGGCCGCCUUCGAUUUUCCAAGAUGAGAUGGCAGGGCCGCCAUACACUGUUCACCAGGUACAACUCUGUUAGUCGUAGAGGCAUGGCCGAGCAUACGCGGGUACGGCGCACGACCAGCGCCGUCCUUGGACGCGACACGUCUAUCUAGAGAAAGGGGAGCCCGACCCCGGGGUAGGUAGAUGCACUUGAGGACCUAUAUCCUCCUAUCGCCCUCCCAUCUAGAUCUAGUGUGCCAACACCCACCCCAAACCAACGCGUGAUGGAGUCUGCCUAUGGGGCCAAGCGUAGAAGACCCCAUCCGUCAUGCACAUCGGGGAUCACUGCUCAACUCACCUGCUUCCCCGAGCGGCUGUCGCGAAGGCUAAGGCGAGCAGCGCGAGGAGGGGCAACCGGGCGAGCAAGGAGGUUUGAAGACGUGCCUGCUCCCACGUUAACCCAUCACUGCUAACAGGCCCAAUCACAGCAGGAGGCCAUCGGUCACCGACGGCGAGGGAGCGGAGUGUUGAGGUGGGCGACGCAUGGAUUUGCGAGCAAGGAAGAAGAACAGUCGCGAGCGAGGCACUGACCGCCGAGCCAGGGCAUGAGAUGCGGCGUGAGAUGGGAGUGCGAGAGAGAUGAGUUGGGACCCAUGUACCGUUCAUUUUCCCCUUUCUGCGUGAGUUUUUUUAGGUCGCGUCCUUGCGGGCCGAGAAGCAGGUGCAGGCCGUGGUCAAUGAACAACAAGCAUGCACGACACAGGUGUCAAGCCUAGGAAAGAACACCGAGGCUUCAAUUGUUGUGGAUGCAGCAAAAGGCGGGGUCUUUAAAUAACACUGAUGAGGUAAUACAUCAUGAGUUCAUUUCUUAAAUUUUGUUGAAUGACUUUGUUUCUCGUACUAGUGCUAAUUAUUAGCUUACGAGAAAUGAGAUGGUAAUGAAUUAAUCAUUCAAGGAAUAAGGUGAUGAUGUAUUAACUCUGCACUUGUUGUUUCCAACCCGAAAUAGUUGUAGGCAUACAAUGCCUCAAAAGGUGUAGUGCCCAAUUUAGAAUGAAAACUACUAGGAUGCAAAUAGGAGACCUAGUGGAUGAUAUGUUUCCCCGUGUGGCAAAAAGGUUAUGAACCUAGCUAGUAAAGAUGUGGAUGCGUUUAUGGUCCUAAAUACAUUAUUCAAGAGAAGAUAUGCAACAGGCAGCCCCACAAAACAUCUCUUAGACAGCUCGCGUUGCAAGAUCAUAUGCCUUAGAUACUCCUCGGUGGACGUGGCGUGACUUUCUGAUGAAAUCACUGCAGAGUGUUAGCCGCGGUUGGCCCUGCCCUAACCAGAUGGACGUGUUACCGUAUAUGCCAAGCGGUUUUCUUUUCUUAUUAGCGACAAGAAUGCACGGCUGUACACACAAAAACAAGAGCAGGGAAUAGCAACGUACACAGACACCGUGCUAGCUAGCUCAAACGAAGCUGCAUGCCACCUGCUGCCUCGCUCACGUCAGCUUCUCCUCUGCGAUCCAUCCUCCGCUACUACGUCCCCCGUGCACAGCCGCCGUGGCACUGUUUUGGUCCUUUAAUUUGCGCCAUUCGAUCGAGCUGCCCCGACGUACACGCAGCACAUCACACGUUUGUUCACGCACGCACGCACGCGUGUACGUAGGUGUUUGAAUCACUACUUGUGCCGCCUGGAACCGGAACCGGCUUUGCUGCUGCUGCUGUGGUGGUCGUCCUCGUCCAAGACGCCCAACUCGGCGGUGGAGAGGUCGUUGGCGAACGCCAUUCGCCGGAACAGCUCGAUGUCCGCCGAGUACCGGCCCGAGUCGUACGCCAUGCUCUGCCCCAGCUUCACGCCGUUGGUCAGGUCCGACGAGCACUCGUCCACGUCCAGCGAUCGCCACACCUUCCGAUCGAUAGAGAGAGAGAGAGAGGGAACAGAUACAGCAGCGAGAUGAUCAAGAGUUAGCUAGUACUCCCGUACGUGUUUUGGUCCAAGAAGUGUGUGUGUGCUCGUUAUAUAUAUAUUUACCUGCACCAUCCUGGGUCUCUUGGCGGCGGAGUGGCGCACGCAGGCGGCGGCCGCCUCCACCAUCCUCCGCAUCUCGGUCUUGGAGAACCUGCACUCCAACGCGGGGUCGGCGACCUCCCGGAAGUCGUCCGUCUCCAAGGCGUCCACCAGGAGAAGCCGAGCCUGCGGGCGUAGUACGUGAUCGAUCAUCAGUCAACAGCUAGCGACCCUGUAGACACAAAUUAAAGGAAAAGAGGAUUAUAUUCGCGUAGUACCCAUUCAACCAGGCUCUCUUCUCCCAGCGGUUGAGAUGCGUCGACGGGCUUCCGCCCGGUGAUGAGCUCCAGGAGCACCACCCCGAAGGAGAACACGUCGGAUCUGUCCGUCAGCUUCCCGCUCUGUGCGUACUCAGGUGCCAUGUACCUGUGGAUUCAGAGACAGAAUAAUGUGACUGGGAUUAAUUCAGAGACGAGAGAUAGGCUGUGCUCUGAACGCUGCUAACUUACCCGAACGUGCCCAUCACGCGCGUCGAGAUGUGAGUCAGCGAGUCGUUUGUCAGUUUAGCAAGGCCGAAAUCUGCAACCUGUUCGCCCCAGAUUAAUCAUGAUCAGUACAGAAUCAAGUGUUUGGGUAGUGCAUUAGUAUAUCCUGUACGUGCUGCAAAUUAAUUAACCUUGGCCUCGAAGGCGUCGUCCAGGAGAAUGUUGGCCGACUUGAUGUCCCUGUGUAUGAUCCUAGGAUGGCCUGCGUGUACAAGCAGAGGCAGCUCUUAGCCGGACUGACGACAAGCAAGCUACAGUAGCUACCAACAAGGACGGGCAGGUGCAUCGCAAGAUGAGGUAGCUGUCCUCUCCUCACUUACAGUCUUCGUGGAGGUACGUCAACCCACGCGCCGCUCCGAUGGCAAUCUUCAUCCGCUUCGGCCAAUCCAUCACGGGUAGCCCUUUUCCUGCAGAUCAAUAUAUACAAUGUAUACAACAUAUUUCACACAUUAUUCAUGCAUAAUACGUAUGUAUGUGCCAAUGCAAUGCAAGAGGAAUAUUAUUAAGGUGAUCAAUGCAUAUGUGCAUAUAUAAUGUGCUCUGCUCACGGCUCACCGUGCAGGUGAUGCUCGAGCGUGUUGUUGGCCACGAACUCGUAGACGAGGAGGCGGUGGUUCUCGGUGACGCAGUAGCCGACGAGCGUGACGAGGUGGCGGUGGUGGAUGCGGCUGAUGAUGUCCACCUCGGCGCGGAACUCCUUCUCCCCCUGGCCGCUGCCCACCUUGAGCUGCUUCACCGCCACGCGCCGCCCGUCGCCCAGCGCCCCCAUGUACACCUUCCCGAACCCUCCUUCCCCGAUCACGUUCGCCGCCGAGAACCCGCCCGUGAUCCCCACCAGCUCGUCGUACGUGAACCACGACUUGGUCCCCGACAGCUCGUACGAGUUCGUCCCGCUCGGCGACGCCUGGUACGCUGCGUCCGGCGAGACCGCCGCUGCACAUCCAUUAAUUCAUGACGACGACAAAACCGUGUGAAUUCGUUACACAUCGCUUGCAUGGUGGCAGCAGAGAGCAACGCAAACAGGGCGGCCGGGCACUCACGUUCCGGCACGACGACGAGGUUGUGCCUCCGCGACGGCGACGGUUGCGCGCGCCGCUUCCUCUUCCCCCGGUUGCUGUUGACGCACACGAUGAUCAGCAGCGAGGCCAGUGCCAGGAGGAGCCCGGCGACGGAGAUGCCGAUGAUGAUCACCUCGUUCUUCAUGUUGCCGCCUGAGCCUGAGCCACCUGCGGGGGGACUCAGUGCCGGGCCAGGCGGGCCCCUCCACCUGCCGCUUGCAGGUGGGCCGCCGGAGGCACCCGGCACGAUCACCGUCACCGCCAUCGGAGGAGGCAGCAUCUGCGUGGGCGAGGAUGGUGUCCCCGACGACGCUGGAGGUGGCUGGCGACCGGCGGUGUUGUCCGAGGACGUCGACGGUGUCCCGCGCGGCGGCGGCUGUGAUUUUGAUCCGGAGUCUGACGACGCAUUUGGGGGAGGUGAGGCUGCUCCGGGCGUCUUCUCUGACGACGAGGGUGGCGGCGACUUGGUUAAUUCCUGUUUCGGAGGCGAUUUCUGCGACGUCGACGAUGGUGGCGUCGAUGUCGAUGUCGAUGCCGCGGGCGGCGGCGGCGGCGAAGAACGCGGAGGUGGUGACGACGGAGGCGUCGACGACGGGGAAGGAGGAGGAGGAGGAGAGGACUUGCUCGAUGGCGGCGGCGAGGCCGGAGGAGGCGGGGACGCCGUCGGCGACUUCUGCGGCGGAGUCGCUGGUGUCUUCGACGAAGGUGCCGGAGGAGGCGGGGACUGCUUCGACGGUGGCGGCGGCGGUGAGUGCUGUGGAGGCGACGGUGUCGGCGGCGGGGGAGACGACGAGGAAGCCUUCGGUGGAGGUGGCGGCGGAGACGACGAGGAAGCCUUCGGCGGGGGUGCCUGUGCCUUCGGCGCUGGCGGCCCUCCCGCGGGGGACGUGGCCAGAUGCUCGGUUGACGCUGCCAUGAGGGCGCGCGGCAUCACAGGGCCGCCGCGCGCUCGGCGGUGUCGUCGUCGUUUUCGGCCGGGAGAGGGAGAGUGGUUAGGAGCCGCGCAUCGAUCGGCAGGUGGGGGAGGACCGGAGGGGGGCAGCGGCCGGCCGGAUUCCGCCUCUCACAUAGGCAUGGAUGGGUAAACGAAUGUCCGUCCGGCGGCACGGCAGGCCCCGAUCGAGGUAGCCGGCACGGCAGCGUUGGUGGAGACACGGAAUGCGCCUCGCCUUGGCGACAACACGGCCGCGGCGUAAUGUGCUCGUGCCCCUUUUCGGUUUUCCUCCGUAAUUUUUCUUUUUUUUUUUCCCCCCCGCUGUUUUUCCUUGCCUUGCUUUUCUUGGAUGGGUGGAGGGGAGCAUCGAGAAAUCUGGGCGGCCGCAGGAAGAAACCGGCGCUAACUUGAAUGUGUUUGAUUGAGUUCCUGACGACGAAGCAACGCGCGGGCAGUGAUUGACACGUCACUUGGCUGUUCACCUCUCUGCAAGAUUUCAUACACAUGCUAAAUUUAGCUACAUGCAGGUGCAAGAGCUGCAUAGGAUUGAGCUUUAUCAUAUUGCAAGAGUAUGCCUAUCUUUCAUUCUAGUGUUUGAGAGGCCGGGAACACUCGAUUUUUUUUCUUGUACUCGUCUUCUUCCUCCUCCCGCCGCCCCUGCCGCAGGCGUGGUAGGGUCUCUUCAGAGCUCCGGUGAGACCCUAGCAUGCCUGCGUGGCCACCCUCUUCUCCUCUCAUCGCCGCUUUCUUUUCCAACUCUAGCGAGCUCAGUCGUCACCAUCUUCUCCAACUCUUUCGAGACUCCCCUGCCCCAUCCUGGCCUGGCCACCGCUACCAUCGUCAGGGUCCCUAAACCGUCCGGCCACCAUCCCCACUGCCUGGCCUACCUGCCUCCCCCUGAUCGCCUUCUUCUAUAGCCACCGCCGCCAUCAUCUUCAUCUUCGGUGGGCACAAACCAGGAGGAGGAGGGGAGCCCGCCUACCUCAUUGGCGCCGGCGCUACCGGAACCUGCCGCUACCGCCGGAGGGGAGAGAGAGAGGAGCCACGUGGGGGCAUGGGCACGGGCGUGGUGGGAGCAGUUGCAUGCUGUGGAGAAUCGUGUGUUGGAUUUGUCCAAAACACGCAGAUGCCAUAUAGAAUUUAUGUUUUGCAAAGGGUUAUAUACAUAUCAAUACAUGUGUUAGUGAAAACUAGUGAGGAUCCAACACCUUUGCCCCCAAUUCAAGAGCAUAAGAGCAUCUCCACCAGGUCUCCUUUUCUCUUCCCCUUAAAACCACCUAUAGGGGAUUGAGAAAACUAACUUUAUGUUAUUAGGGGGACUAUGCAAUAGAUUGAGAAAACAUAUCCUUUUUAGGUAGGACCCACGUGUCAAUGUCUAAACCACCUUCUUCUUCCACUGUUUCCUCUCUGCAUCUCUCUCAUUCAUGGCAUGCCUGCUCACCAUGGCAGCGGUAGCAUGGCCUAUGCUCUUGCCUAGUGCGACGAUGUGGCUCGCGCUUGCCCGACACAACAGCGGCAUGGCUUGCGCUUGCUCGACACGACGACAACUUCCCACAUGCUUGCUCAAUGUCAUGACAGUGAUGGCCAGUGUGGGCCUAAGAUGACAUAAAGAGGAGGAAAAGGGAUUGGCAAAAAAAGUCUAUUGGAUCCCCUCCAUUUGAGGAACUGAGGGGAGAUUUUGAGGGAUUGUAAAAGAAUAUAGGGAAAAGGGAUUAAGAAAAGGGGAUCUAAUGGAGCUAUUUUUCAAUUUAUUGCCCUGUAUGAUAGAUUUUAGAAAAAGGCGACUUUUUUUCUCGGUCUAGUGUAGAUGCUCGAUCUUAAGUGAAGUGAUAUUUGACAAGAGUAAUUCCCUCUCUAUUUGAAAUAUUAGCACAAAUCUUGUUGAGAUGGCUUUGUGGCCCCGGCUAAUGAAGCGCAACAAGUCUUGGAGUUUUUUAAAGUCAACUAAAAAAAUCUCAUGAUUGACGAAGUCACCACAUGUGUCUCGUUGUCGACGGGCACGUCAUCUAGCACUGAAAGCAUAGCGCCGUUAACUCUGAGAAUAAAUUCAAAAAAAAUACGAGCACAAGUCAAUGACUUAACCUGGGUGGGUAGGUUCCACCACAAGGAACCCAAUCAACUGAUCUAUGAUCACAACUCAGUUCUUCGAAGGUACUCAUACGGGUAGGGUGUGCGUGUGUGCGUUUAUAGGAGUAAGUAUGCGCUCGUGUAGGUGAGCGUAACUGGGUCUCACAAAAAAAGUUAAUUAAAAAAAAAUCACCUGUAUCUAUGUUUUUCUUUAGAACCGGGCUAUCAAAGUGAACAUGCUAAGAUGGGCUGCUGUAGUCAUAACGGCCCAUGACAUUUUCAUGAGUUGCUUAAUCCUUCUUCAAACCAAGAUCAACCUUUUAAAACCCCACGCAAAAAUGAAAGGAAAAUAUAGCUACGAAUGCCGAGUUUAGGUACUCGCAAGUUUCUACUAUAACUUUUGAGAAAACAUGCAAGGUAUAAGGGAGUGUUUAGUUGGGGUAUUGAAGUUUAACAGAUACUAUAGCAUUUUUGUUUUAUUUGGUAACUAGUGUCCAAUCAUGAACUAAUUAGUUUUAAAAGAUUCGUCUUGCAAAUUAUUCUCUAGUCAUAUUUUUAAUUUUAUAAAUAAUAUAUAUUUAGUACUUCAUACAUAUAUCCCAACAUAUGGAAUGAAAGUUAAAGUUUAACUACGCGAACCAAACAGGGCCUAAAUCAUACUACUAGUGUGCAGAUACUCGUGCAACCUUCUUUUUCUUGGGACCAUCAUCAUCAAUUCCUCAGCCGGCUUUGGAUAUUUCCAAAGUUCCAUGGAAGAGAUAUGCCAAUUUGUGCAGCGUCCGGGCUGUGACCAGCCCAACUCCCGCUGGACCUGUGAAGAGUGGGCUCGCUAGGCGGCCCAGCCCAAAGUAGUGCGCGUUGCGUGUUUCACUCGCUCUCUGUUGCCUGCAUGCGUACCCAUGCAAUAAAAAAUUCAGCUUGCUCAAAAACAAAAAACAAAAAAUUAAUUAAAUUUAGUGAUGUUAAGGCCUUGUUUAAAUCAAAAAGGUUUUGGAUGUUGAUACUGUAGCAUCUUCGUUUUUAUUUGACAAACGUUGUCCAAUCAUAGAGUAACUAGGUUUAAAAGAUUCGUCUCGUGAUUUACAGUUAAACUGUGUAAUUAGUUUUUAUUUUCAUCUAUAUUUAAUGCUUCAUGCAUAUGUCAUAAGAUUCAAUGUAACAAGAAAUUUUAAAAAAAAUAGUUUUUGAGUGAGCUAAACAAGACCUAAAUCCUGUCCUCGCCGACCUUCUCGCCCACGUCUCGUUCAUCCCCCUUCCUCCGUGCUGCUCACACAGUUGUACGAAGUUCCAGUAUAUAUUAAUUAAAUUAAAAUCCAUGUCGCAGUCGUACCUUGGAUGCUUAUCAUAAAUCUGAUCACGUGUUCUCAGCAGCAUUCAUGUGGUUUGCCUUUUGCUUCAACGGUGCUAAUCAAUCUAGAAUGUCACCCCUCCUUUUUCAUGUUAUAGAAAUAGACGUCUCUAAUGUCAAAAGUCAAUAAAUAAAUAAACCUAACUCAGACACCAUCUCACCGGUAGCAGAUCAACGUCCGAGCACCCUGUCUAAUCCAUUGAGAUUAUGGAGAAAUAGUAAAACCACUGUGUGGGUCCCUGAGCUUGGAAGGUCUAGGACAUGGCGACUGACGCACACUCGACUUUCGAACUUUUCACGAGCAAGUCACGGUCGGUCCUGGUCCAAAUCUAAUUUUCAAAGAGAAUCCUUAACGAAAUAUAGUACGUAAUUGUCAUCAACGGAUUUUAUAUAGAAAACAAAUGUUUUAGGAAAAUAAUAUUAUGGCAUUAUAUAUUUGCUUGCACAGCUCCGCUACUGCGUGCCCAAGCUUAAUUAGCUGGUGCCCACCAACAGCUAUCGAUGCCGGCAACGGCAAGCCUCCCACGUCAGAAGCUUCCUCGUGCUGCUGCUUGUGCUUGGUCCCCAAGCCGGUCUGGUCUCCGUCUCCCGUCUUCAUCUAGAAGGAAUACGCUCCGUUGCUUGGAGUUGGAGUACUUGAGGAUCGUUUAGUUUCUAAAAAAAAAGAAAAAUUUUCUGUUACAUCAAAUUAUUAGACGUAUAUAUAUUGUAUUAAAUAUAGAUAAAAAAUAAUUAAUUAUACAGUUUACUUGUAAUAUACGAUACAAUUUUUUAAACCUAAUUAGUUUAUAGUUGAAUAAUAAUUAUUAAAUACAAACAAAAAUAUUAUAAUAGUUAAACUUAAAAAAUUUCGCGAACUAAAUAAUGUCUUACUCAAGCAACGAGGGAUGGACCCACGGUAGGUUCCAUGUGGGCCCGUUCAUUUAGUCAAGGCCUGCCUGCUUAUCCACUCUGUUGACGCGCUUGAUGAGGAUUUUGUCUGCUCUGUUCAUCCAGAGCUCUCCUUGCUCCUGUUCCUACCCUGAAGCUGCAGGUCAACCCACAAGCUUGUCAUUGUUGAUAGGAAAAGAGAGGUUGUACUAGCCUGUUUGGACGGAUCGGUAGGUACAUGCAACGGAGUGGAGGCAAUUAAUCUGGAAGCGCUCCUAGUGACCCAAAAAAAAAAAAGCGAGUAACGACCGUGUGGAACAAAGCUGGCACUGUCCAUUCGACCACUUCUCACUUUUUAAUAGUCCGGAAUAUAGAGUCCACGUGAGAGAAAAAAAAAUAAAAUUCUGUUCUAGAAAUCGCGACCACAGCACUGAACCGCCAAUGCCUUUUGCUCCCUCCUCCCGUCUGCUUUCAUCCGUGCACGAGUGUUUUCCAACUUUCUGCGAGGAAUGAGCACAGUUUCCAUAGCAGUUUUUUCCCCUUUCGAGACCGAGAGAAGUCAGCCGGCAGCAGGUGCACUGCAUUGUUGUGAAAAGUGGGGCUGGACCUGGAAGUCUGGAACAGAACGUUCCAUGAUGUGUGCUGGAAAAGCGGGGUCAAAUGUUCUACCACGACGGGUGGAAUAGAAGGCUAAAAAGUGAUUGUGAAUUUUUUUUUUACUGAAGAUAAGUUUAAGCGAACAAGUUAAGCCCCGUUCGUUUAGGGUGAAAUGGGAUCAGAAAUUGUUCCACCUGAUGAUGAAUCUUAUACAAAUUUGUGAACCAAUCCAGCUAGGAAUUAUUCCAGACCUUCAAUCCUGAAAACACGAACAAGGCCUUAAUCUUCACAAAAAGAUGACUGGCUGGACAAGUGGUCAAAGUAAAAUUAAACUGAGGCAACGCCGGUGCUGAAGCAUCAACCUUCAGGCCUAGCCCACCCACCACCGCGACGGAGCAACGCCGGUGCCUCGGUGCUGGCGGCGGCGCUGGCGCACGGUGGCCUCGAUCUUUUAUCCGGCACGUACCCAUGUGAUGAGAGCUUGGACAGGCACAACACAAGCGAUCGUUCCAUGCCUUGAUUAGCAGCAGACAAGGCGAUGUCUAAUUGGUCUCUUUGGAUUGUGUGUACGUUGCCUUGCAAGUUUCCUACUCUGGCACAAAAGUCAGAUCUCAUUAAUCACCGACUACGUCGAUAGAUCAAGAUGAUCAUCAUGUUGGGAAUUACCGGUCUAGUUUUGUCGAUUAACGCACGGUUGAGAAACGAUCAAGUAACGUACGUACACUCCUUUGUGGUGAUUGUGGUUGCGUAAACAACGACGACGGACUGACGGAUCCACUGAUGCCAUAUAUAUAUAUAAGACGACACUACGUGUUGGGCACAUGUGUCGUGCUCGCGGUCGCGGCGUUACCCUGCUUACAGCGUGUCUGCUACGACAUAAGUUCAUGCCUAUAAUACUCUUAUGGAACAGAAGAAGAGUUGAGACAGACAACGAACAUUACAUGAUACCAGGACAUUGACUUGCGCUCAAACAAGUUGCAGCAAGGAAUUCAGGCCUUGUUUAGUUCGUGAAAUUUUUUGGCUUUAACUGCUGUAGCACUUGUGUUUGUAUUUAAUAAUUAUUCUAAUCAUGGACUAACUAGGUUCAAAAAAUUUGUCUCGUAAAUUACAAAUAAAUUAUAUAAUUAGUUUUUAUUUUCGUCUAUAUUUAAUAAUCCAUACGUACGUCUAAAGAUUCAAUGUAAUGGAGAAUCUUGAUAUUUUUUGAAAACUAAACCAGGCCUCAGCUAAACAACACAUAUUGCUCACUUUGAUACCAAGACAACCUCGGAGUUCUUCGGUAGUCGAUACCAUAGGUCCACCUAGACAGGUGCCACCACACCGUCUUGUUCGUUUGGUUGAUAAACUCUGGCAGAAACACUGUUGAAUAGCUGAUUAAUUUAGCUGAUAAGUUCAAACAAACAAGGCGAAAACAAAAACAAAAUUAGAAUCAAAAUAUACUUUUUGUUAGGAGAAAAACAAAUAGGCAUUCGAAAGGUCAAGCUCGUGAUGCUCAUAAUCGCAAAAGGCGAAGCACGUGCAGCAUGAUAACUUUUUUUUUAUCAUGCAGCACAAUAUACUCUUGGACAUGAAACUCAGGCAUGUGUUUAGAUCGAUUUAUUAACUACUCCUAGUUUAUAGGUAGCAGUUGCUCGUUGUUAGGUACUACUCUUUAUUAGUUUAUAUAUAGUUAUUUAGAUCCAUUAGUAUAUGGCUAGAUAGUUCAUUACAGAGAUGUAUAUGAACUACUCCUUCCAUAUUAAAAUGUAACAUAUAUAUCUUCCCAAAAAAAUAUAAGGUAUAUUUAAACAUUCACAUUUUAUCUAAAUUAUAAGACAUUUUAGGUGAUAGGCCUCAUCCCAAUUUUUUAAAAAGCAGCAUCUUCAUGUGUAUCUACUAAUAGUGUCCAUCACACCAAUCCAAAUGUGGUAAUCAAAAUAUUUAUCCUGUGAUUAAUGAAGGAUUAAACGUGUUAUGUGAUCUAUCCUUUACCCUUAAAGCUGUAUAUCGCAGCCCCUCUCACACAUCACUGUAUAUCAACGUAUCCAGUAAAAAGUACGUCCCUGUUAUGCUGAACAGUAGACCAGUAAACAAUGUGUACCCGUUAUGUUGAACAGUAACAGAUCCAGUGAAUAGUGCGUACCUGUCAUGUUGUGAACAGUAUCAGAUCCGUGAAUAGCGACGAACCCAAUGAACAGUAAAAAAUCCAAGCUCUACCUGUUAGAGCAACUCCAACAGAUAUGCUAUCCAUGUUGUCUAGGCUAUUUUUACAUUUUUAAAGCAAAAGUUAAACUCCAACAGAUGUGCUAUCUGGUUUGCUAAAAUAGCAAGUUUGCUAUUCCUAAACUUUCGCUUGUCAUAUAUAGCAUGUCGUCCUCACUAGCUAUCCUAUACAAAGGCUGUUGUGGAACUCUAUGCUUUGAGUGAGUUUUUUAUUUUACACAAUGGCUAAAUCUUGUAAUUUAGAAUAUAAUUUUAGCUAGUCUCUUGGAGAUGCUCUUAGGUUGUGAACAGUAACGGAUCCGGUAAACAAUAACCGUCCACUAGCUUAUGAACAGAUCCAGUAAACAUCACACACCCAUUACAAAAUUGUCCAUACCCGUUAUGACAGUCCAAACCGUAACAAACUAUACAAAUCCGUUGUACAUUAAUACCCGCCACCAUCAUUACAAAUCUGGUACUACACCAAACAAACCCAUUACUGCUCCAAACCUUAAUUUUUUUUCCUUUUUUCUCCACUUCUCUUUCCACGCUGGAUAACGAACUAAUUCUCCCUCUCCUUCCCCGCACAAACCACGGGGUCUCCCACUAUUUCUCAAUGAUUGCUAGCCCGCGCAACUGACAGGGAUCCAUGCUAGUUUAUCUUAUAACUAGAAGAUACCCCGUGCAUUACUAAGCAUUUGGAAUGAAAUUAAUAAGUGGAGAUGAUAUGGAUAGCUUGCAAUAAAAAUAUUAGAAAUUAGUGGUAGAUGACAUGGAUAGUUAGGCACUGUUUAGUUUUCCACCAAAAAUUUUUCAUCCAUCCCAUCGAAUCUUUGGACACAUACAUGAAACAUUAAAUGUACAUAAAAAAUAAACUAAUUACACAAUUUGGUUGAAAAUCGCGAGACGAAUCUUUUAAGCCUAAUUACUCCAUGAUUAGCCUUAAGUGCUAGAGUAACCCAAAUAUGCUAAUGACAGAUUAAUUAUGCUUAAUAGAUUUGUCUUGCAGUUUCCUAACGAGUUAUGUAAUUUAUUUUUUUAUUAGUUUCUAAAAACCCCUCCCGACAUCCUUCCGACACAUCGGAUGUGACACCUAAAAAUUUUCAUCUUCAAUCUAAACAAGGCCUAAGGAGGAGGAUAUGGAUAGCUUGCAUGUUGACUUGUUGAGAAAGACUUGUAGUGGGGAUUAACUUUAUAAGAGAUAUAGAUAUGUCAUAAAAUCCUGAGAUACCUUGUACUUUAUGAUGGAAGUAGCACCAGUCCAAGGCAAUGCCAAAUUAUUAGAGCAUCUCCAAGACUUUUCAAAAUCCACUCUCAAUUUAGAUUUGUUCGCAAGAUUGGAAAAAAAUGCUUUCCAAUAACUCCUUUAUCUCAACUCCUAAUCUUUUAGCACAUGGGACAAAUAAUUGACUCUUGACUCACGUGAAAGUAUCCACGUGUGUAUCGAUAUGACAAUCUAGAGGUGAAAGGCCAUAGAAUGAAUAAGAAAAGGACAUGGUUUCCAAUGCAAAUGCAUAAGGAAGAAGAAUGUAUAAAAGUGGUUGGGGCCGGUGAUCUAUAAACAGUAUGAGAUUUCUAAUGUAAAAUUAUCUUCUAUAUAUUUUUGGAGUGAUAUUUUAAAAAUUAUUGAAGGAACCCAACAAAUAUGCUCCCAACAUUUUUAGCCACUUUGAAAACUCAUUGAUUUGUUCCAAAAAAACUCAUUGAUUUACCAAUUAUUAUUUGGGAAACUAUUUGAGAUGAACUAGUAAUUAUUAAGAGCUCCACCAUGUAUUAGAUAGGAAGCAUAUUUGGAUUUCACCCGCUAAUUUUAACUUUUUUAGUUGUUACUCCCUCACUCAUGAGAUACAAGGUACCCUAGGAAUUUUAGAACAGAUUAUGGUAUAAAAACAAAUAUACCAUAUUUUGAUUUUGGUGGUAGACACUAAUGGCAAGUAUGCAUGUGAUUGGUGUAUUGGGAGGAGUUAAUUCACCUAGAAUAUUUUAUAAUUUAGAAUAAAAUUUGAAUGUUUCAAUACUUUAUUUAUAUUUUAGGACAAAAUAGAACUACUAUCACUAUAGAAUAAUUAAACCUGUCCUUGUUGUGCAUUUAUGCUUAAAGUUAUUAUUAUAGGAAAAUGAAGCCUGUCAUUUGAAUCGUUAUGCUCACGCAAACCAAAUUCACAGAAAGUAGUAUGGUCCUUGAUUAUCAUCUCAAACAAAAGAGUGAAGAAAGACCCAGUGCUCAUAGAAUAAUUAUUAGCUAGAUGAAUUAGGGGUUGUAUACGUACACAAGCAGCCAGUAUGGACUACGGAGUAGCUAGAGAUGCUUACCCGACUAUCCGAGACUGCAAACUACUCGAAACUUCUAUUUUUACAAAUUUUCAUUUCCAAAAUUUUCUAUUUUCGAUUAAAAAUUGCAAAUGUAUAUGUACUACAUUAUAUUGUCUAGACUUGUUUAAAGAACUUUAUUAAGCGUGUAUGUUUCUUCCAAUCAAAGCGCGCACUCAGCAUAAUUUUCACGCGAACAUUGUCUCUAGACUUGUUUAAAGAAACGUAUAUUAUGGAAAAUUUAUAGAUAACUUGUACAUACAAGUUUUCUUGUUAACUUAUUUGCGGAAACUUUUAUUUUUUAAAAUCCCUAAAUCAAUGCCAUCGCACAGGCACAGUAGCGUUUUGUUGGGAGGAUCGGAGGUGAAAAACAAAAUGUACGUACACGCCGGACGCGUUCCCUUCGUUCAGAAGCUUAAUUGACAUCUCAAAUUCUUAAUUAACCUAGUUUUCAAGAGAUCGAUUGAACAUGAUUUGCUCGUUUAAUAGACUUGCGAAGAAAUGAAAGCCAUGCAAGAGAGCAUAAACCGAGUUGCCGCUCAUAAUGACGAAAGAUCAAGCACGUGCAGCAUGAAAGCUCUUCCUAACGCGGAGAUGGAACUUUUAUGCAUUUAUUAUAUGCUUGACAAUAAUAGGAAAAUCGAAACCCAUCAUCGGAUCUUUAUGCUUACGCGAACCAAAUUUUCACCGGUCCCUAAAUUAAUUUAUUCGGGUGUAUCAUCCCGAUUCCUAAACUCACAAAACGACUAUUUAGAUAUCUAAAUUUGUUCGGUUAUAUCAUCUUGGUCCCUAAGCUUGAAAAUCUCCCAUAUAGGUCCUUAAACUUGCUCAAUUGUGUCAUCUCGGUCCCUAAACUUGUUUUUAAGUCUCAUCUGGAUCAAAACGGAGCGAAUCUAAAAACUCUAUUCAAAACAUAAUUCAUAACUUUUCAUAUGAACUGAAAUGAAGAUAAACUUUAUAUCAAAAUUGUAGCCAACAAUACGAUUUACAACUUUGUAGUUAAAAAGAUUUUAAAUUAAAAUCAUUUAGGGUUCCCAAAAUAUUUUUUUAAGUUUAUAGACUUUGAAAUUUAAAACUUAAAAAUUAAAUUCUAUGACACUAAAUGUUUUAAAUAAAAAUUUUCAACUACAAAGUUGUAGAUCGCGUUGAGCACUAUAACUUUAGUAUAAAAUUUGUCACCAUUCAAGUUUGAGACGUCUCCAAUAUAGGCUUGUUUAGUUCCAAAAAUUUUUAGAAAAUCGACAAUGUAACACUUUCGUUUGUAUUUAACAAAUAUUGUCCAAUCAUAGACUAACUAGGCUUAAAAGAUUUGUCUCAUCAAUUCCGACCAAACUGUGCAAUUAAUUUUUAUUUUUAUCUAUAUUUAAUACUUCAUGCAAUUGUCUAAAGAUUCGAUGUGACGAGAAAUCUAAAAAAUUUUGCAAAUUUUUUUGGGAACUAAACAAGGCCUAGAGGGAAGAAAUACUCACUGCUCGUAGGACACUAUCCUUGUUUACUUCCCUAAAUAUUUUGCAAAAUGUUUCAGAUUCUCCGUCACAUCAAAUCUUGUGAUACAUAUAUGAAGCACUAAAUAUAGGUAAAAAAGAUAACUAAUUACACAAUUGCAUGUAAUUUGUGAAAUGAAUCUUUUGAGCCUAGUUAGUCUAUAAUUGGAUAAUAUUUGUCAAAUACAAACGAAAUUGCUACUGUUCACAUUUUGAAAAAAAAAAUUUGUAAGUAAACAAAACGGGGCAAGCGCUAUAUGUACAGUCAAGCAGCCUGCACGGAAUAGAGACGCUAGUCCGAUAUGAUAAGAUAGCAAGCUCAAACUUAAAGCUAUUUGGACAUGGCCACACAAUCUCGAAAGUCUCUAUUUUUAGGAAUUUUUAUUUCCAAAAUUUUUCUAUUUUAAAGAUUAUAAAAACCACAUUUGGUCCAGUUUGCAAAAUUUUUUUGUAUAAGACAAAAGUCAAACUUGAUAUUCUUCCACCAACUAUUUAGCUAAUAAUUUUAAAUUAUUGUAGAAGUUUGAUACUAUAGACUUGUAAUCAAAUAUACUAUCUACUGGUCAAAGUGAAAUAAUAUCUUCCGGAGUAUAUUAUAUUUGAUUACAAACAAUAUAAGUUUAUAACCAUAAACAACAUACUAUCCUCGGAGGAUAGUAUAUUAUAAGUCAAAGUAAUAUAGUAUCUUCCGGAGUAGAUACUAUAUAUUUGAUUAUAAACAAUAUAAGUUUAUAUUAUAUUUAUAUUAGUAUAUUAUAUUUGAUUUAUAAGUCAAAGUAUAUACUAUCUAUUGGUCAAACAAUAUAAGUUUGUAAUCAUAAACAAUAUAAGUUUAUAGUAUCUUUAGUUUGAUAUACAACUUAAUUACUUUGACUUGUAAUCAAAUAUACUAUUAUAUUGAGUAUGAAUUUAUAUUGUGUAUGUUUAUAAUAAUACUAUAGACUAGUAAUAUUUAUAAAUAUAUAACCAUAAAUAAUAUGAUAUAAAAUAAAUAACUUAUCAAAGUGUAAUUUAGUAGACCAUGUCAUGAUGGAAGAUGCCUUAUAAACUAGAUCGAGGGUUGUACAUAACUAUAUGUAUAAUUAAGUUGUAUCCACAACGUUUUCUAGACAAAGCUCCCAUCAUAACUUUUAAAAAGCAUUGCCACUUGACCCAUUUAAAGAAAUAUUAUGAGAAAUUUUAUGGAUGACCUGUAUACAUAAGUUUUGUUGCUAAGUUAUGUGAGACAACUUUUACUUUUUGAAAUACGAACAAUUAUACACAAUUUUUCAUUGCUAGCAUGUUCUUAAAAUAUCUUGUUUAAAGUAAGUUUUCAAAGCAACUAUUUCAGCUAUGUGUUUUUAAUUUGUUUAUUUAUUGUAUAUAAAUCUUUUUAUUUUUUGCAAGUGCCACCGGCAACCCAAUGACAACACUUGUGGCUUCUACACUGCACAUCACAUGACCUUAGCAAUGGCGGCUUCAACUUGUGAAGAUCCUUUGGUAUAAACUUGUGUGAACUCCUGGAGCUAGAAAUGGCUCCUUCUAGUGCUAAUUUAUUUGUAGUGUUAUCCUGAAAUGUUGUGUUUGAAUGCAAGGAUUUUGAGGUGCCAACAGUAGAACUGGAAUUAAGUGUGCUCUGGGAAACCCGAGAAGCUAUUUCCUCAUUCCUGAUAUCGCAAGUGGUGAAAUCGGCUGCAAACUCUUGUGAAGAUCAUUCAUAAAGUGUUUGUGGGAACCCUAGCUAGAACUAGAACUCUUAUCAUUUGAUUUUGCUGGGGCUAGAUAAACUUGCGUGUGCUUAUCUAAUUCUACACCUUUUUUGUAUACUUUUGUUUAAACCACUAAUGUGUGACUUACAUCCACUAAUUUGAGACGGCGGUUCAGAAAAUGCGUCUUUUUGGUUUUGGCACAUUUUUUCUGAGACGGGUUGCUAGUAACCACCAGAGACGGUUGUGUAGCCGUGUGUAAUAUAUGUAUAACUGAGACGGGGGUACGCCCAUUGCAUUUAUAUAAAAAUUGAGACGGUUUAUAAUCGUACCCCGUCGAUGGCUGUUUCAUUAUUGAGACGGUCGUUAGUUUAGCCAGCCGUCUGUGACCCUUAUUACCAGAGACAGUUGUAAAGACGUCUGUGUUAUAUUUACAACUGAGACGGGGUACACCCGUCGUCAUUCUACAGGUCCUGAGACGCUUUAUAAAUGAUACCUGUCGCUGGCUCUUCAUUACUGAGACAGUUGGUAGCUGUCUGUAGCCUAAAUUAUCACAGACGGGUGUUCAUAAAAUCUGUCUCUUAUAACAAAUAAUCUGAGACGGUUGUUUACCCGUCACUAGGUCUGGCAUAUCAGAGACGCAAAUUUUCAGACGCAUGGCCUAUCCGUCUCUAAGAAGCGUUGACAACCGUCUGAAAAGUUUUUUUCUGCAGUAGUGAUAGGGUCUAAGGACAGCCCCAACUGAUGGUGAAGUUGCUACAACGUUGGGCUUAGAUCGACGUGAACAUAUGAGAGAAAGUAGAGAAAAACCAACUAGCGACUGUUUUUUUCAGUAGUCAGAUAAAGGAGUAUAUAUGUUGUGCUUCUCUCUCCUAGCACAGUAACCUCUUACAUCAGCCAUGGUGUUCUCCACCUCUCUCUCUCCUUCUCGCUACAUCUUGGGAGCCCGCAUUGGCAUAGCCAGAUAGGGAAGCAGUUGCAUUGCCGAUAGGGCAAUACAACUCAUAAGUGAGACCCAUAAGAUAACCGUGGCAUCAAAUUGUCAGCAGCUUACUAAGCUACAUUCCUACAUACUAGUAUAAUGUCCGUGCUAACGCUACGGUUUUAUCUCAGGAAUGUACAUAAAAACAUUCAAUGAUUUUAUUUCAUAGUUUAACUUUUACACAAUCAUAUUUAAACAUGUAUACAAUCUAGAAACACUUUUGUAUAAAGGAAGCCUCCGAAUCUCGUGGAGAAGAGCAUUUGUUUAUUUAUUGUAUAUAAAUCAAAUGACUAUUUUGUGAUAAUAAAGAUGAAAUGUAUUCCAAGUGAUUACCAGUCUUUAUUUGAUGAAACUUUUAUAACACAAGUAGGGAAUCUUCUCUUCAUGGCGAGACAGAACCUUUUAGCAAUAGUGUGAAAUGUAUAACCCUUGAAACAUACUUCAUUUAGAAGUGGAUCCAUAAUGUACAUAGUUUUGUUUUGCAUGUUCAUUAUGAAUAAAAUGUAUAGCCCAUCUCGAUAAUAUGGUAGUAGAAUCUAAAAACAAACACAAACUAUAAGUGAUAAAUAAAAUAUAAUAAGCUUUUAAAGGAGUAUACUGAACAUAUCUUACAUUGUUGCAAUCUUUAAUUUUGUACUCCAUAUCAGGCCAGCACUCAAGUACUUUUGCGAGUUUCUUGUUGUCUAGCUUGUCACAACAUCGCGGAUCUCGUCCAAACUGAGUUAUGGACUUUCCAGUUUGCAAAAUUCAAAUUUUUUUUGAUUAAUUAUACAAUUGUAUAUAUUAUAGUAGAGAUUGAUGAAUUAUACAAUUAAGACUUGGAUGAACUUACAGCAAACUGGAGGUCCAUGAAGUGGUAUUUUUGCUUCUUCAACAACAAGGAUUCAUUUGACGCAGCUAUCCUAACAACCAUGUUGAAGCAAUCAUGAUCCAACUCUCUAUUGUCAUCUAAAAUUUCUCUAAUUUUUCUAGGACUUAAAGAAAUUGUGUAUAGUUGUGUGCUUCGAACCCACUCUUUGCUACAAAACAAUGACAAGGAACAAAUUACUUAUUGUAGCAAUUCAAUCAUGGAUAUUGGAAAAUCUAAUUUAGAACAAAAUAAUUCUCAGUAAAAAAUGACUUACUCCAAAGGUUCAGCAUCGACACAUUCUCCUAUACUGACAUAAUAAACUGAAAACAAAACUUCGAUCAGGUUGUUGCAGAGCAAUGUACCUGUAAGCUAGCAACGACGCGAGCGCCGUGUCUGCGCCGGCGUGAUCAUCAUGACGGCGGCAGAGGCGGGCGAUCGUCGUUGCCAGGCACCGCGCGGCUUUGUCGUUACCUCGUCAAAGUGCGUGGGUGUGGGCGUUGACAUGAUACUGAUCGUCGCGGCGGCUGCUCGACAUGUACAAGUUAGAAAAAUAUUUAUAAGUAAGAAUCAUGUAUAAUCACAACCAGAAAACCCUUGAUACCGCCUAAUGCAAAUAAGUUUAAAAAUAAAUUACUUGAGAUUUCAAUUUUAUUUUCUUCCUUGUCAUCCGAAUGUGCAAUUAUGUGUUUACCCACGCCACUUCAUUCGUUGUUGUUUUUGGAUAUCUAUUGGUCAUGUCCUUUGCUUGGAGAUAUUCUGGUUUUGUGACAAUUUACACGAUCAUAACUGAAGCAGUAAAGAGCAAUUAUGAAGAAAUAAUCUAGGGACGGAAGUUCGACUGCAGGAUUUGAGAAGAUGUGGACCAUCACAUACAACAGAAGUGAACCUUAGAAGUGAUAGGUCUACUGUAGUUCACAAUAUCGAGUUGCCUCCAUUAUCCCAAGGGAGAAUUACAAGGUCGUAUGGACACCUUCAAUAGUGAUAAGGGCAAGGGAAAUAGUUCAAAAUCUCUUGCUCUACCAGCAGUUACAUGUGAUUCAGUACCUGAUGAUGCAAAGCUUGAAGGAUACAGAGACCACAAAGACUCCAUGCAUUCAGAGGAGGAACAUACUAAGGUGAGGAUUGUCACUGCUUCAUGCUCAAGAGCUAGUGCAUUAGCUGAGAAAACAACAAAAAGUGUUACACAGCUUGAUUUGAUGCCUGAUUCGCUAAGCCAGACGACCUCUAACAGUUCUGCACAAAUUACCUGAGAAUGUGAAGUCUGAUUUGUUUAGUGCACUUCCAUCAGGAGAUCCUGCAUGCAGCACUUGUAAUGUAUCUGAAAGUAAAUCACUUAAUGUUGCUAGAGCUGAAAAGAGAUCUCCUAAUGAUGGUGGAGCUGAUGAUCCAGAAAAUCCAAGGACUUUUCUCCCACCAGAAAGUUCUCAAAAAUAGAUUGAACAGUUUAGAGUUAGCAGUUGCCUAAUUUUGAAUGUAAUUGCAGAGCAACAUACAGAUUUGAGCUGUCCGAUAGUAGAAUUAUCAGGAUAUUUUUCCCAUCAAAUAAAACAGUGACCAUGUAAUCAUGUUGUGUUACUACUUGCAUCUCUACUUCAUGAUAAAUAAAUCGAACAUGCAUCCAUAUUUAAUUUAAAUAAUUAUACAAGUCUUAUAGAAGCUGUAGACGUGGGAAUAAAUGAAAGACACCUGCGUGCUUGGCGUAUGGAUCCGCAGAACAAGGUGAUCGUCAUGUGCGUGACCGCGGCCUCCCCUCUGCCACGCGUGCGUGAUCGUCGUGGCCGCUGCACGGGCUCGGGUGUGGCUUCCUCCCGGCGAGCAAUCAGAAGGCUCGUCGAGGCUGCUGCUUGGCGCGACGACUGCACGGGCUUAGGCGUGCGUCCUCACGAGGCCGGCUUCCUCCUGCCGCGGUCGCAGGCGAUCGACGCGGCGACUGCGCGGGCUCGGGCGUGCGUCCUGGUGAGGCCGGCUUCGUCCUGGCGCGGGCGCAGGCGAUCGGCGCGGCGGCUACUCGGAGCCAGGCGUGAUCCCGUGAGGCUAGCUUCCUCCUGGCGCGGGCGUAGGCGAUCGGCGCGGCCUCCACAGCUGGGUGAUCGGAGGCCGGUUUUUCUUUUUUUUUCUUCGAUUCGAUGAUGCUUGGAGGUUCGGCGCCGGGUGCGGCCUGAGAAGUCACGGGUGAGAGAAGCCUGGCUUCCCACAUUCAAUCGUGGCCAUUAGAUUUGAUAGAUGUGUUUUUUUAGCCAUUGAUUUUAAUGGUGUAGGACUAUUGUGUACAAUUUCCUGGAUACAUAAUGGUUGGAGACUCCCCGUGGGGGACGAUUUGCUGGGUGGACCAAGUAUAAUUAAAGAAUUCCAUUAUAGUAGAAGAAGAAGAUACACGCGUGAAUGAACUACUGGCGCAGCGUCGUGGCCUCGUGGGGCUAUGGCGCACACCGCAGGGUUAGUGUUGCGCCCGAGCGUUGGCAUUUUUUCUCCCGGGCUGGGUGCUGUCUAUUGGCACAUGCGGAAACUGAAAUCAUUGUCUAAUAAAUCGAUCGUUGCAAAGUUGAAGUGCAUGGCACGCACGGACGACGCACCUCUCCAUGGGUCGACAAAUAGGAUAUAGUACAGCAGCGGCGCAAUUUCCAUGUGGGACGUUGCUUCUCUUGGGUUCGCUACGGUGGCUCAUGAUUAUAGAAGGGGCCGCGCGUGCUCCCAUGCGUUAGUAAUGCGAAAUGGCGGGUUAAUGACUGUACUGUCCAGGCAGCCAUCAUCAGAGGAAAAAAGUGCCUGUAGGGCUUAAUUAUGUGUAGGAAUGAAGUUUCCCAUAGUCACGUAGAACUACUUCUGUUCACACUGUCCGGUAUCAGAUCACAGUCAUCCCCAGUUCCCCUUAAAAAAAAGGUUCCCCUUCACCGUCUUACAAAAAAGUGCGAUGACGUGUACUCGGAGCCAGCUGACUCGGCGGCUAAUCUUUUUUUUUUUCCGACACCCAGUUACGGAUGCAACGUUCAUAAACACAAGCGCACAUUUACUCCGAAAAACCGAGUUGGACCAACAAAUCUCGAGAUUGACGAAGUCUCCACAUGUGCCUCGCUGUCGACAGGCACAUCGCCUACCAGUAAAAGUAUAACGCCAUUACAUAAUGUAAAUAAAUUCAGAAAAAUAUGAUCACCCAUAUCAUCGGGAACUUAAAACCGAAUAGGAAGGUUCCACCAAAAAAAACAAACCCAAACGAGCUAAUAAUUUGCCGGCGGCCAAUCUACACCCGACUCCCGACCGGAUUAACAAUAACAGCUGCUUGUCUCUCAAGCAAGCGCGAUCUCGGCAAAUCCCACGGACCCAGGCAAUUUCCCAAAAUCAUGUGUAAACACCCAGGAAAAGUAACAAGAACUCGCCACACGCACACGCACACGCACACGCACACGGAACGCAGACGGAACCCAAGCGGCAAGAAACGAACCCCGCGUCCGCGUGCAUCACGACUGACGUGUAGCGCAUCACGACUGACGACGACGUGCAUCGCCGGAAGGAAGGCUCCCAGCGCAGACGGGCGCCGCGAGGCGACGCAGAGCAGGCAGAGAGCCCCGCCCUUCCAGAAGGUCGCCGCCUCGCCUCCUCCCUCCCGCUACCCACCCGGUUUGCCCCUAUAUAAACGCCGCUCCCAUCUCGCUAACCGACUAGCAGUAGCAGUUGCUUCCCACCCUUUCCGGCCUCUCCAUCCCCACGCCGACCGCACCACCCGACCCGAUCGCACGCACACAAACACAAACCGAGCAGCAGAAACAUGCGAGACAUGGAGGACAGAUCGGUCGUCAGCCGCCGCCAUGAACCCACCACCGUCGCCAGGACGGCGGACGACGACGACGACGACGUGGCUUCCGGCGACGAGGACUCCGACUCGGACGCCGAGUUCGAGUUCCCCUUCGUGAGCCGGGAGUCCGAGGCGGCGGCCGACGAGCUCUUCGCGGGCGGCCGCAUCCGGGCCUUCUACCCGGUGUUCGGCCGAGUCCUGGACGACGAGGCGCCAGCCCCAGCGCCGAGGUCGCCGCUAGGGCGGCUGUUCCAGCUGGAGCAGGCGCGGACCUCGUCCGUCGCGUCCACGUCCUCCUCCUCCUCCUCCUCGACGGCGGGCGCAGGCGCGGCGGGCCUCGACGGCGCGUCCCCGGACAGCUACUGCCUCUGGACGCCCGGGUCGGCGUCGGCGGCGUCCUCGCCCUCGCGGUCGCCGCGGAAGAGCGGGUCCACGGGCUCCAUCCCGCGGUGGCGCCGCAUCGGGGAGCUCGUCGUCGGGCGCAGCCACAGCGACGGGAAAGAGAAGUUCCUCUUCCUCUCCGCGCCGCCGUCCCCGGCCAGGGACAGGGAGAGGGAGCACUCCUCCCCCGCCUCCAAGUCCAAGUCCAAGCCAAAGCAGCCUCAGCCGAAAGGAAGUAAAACCGCCGCCGCCGCCGCCGCCACCGAGCUCGACACGGUCGCCGCGGGGCGCCGGGUGUCCUACGGUGGCGCCAACGCCAAGGCCUCCACCGGAGGUGCGCGGCGCACGUUCCUGCCGUACCGGCAGGACCUCGUGGGGCUGUUCGCCAACGUGCGCGGGCUCAGCCGGAGCCACCACCCGUUCUGAAGCGGAUCCGGUGAGCCACGACGCGCCGUGGAAGCGGACCCGUUCCAAGCAGUGCCGACUUCAAGUUUGAAAUCGGGAUUUGAAAUUUCAGACGUUUUGACUUGGAGAUCCCCUGCAAAGAUGCUCUGUGAAGAUUACUACUGUUAUUAGUAUUACCAAUACGUGUGGGAUCAAAGCAAUUACGCAAGUGAAAAAGACAAGGUGUGAAGUCAGAGAAAAACAGGGGAAAUGUGAGGCCUCCAUUUCAGGAUUCGGCUCGGAAUCGUGGUCUCGAGUCGGUGGCUAACCACCUGCCUGCCCUGCGAUUUGUCAAGGUGGUCUAGGCGGGUACACAUAUACGCACAUGUUGGUGUUGGACAAGAAGUUUACAUUCUGUAUAUGCUGGUAUAUAUAGUAGCUUUGUACAUAUACAUACAAUCUAUAAUGUAUAGAGUAGUUAGAAGUAGGUGGGUUUGUUUGCGAGGAAUUUGGGUUUCCUUGUUUGCAAUCUGCAGUUUUGUGUUGUCGCAUCUCUAAUCUAAUUUUUUACUUAAUUAGCAAGUUUCUGUUGUGCGGUCUCCAAUCUUAUAAAUAAUAUGACGUUUUAAUUAUUAGGAUAUACAGCCACGUAAAGUCUUCUGGGCUGGAGUCAGUAACGUGGAGAACCUCAUGCUCAUCUAAUCUAUCUCUAGCCACAGGCCACCAAUUGUGGAUUACAAAUCUCAACGUGAUCCAACUGGAAGCAAGAAUGUUUAAGUUUUGGCCAGUGUUUGAUGCAUGAGUACGAGAUAGCAUUUCAGUUCUCAACUUUCAGUUCUCAACUUGAUAAUCUGGCAUUUCAACUUUGUUUCCGCGUGAUCCUAGCUGCAAAGCUUGAGUGAGGGUCCAUCAUGAGAUUUAGAUUGAAAAAAAAAAUUAGAUUUAGAUUGACUUAAAUUUUCUAAAGUUUGACAGAAAACAUUAUUAAUAUUUAUAACUUCAAUUAGGUAUACUAUGAAAAAAUAUUUUAUAAUUAAUUUAAGUGUGUUUGUUCGGUAUUGUAAAGGCGCUCUAUAUGUUCCAAAUCAUAAGAUAUUUUAGUUUUUCUCUAGAUUCAUAUAGCUUUUACAAUAUGGGUGUAUACACCAGGUAUUCCUGGUAUUCCCAGGAAUAUCCAACUUUCUUAUGCACUAAGUAUAUAUAUAUAUAUAUAUAUAUAUAUAUAUAUAUAUAUAUAUAUAUAUAUAUAUAUAUAUAUAUAUAUAUUAGCAUUUCUAUAUUUAGCAAAUAAAAUUACUCUCUUAUUUUUUUAAUCUAUUCUUGUAUUUAUUUUUCGACACAUGUUCUAUGUUAGCUCAAUUACCAAAAUUAUUCUAUUUUGUUGUUUCUGCAAAUGAGAAUUUAAUUAUUUAUCUUUAGACCAUGUACAUAUUGACUCAUGCCACCAAAUAUUAGUACAAAUCAUAUCUUAUUUCUAAACUCUUUUCCAAGAUAAGGCCUUGUUUAGUCAUCCCCAAAACCACAAACUUUUUAAGAUUUCUCGUCACAUCAAAUCUUGCAGUACAUGCAUAGAGCAUUAAAUAUAGAUGAAAAUAAAAACUAAUUGCACAGUUUACUUGUAAAUUGCGAAAGGAAUCUUUUAAGCCUAGUUACUCCAUGAUUGGACAAUGUUUGUCAAACAAAAACAAAAGUGCUACAGUGUUAAAAUUCAAAAACUUUUUCGGUCUAAACAAGGGAAUAUGCACAUGGCAGCAUGUAUAAUAAAAGUAUUUUUUUCAUGUGAGUGAACGAGGCAUGAGUGGGAGGCAAUUCCAUAAUCCUCGUUCUUAAAUCUCUAACCCUAGCCGAGCAGAUAUGACGUGGUGGCGGCACUGCUGGUUCCCAGUGUCCUAAGCUUCUGGCAGCGCAGGACAUACAGCGUGGGCAUGGCCUCUAUCUUUAUACUAUGCCUACAAGGCGACUAGAGAGGGUGCACGUCGGUCAUGAGGCAGCUAGAUGAUGACUCACCAGAUACUAGCAACGGAAUACCCAAAAUUUAAAUCCUGGCUCCACCACUGUUUUACAAUGUAUUAGGUAUAUAUUAUGUCUAAAUACAUAUUAGAAGCAAUGCAUUUAGAUAAAGGUCAAAACUUCUUAUAAUCCUAGAACAUAGAAAAUAGUACCUUUUAUAUAUUUUCAAUGGAAAUUUAAAACUAAUUGACUUCAGGCAAACAAAAACGCAGGUCGUUAUUUUUUUUUUCCUUUUGAAUCGGGAGGGAGUGUAUGACACGUUGAUACAGCAUCCCAGAGCCCAGGUAGACACAUCAGGCCUUGUUCAUUUCUCCAGGAAUGAAGGUCUAGAAUAAUUCCUAGCUGAAUUCACAAAUUUGUAUAACCAACGGGGCCUCAAGCAUUUCGCCGGCACAGCGAAGCCACCACCACGCAUCCGGUGGCUGCGAAUUCCUCGCAACCGAAGCCUAGUACGGUCGCAACAACGAGCCGAACGCUGAAGCGUACUCCUACUAUGCAAGAUUUGGAAAACACACGAUGUGGCCAUGUUCGACUAAGGCCUUGUUUAGUUCCGAAAAAAAUCGAAUUUCGGUACUGUAGUAUUUUCGUUUUUAUUUAACAAAUAUUAUUCAAUCAUACACUAACUAGGUUCAAAAGAUUUAUUUUAUGAUUUAUAGAUAAACUGUGUAAUUAGUUUUUAUUUUCGUCUAUAUCUAAUACUUCAUACAUGUGCUCCAAGAUUUGAUAUGACAUGGAAUCUUGAAAAAUUUUUGUUUUUAGGAUGAACUAAACAAUGCCUAAUUAACGCCCCAACUGCCCACGCCCGUGAUUCUCGGCUCAUCGAUCGCAGGCAUCCCCCCAUCCCUCUUGACCCGUUGACCGCCAGCCCGGCCGCAGACCGCCAAGUUGCAAAUUGCAAACUUGGCCUGAGGGAAGACCGACUGGAAGAGUGUCAAUGCUUUUUGCCGGUGCAGCGCCACUUGCAAUUUGCAAACAAAGUAGUACGGAGUACUACCAUUAGUAUUUAAUCACCCCACUAGUCAGACACGACCGGCUCGUACAAGUGGUUUCUGGAACCUUAGCUUAACUGCGUGCAUGCUGGCUUUUUGCAGAUGUGCGCACGUACGUACUGUAGACGUUGGACUUGGACCGGUCAGCAGCUUACGCUACCACUCUUCUUCCCUAUCCAUCUGCAGAGCAGACCCUGUCCCCGGGUCUGUACAUGUUUCCUCUAGUGUCAGAUACAGGUUAAUUAGGUCUGUGGCUAGGUUUACGUUGUAGCUGCACGCUGGUAGGAACUCCAAAAUGACGGAAAGGGCCGGCCGGGCGCGCGCGGUUUACAAGUCGAAUCAAAAUAGUACUCCGUAGAAAAAAGAGCUGCACCAGAUUUACCAGAACUUGUCAACAGAGGGAACAGGAGGAUUUUACACGAGAGAUCGGGUAUAGUGUGACAGAAAGCACCGGCGAGUGUAACGCCUUUUCUCGCGCGCGCGCGUACGUCAGACUCAUGUCGCGGAUGGAUGGAUUCAACGGCGGAGACCUGUGCACUGUGCUCCGUCCGACCUCCCAUCCACGCGUUCGCACAGUGCCGAUCGACCCGAGUCGUCUCCUGCUUUUACACCGGGCACGGGCAGGCAGCAACACGUUAAUUAGAGAGUUGAUAGGCCUCUCGUCGUGCCAGUUAGUUCCCUUCUGGUGCGGUAACUUGCUCAUCAAGCAGGCAGCACACACGCACGUAGUACUCCGACUUGCUGCCAUGUAGGACUAAAUAAAUGUGAGGGUUUUGUUCAGCUUUCAGUCACACCUAACAGACAGACAGACAGCCAAUUUCUUUCUGGCGAUGUAGACGUGAGAGAUUAGUUUUUGCGAGUUGUAGCAUAGCAUAUCUGAGCGACAUAAUAAGAGUCAGAGUCAGCCCUUAUUGUUUUAUUAACCUCUGAAUCGGAGUCGGAGACACACAGCUAGUGGGGACGAUCGAGCAACACGGUCGUUGGGAGCAAUCAACUAAACAAAUGCAGGGGGAGUGAGCAUUCGAUUCCCCACAUCUUGACCCGUCUGAUGAUGAUCUGUGGAAGUGGGUUGGAGAAAGAGCAUCGUUUCACGGUUUCACCUACUACUUCCUACUGCGAUUUGUAAUUUUUGAGGAAUAGAUCGAACGGCACACACAUCCUUCAACUUGUUACUUGUCCUCAACUGCGUAGCAGACGUGCGUAAAUCCUGAACAUCGGUUGUUGGUGAAGGAGCAUUUGGUGGGAAACUGCCGGACAAGAAGUGACCGUGCUGAAUUUUUCAACUUCUCGAUGUUACGGAGUACUAAAUCGUUUAUGCCUUGAGGGUUAGCGUUUCUCAUGAACAUUUGAACUGUACGUAAAAGUACUCGAGCACACCAUGUCACAUCAACACAAGUUGAGCUCUUUUUUUAAUAUAAUAAAGAGAAGGUAGGUAGAGGAAACAGAAGAACGGAUGAGUAGAGACUCAAAAGGAAACAAGCUUAGAGCAACCUCAAUAUAUAUGGUUGAGUAGCCCAUAUAAACAGCUUUUGUGUCAGCAGUCCAUAACUAUUUUUUGUGUUACAAUGUUGAAGGCUGAAUGGACUAAAAGUGUGGGCUCAUUGACACAUAAAAAAAAUCAUCAAAAGCCCAACCAGCUACCUCUCCAUCCUUCCCCUCUCUCUUUCUAGCGAAGCAGAUCGGACAUUGGAGGCAUCGCGGCACCCGCGGAUGGGCGGUUCCGCGGCCUCGACGCACACAGAAGCUCACGACCAUGGCCUCCGGCUGGCCGUUGACCAGGACCGCACUGGAUCUGCGUCGCUAGCACUGUGGUCGCCAGAAGAAACGAUGCCGGUGACUUGGGGACCACCUCCAGCCAGGGAUGGUGUGCUCCGCCGCAGCCUCACGAGUGCGCGGGGCGGGGCAGUGACCUUGCCGGCGCGUGGAAGCUCGGUGGCGCCAUGGCGGCCUCACGCAGAUCCACCGUCCUCCGACUCCCAAGGCGCAAGGACAUCCUUCGCCAUCAGUGCGAGAGGCAAGAGAGAGAGCCGAUAGAGAGGAUAAUUAAUUUUUUAUUUCUUAUGGGUAGUCCAUAGCACUAUGGAUACCUUUAGCUAUGGACUACUCUAUAGACUACUUGUACAAUGUUUCAGGUAACUGAUAGAUAAUAUUUUAAUGGCUAUGGACUACUUCUCUGCAACAUUGUGGUUGCUCUUAGGCCUGGUUUGUUUUGGCCUGGAACCGCACAAAAUGCGGCCUAUUCUGCCCAAACCAAUUUGGCCUGACUCCAAGUCAGGUCAGAUUAGAAAUGACCAUUCAGUUAGAUACGGCUCGGAAUGAAAACUGGUCGAUCCGGACUUCUUUUUUUCCCUUCUAUGGCCAGAAUGGAAACGGGUCAUGAUAUGUCUAGAAUAGAAACGGGCAGAACCAGUAGGAACCACUUGAUUCGGGCCAGGAAUAAGCAGACCCGUUUUUAACCAAAGACAACCGAAGAAGGCCUUAAGUAGCUGAAAAGUAAGAAAAGGUAGAGACCAAGGGAAACAAAGACCAAGCCCAGAUGCAGAGUAGUAGAAAAUAAGACCAGUAGGGAAUAGGGACGAUGUUACAACACAUUAAAACAGACAACACAAGAAACAGAGAGAAAGUGACAUUCUUGUUCCAUUUUUAAGUUGAACUAUAAGCUUUCCUUUCCUGGGCCUCCACUGGGCUACUACCAAAUGAGCGGUGGGGGUUGGGGGGAGGGGGGGGGUUGUACUUUGAAUGUAGAAACUAUCAUAGUUUCUAUAGAUAUUAAUUACAGUGUCAACUAAGCAUUUUGCUGAUGUGGCAAGAUAGUUAUUGAAGAGAGAAAGCAAAAAUCAUAGAAACCGGAUCUAAGUUAGAAACCAUGUCUACACGAGAUUCAAGACAUGAAGUGAUAUGAUUGGUUGAGAAUGGAGAGAGAAUGAAUGUGAUUGGAUAAAAAAAAUUAUUCUAUAGAAAUUAUCCAUUGGGACCAUAGUUUCUAUAUAUAGUGUCUAUAAAAAUUAAAAGAUAUAGAAACUACAUGUAAUUUCUAGCAUUGGGAGUGCCCUUGUACUGUACUCCUAUAUAUACAGUACACACAACCGCCAUAUCUUGAAGUACUCCCUCUGUUUUUAUUUACAUGUUACUUGGAUAAUUAACUAAGUCAAACGGUUGAAUCUUUGAUCAUUUAAGAAACUUAUAUAAAUUUAUGACAUAAGAUUUAUGUUUUUAGAAUUACUAGUAGAAAUACUUUCAUAAUCUAUAAUUCAUAUGUUGUGAAACUAUAAGAGUAUUUUUUUGAAACAGAUGGUCAAAGAUACAAAUGUGACAUGGAAUAAAAAAAACGGAGAGAGUAAACGAGAAGUCACAAUAGUCAUCUGUACGUUGUUGUCAGCUACAUCCCAGAAUUAACAAUGCUCCUUGCUCUCAAAAUUAAAUCCAUCUCAAAAUAAAAUCCAUAAAUACUCGAAUGGCAUUUGCUUUUCCCUUGGCUUGCGUUGCCGUACGUAGUAAUCAUGUGCUGUCUAGACCUGGAGACAAAAAGGAAAAUAUCAUGUGUUUAUGAUGUCGCCAAAAUGAGCACAUCCUGGCAGCAUGUCAAGGCUCAAGUGUGUCAACCCUAGCUUGCACGUACUUGUACGUCGUCGUUCGUUCUCGUUCCGUCCACCGGCCGCGGCCGGGCAGCAUAUGGCAUUAUGGCCCGUACGCAGGUUACUCUUCAGGUGGAGGAGCUUCUUUCAGCGCUGCGGCGGGCGGCGCCGUGCAAGCCUACCGGCAUCGGCAUCGGCAUCGGCAUCGGCAUAAUUGGAGUUCUAUCGGCAGCGUGGGGCAUUAUUGGAGAGUUGGAGCAGCCACACGCAUAGGCAAAACUUGGCCCCGGACCGGAGUCCCCUGCAAGAAACUAACGGGGGGGCAUGGACAAAGGUAAGUUAUUUAUGCAUCGCUGAUCGCUCCUAUCCGUGUGUUCAUUAAUUCACUGCUUUCUGACAGCUCUAGCAAUGGCACACAAAGCAUUAUCUAUGAUCAUGUUUUAUGUAUGUAGUCUAUAAAUUGGUGAAUAUUUAUUGAUCUAUAUUAGUCCCAGUAGUUUCUGCUCAUUUCGGUUUACAUCCCCAGCUAAUUAAGCUCCAUUCUUGUGUCCGUCAUCGAGGUAAUUCCUUCAGCACUUGAGCACUUGUUCAGUUGUUUGAAGAUUUUCGAACGACAUUUUUGAAACUCAAUUAUGAAAGUUGGAGUUAAUUUAUUUGAAGCAAACGAUAUUUGACAGCAACCUUUACCAAGUACCCACCCGUGACCCACUGGGUCUGCGCAUAAUAUGCCCAUCUACUGCCAAAAUGUGGCCGCAUUCGCUGCAGAGAGCAAUCCUGCACGCACAUGAUGAUUUAUUUAUUAUGAUCUAGCAGAUGGCCAGAUGCUGUAGGAAAGUUGCGCACAGGCUAAGGGCCUGGCCCAUAUCAGGUACUCCAAGGCUUUGGACGUUGCCCAACCAGCUCAUGGGCUGAAUUGUAACACGUUCGGACACACAUGUUCCUCCUCACUCGAAAGCAUAUGAAUUCUGAACCAGAGACUCUAGCAGCCAGCAUUUCGCCGACGUGUCUCAGCUCUCAACCUCCAGUCCAGCACGUACGUGGCUGCCUUGCCAGUUGCCACUGGGCACGGGCCCACUGCAACCAGGACCAUGCGUUAAUUAAAUGUGACAGCACCAAUUAACCACCGAACCAUCCGUCCCGGUGAUCAAUAAACGGCAGCCACAUCUUGCACCGACCCUGACCCUGAUGACUGGUGGCCACAAUAUAGAUAGAUGAUAUCUCUUCGGGGCCAAGAAAAGCUCCAAUUGCACACAGAGAUGUCAAUUUCUUCGGGAACGAGAAUGAGAUAGUAAUUAGAUCAAUUUUAUCCUCACGAAGGACUUAAAGAUAGCCCCAUCAGGUAUGACGAGGAUGGGAGCCAUUUCCCGUCCCCAUUUCCCGCGGGGAUCAAACUCCCCAAAAUCACAGCAGCUUACCGAAGUUCCCAACCCAUUAUAACAUCUGAUCACUGUGGAAAGAGCGUUGUAGAAGAACUUUUGACAACAGAACGUAAACAACCGCACUCAUCACAAGUUAGCAAGCUUAAUUCAAUAAGACAUUCUACUGUAUAGAGCGAUAUCAUGUAGAUAACUAAUCUGUAUGUAAAGGCAAAGUGCUGACUGCAAUUGUGGUGCAGUUUUUUCCAUCGCCAUUUUUCCUCUUUUUUUUUUCUGUUUUUCUGGGAACUUUUAAACGCCGUGUAAAUUUCGUUGUAGCCUUCUCCUCCCCCUCCCCCCCCCUUUUUUUUUCUCAAGUGUUGUUGUAGCCUUUUUCACAUGCAAAAGCCAAAAGGCAGAGAGCACCUGCUGUUUUCCUGCUAAAGAAAAAGAAACAGCCGAUCACUAGCAAGCCCACAGUCACUAGCCCACGGCCCACCAACUGUAACGGUAGGCGUCCCUGCCUGCCAAGUCAUAUAGUUUCUAUACUCAUUAAAUUUUAUGGUCCUAAUGGAUAGUUUCUAUAGAAUAUUUUUAUAUCCAAUCACAUUCAUUCUCUCUUUAUUCUUAGCCAAUCAUAUCACUUCAUGUCUUGGAUUUUGUGUAGACAUAGUUUCUAAUUUAGACCCAGUUUCUAUGAUUUUUACUCUCUCUCUUCAAUAACUACAUUGACACUUGAGCAAAAUGCUUAGGUGGCACUACAAUUAAUGUCUAUAGAAAUUAUGAUAGUUUCUGCAUUGGGAGUGUUCUAAUCCCGCCGCCGGCCGCCGCACACCGCACAGGGAGACCGGAGAAGGAAGGAUGAGGGGCAACGCAACGGUGAUGAUGCACAGAGGAUUCAGAUUCGCGUGCCGCUGGCGACAGCGGGAUGACACGCACGGCGAACGGAUGGAUUCGAUCGACUGUCAGCCAUUUAUCAUAAUAAAUUAGAGAAUAGUACCUUCUCUCGUGACUUAUCAGCCAGAAAUGUACAUUCGUGCUUCUUCAUUUUCUUACCAUCAAUUCACGCGCAGUAGAGUAAUUCAAGCUAGCCCGUCUCUCUCAUAGCCAAGAACAACAGUCACUAGCUUGAUUCCGCCGCUCUUGUCUCGGCACUCCGGCAAGCAAACAACUGACAGCAAAGCUCCCUCGUUUUCUUCUGCCUGCGUUCUUCUUCCAAGUCUCCAUCUCUCGUGCCACCGCGCACAACGGUCCAAACGGCUCCCUCGCCGCAGCAGCAUCGCGUCCACACAAACUGCACAUCCACCAGAUACGGCGGUGGUGAUCCGAUCCAGCGUCGUUUCUCGACGACGACGCCGCCGCGCGUUUCUGCACCCACGCACCCCGACCCGGCCGCGCGCGCGCCUGACCGCCCGUGUGGUCCAGGGGACGCCGAUCGGCGCGCGGCCGUCGGCCACACGGUGCCCGGCGCGCGUUAUCCUGGGUGCCGCGCGCGGCGAGGGAAUCGAAGCGAGUGGCGCGCUGGCGGAUGAGGCGGCGAGUGGCCCGGAUGCACCGGCGCAGGCGAGCCGCACGCCGCCGCCCGCCGCGGCGCUCGCGCGCGGACCGCUGCCGCCUGCCGCCACACAAUGCGAGCGCGCGCGCACACACACACACACCACCCGGGCGGGGGGGCUGUAGUAGUAACGGCCUUGUCUUGUCGGCACGCGCGCGUCCGUGUGUAUAAGGAGGCAGGCCCGCAGCACAGGGGGCAAGUGGCACUCGCGCACACAGCACAAUUGAUGUCCGCCUUCCCCGUCCGCGGCUCCACGUCCAGCAGCAGCAUCGUCGCCAGCCUCGGCAGCAGCCGCGCCCCCGCCCCCGCGCCGUCCUCCGUCCGCCGGCGCCCCAGCCUCAUCAGGAACGCCCCCGUCGUCGCCGUCCCCGCCACCCUCGUGGUACGUACGGAGUACAUGCAUACACCAAUGCGUGCAUGGCUCACUGCACCACUGAGCGCAUGCAUGCAUGUCGUCGUCGUCGCUUCUGCUAUCUGUCCACUCACUCGCUUCAUCUAGCUCUCGGCGUCUCCACGAAAUGCUGCACCAUGCAAAAGUGCUUGCUCCAAUUACACCUAGGAGGUUGGUAGUAUGGACCAUGCAUGCAGGAUAUUAAUUCUAGAAAAAACCAAACAAAAUCCGAGUCCAACGCAAGGAUUAUUUCAACCAAAAGUAAUAAUGCACCUCGCCACGUCUAUAUAGUUUUGCUGCUUCGUUGCGCUCCUCAAUCAUCAAUAGGGAAAAAAAAAAAGUGCGUGCCAGCCACGUAUAGUAUGUCCUCCAUAAGAGUAUGGUACGGUGGAGGGGCACCGCACCCUUCCGGGUCUACCAAGAGCUACUAACGCCAGGUCUGCAAAUGCGGCAUACCAUGCAUGUAUAUAUAUAGUAUAAUCUCAUGCAUGUUCUCCACUUAUUUUGGACCAAAAAUCAUGGAAUACUAUACCACUUCCGCCCAUCUUGAAAAGAUGUCAUUCUUCUUAACUCUAACUAUCAUUUAUCACAUCAAAAUGGAUAUGCUAUUAAAAUAUACUUCAUGGUGAAUCUGAUUAUGUAGUAUAAACUUUGGUAUUCUUUUAUAUCCAAUUUGUCAAAUUUAAAUCACUUUCCCAUCAUCUAGUAGCCAGCUAUGCAAGUCAACCAUCUCCAAUAGAAUAUUCCGGAAGGGAGGUGUUUCCAAAGAGAUCGAUGGCCAAUGAUAGUGCUAGUUUGAAGAAGGCAACCACUAGAUGCUUGCUUUCAAUAUAACAGAAUUUCCACAAAAAAGUCUCGAGUGUGGAAAGAAGAAAAAAGCUCCAAGUACACUUGUUUAGUGAUAUCGCGAGCGUAUAAAAAAAUAAUAUAGGGCUGGCUUUUCCCUAAAGCGAUAAGACCAGUACAUGAUAGCUACAGUUAGCUAGGAAGAUGUCGAAGUCUCGAAGAGCUAAUCCGCGCGCGUCUUUUGGCUUUUGAGUUCCGUUUGAUCCAUGGCACAUCCAGGUAGAGGUAUAGUUCAAUAACCGACCAUCAAUAAAGCGCUACUAGUGCCCAUCAACGUCAAUUUACUUUUUUUUAUAACGCCCAUAAUUUCCUGGUUUGCUUUAAUUUGGUCACUGUUGGGUCUUUUAGGCUAGCAGGAGAAAAAAACUUCUUUUUCUUUGUUUUGGAGGAACAAAAUUUUUGCAGCAUAUUGAAUCAUCAGGGACACGAGUUAAUUAACGGUUUUUCUGUAGUAAACUUUGGUAGUGAUAAUCCGCAAACUUGUGAGGCUAUAGCAGUAUGUACGAGGAGCGAGGCCAGAUUUUCGUUGCGCGACGCGACAUCUGACACUGAUCUGAUGCGCGCAAGCAUGACACCGACCGCAGUACCGGACCACGGCGCUCUGUGGUACAGACUGUACAGUACAGUACAGUACAAAACCCGUAGCUGCCAUCAGAUAACGCACUAGAUAAUUAGAUGUGCGGAAAAGGGAAGAAAUAGUAAAAGGAGCUAGCACAUCAUUAAAUCGAAAUAAGAAACAAAUACUGUACUCCAAAAGGGUCGUUCCGGCAUCCAUCGAUGGUUCAAGUAGCAGCAACCAUACUGUACAUGUAUAUUCAUAUUUAUAUAUAGGAGUGCAUGAUUAGCCGCGCGCGGUUCCUCAUUAGCACACCAACAUGAUGGGGUAAGCAACAAAUUAAGCACGGCAGCGAAUGCCCGGAUUAGGAACGCACAUCAGGGAAUUGAACAGCAAGCUUUCGUCUUGGCUGGCAUGAUGAUUUGAUCAGCCCGCUCCAAUAAUUUAGGAAGAGAAGUGGCACGAUCCUGACGGUUGGUAUGGGUGUGAAGGGACUAAUUUAAGCGCGCCGCGAUAAGCAAGAUUCCCAGGGCCGUGUGCCAUCGCCUGUUGGCGUCCGAUCCGAAGCUGGCAGAAUUUGCUACUAGUCGACAGUCCAGACUCCAGAGGGCGGACCGCACGUAGCCAGCCUAUCUAUACUAGUGCAGAUCUGAAUGAUCAGCGUGCCAGCGUCCUUGGAUCUGGGAACCGAUCGAAACCCCUGCGAGGGACCUCCUUUUCUUCGGUCCAGUUGCAGAAUUCGUUAAUCUUGUCUGGGAACGAGAACCCUCUUGGGGAAAUACUAACGUUUUCUUGCGGUGUCGGGAGGAGCUAGCUAGGGAGCAAAAGGGAAGGAUCGCGCUCGCGCAGAUAGAUGGCCACUUGUUUGUUUGUGCUUGGUGUCCCGUACGGUACCCACUGCACCGCACAGAUCGUCAGAAGAUUGCUGCCUCCCAGUCUCGGCCUCAAACGAUUACGAGUACGGAGUACAUGCAUAUAGUACCACCUCCGUUUAAUUUAUGGCCCAACAUUACACCUGGUGGGUUGGUAUGCCAAUGAACGUCAGCACUCCUGAUUGUUGCAUAUAAUCCACUAACUAAAUAGACUUAAAAUAAAAGUUUAGCACGAGCGUUCAUCCAAUUCAUAAAAAAGAAAAGAAAAACUAGGAUGGCGACCUCACAUUGUAUAUGCGUCGUCCACAAAAGCCGCUCUCAGCCGUUACCGAUUUUUUCUGAACGCGCGCGUUGCAUGGUGCCUUUUUCUCUUCACUGACACAAUUGCACACGUCAUGUUGCUAGUAAGCGGGAGGACGAGCAGCUCAUCAAAAGUCAAACGAGAGAGAAAGGGAGAGAGGGCCACACCACAUCCAUUGAUACGGGAGGAGAGACGAAAGAAAACACAAGGAGAUGAGCAGUUGCCUUUGCCUCCCUAAAAAGAAGGAGGGCCAGGGGGCGGCAGCGAAGCCGUCCAUAGAUUCAACCACCUCGACAGUCGUUCAGAACCCGAAGCCUACCCAACCUCCACCUCCUCCCUCCAAGGUCCGUCCUCUCCUUCUCCUCCUUCCUCAUCUCCUCCCGCACCCUCCACACCAUCCUCCAAUCAGCACACACAACAAAUCUCCUCAUCCAUUCCUCUAUUUUCUUUUUCACCAUUGGCAUCAGUAGCCACUACAUGCAACUUCCACUUUCUCUCUACGUAGUUAUUGUGUUUGUGCAAAGAAAGAUCCAUGUUCCUUUUUUUUUAAAAAAAAAUCACCUUUGUGCAUUCUUUUCGUGUGUUCAGUGGGCCGGCAAGGAGGGCAAAAUUGCAUCAUGCCCCCUCCUCUCUCUCUCUCUCUCUCUACCCCUUAUGCUGCAUCACAAUCACGAGCAUGCAAGUCAGUCUUUCUGAGGAUGGCGAACUCUGACCGAUCGACGAUGUUUCUCUGUUGAUACAUAAUGCAGGGCAUGGACGCCGUCGAGCGCUUGAAGGUCGGGUUCCAGAAGUUCAAGACCGAGGUCUAUGAGUAAGUCAUUCUGAGCUGUUUUCUGCACAGCACCCGCGUCUGAUUUAAUCGUUUCAGUUUCAGCCUCAUGGUGCUUGAUUUCUUUUGUGAAUUCUGCGAGCUCCAACUGAUCCCGUGCCCCCUUUGAUUUAUUUUUUCGCAGCAAAAAGCCAGAGCUGUUCGAGCCUCUCAAGGCUGGCCAGGCCCCCAAGGUAUGUGCUACUACCAUACUGCUUUCUCUUCCCGGCUCCCUUGUACGUUUUUUUUUUUUUGUCUCUAGCUAGCCACUCGCAACCCCUGCUGCACUAUUCAUCAUCCACCCUGACAUGUCCCUGGGUGCGCAGCGCAGGCAGCAUUAUUUUCGCCGGCCAGUAACGAGGUCAAAGCUGCACUAGACAAAAGCAAACGGAUUGUCCUAUAAUUGCACGGCUUGUCGGCAUUAGCGGCCAAUUGGCUAGCAGUACGUAGUCUUGUUGGAUAAUAACUAGUCCUGUAAUUGUGUUUGUACAAUUCUGCUCCAUGCAUGGGUCCCGUCGAGGCCAUGGCGCAAAGAAAAUGGUGUAGUGGGAUGCAUGCAUAAUCCUUCGCAGCUCCCACCCGGCCGGCCGCCACUGCGCGCGGAACACUAACGACAUGCGCGCUGCCAGUGCAUCCCCAUGUGCAAAGCCAUACGCCCUGCAUGCAUGCUAGGUGGUGAUUUGCAUUUGGUUGGUAAAUUAUUGAGAUGCCGCCGUCCCUCCGUAUAUAGGCUCACUUUGCAGAUGGCGGAUAUAGUUAUGUUAUUAUAUUGAUUUUUCCUUGAGUUUCCUAGUAGUAUAACGUGGUACCAGAAUCUUGCAAGUACACAGUUUAUUGUUUUUUAUGGGAGUUUUGAGCUGGCAUCGAUCGAUCCCAUGCGCCUAAUUUUAUGCAUUCAUGCAUGAUGAUGUAACUAGCUGGGGUUCUACUAGUUUUCUUUACCCAUAAAAGUUCGGUUACUAGUGGUCAAAUAUUCAUUGUAGUAAAGGAGCGAAGAUAAAACAUACAUUAAUUUGAACUACUCCUAUAGUAUGAUGGUCAAUUCCACCUUCUAGCCGUGUUGAAUUCUUUUUUGAACUGUACGUAAUGGUCACUUCCAUCAUUACUACAUUUGAACGCCCAUUUCAGAUGUCUCAUCAUUUUGAUUUUUGUUUGACACUCACAUACACAACACAAAGAGACGUGAACCCCAAGUGUAGGUGUGUAUUAGCGUUCAUCAUUCCAUGCCUAAUGUGUGUGUGGUCCACCCAUGAUUGAGCACAGGCCCCCCACCACUGCUGUGAUACAUUAUUGCUGAAACUAUCGUCGACCGACCGGUGCUGUACCUGUACGUCCUGUGGUUGUGAAGCACUGGUCCGUCGCUCACCGCACGCACGGGAUUCUUUCUUCAUCGUGACUUAUGCCUUGUUCAAGUUCCCACCGAAAUCCAAAAUUUUUUCAAGAUUCCCUGUCACAUCGAAUCUUACGGCACAUGCAUGAAGCAUUAGAUAUAGACGAAAACAAAAACUAAUUACAUAGUUUGCCUGUAAAUCACGAGAUGAAUCUUUUAAGCCUAGUUAGUCCAUGAAUAGAUAAUAUUUGUCAAAUAAAAACUAAUAGUUGGAUUGAACUGUCUUCUCUCCUGUCCUCUCACACACCCCUUGCAAAAGCAGUUAGGCGCAUAAAUGUUGGGCAGGGCCAGGUGGCCAGCUUUAGCAUUCGCAUCCUCGAGGAAUAUAUGCUCUACUACUCCACGUCUACAGUACAGAUGUCUCAAAGUUAGUGGAAGGUGAUUGCAUUACGCCAUGCGUCUUAAUCGCAUUUGUAGCAUGGAUUUGGACACCCACAUCUCAGGGCCGGCUAGAUAAACCCGUCACGUGAAAUUCGUUCUCGGUUCAUUCAUUCUUUCAUGCAUGCAUGCAUAUAUGCUAGCCUAGCUAGCUCACUUCGCGUGCCAACUUGCCCGGAAAUAUUCCUGCUUGGCCGCGCGCCGGGAAUGGGAUAGAUGAUAGUAGAUCAGCGUGUUGUUUUUCUUGGCCGCUGAUCGCCCCCAAGAACCACACGGAAACUAGCGUAGAAUAUCCUUGUCGCAACGCAACUACUCAAAAGACGUACCAGCUGGCGGGUCAAACCUCAAAAGUUGCCGCCUUUUGGUUUUAUUUUAGGUCUAGUCCUCCACUGAUCUGCCUACCUGCUUAUCGAUAAGAGAGAGCCACGGGAAACCGGCCUGAUGGUGAUUUCCCUCUUUUCGGCGAGACCUGACGGUGAUUUUCCUCUGCAGUACAUGGUGUUCGCCUGCUCCGACUCCCGUGUGUGCCCGUCGGUGACCCUGGGCCUGCAGCCCGGCGAGGCCUUCACCGUCCGCAACAUCGCCUCCAUGGUGCCACCCUACGACAAGGUAUGCAUACACAGACGACGUCCAAUACAAUACGUUCUUUUUGUUCUCACAAUCUCACGCUCACGCGCUCGUUCGAUCGCCUUUCGUUUUGUCGUCAAUCUGCAGACCAAGUACAGCGGCACCGGGUCCGCCAUCGAGUACGCCGUGUGCGCCCUCAAGGUGCAGGUGCUCGUCGUCAUUGGCCACAGCUGCUGCGGUGGCAUCAGGGCGCUCCUCUCCCUCAAGGACGGUGCACCUCACAACUUGUAAGUCAUCACUUUUUUUUUAUUUAUUUAUUUCACGGACACACUUAGCUUGAAGCGUGUGUUGUAUUUCAUUAAACCGAAAUGUAUGUAAUAAUCAACGUAAAAUGUACGUACAAGCAGCUAAGUUUCAUUCGGAACCUCUUUGUGUGCCUCGUGUCAUGAUUUUUUUUUUGACCCUAGCAUGAUGUCUCUGUUUGGUUUGGUGGUGUAUGUAUCCAGCCACUUCGUUGAGGACUGGGUCAGGAUCGGCUCCCCUGCCAAGGCGAAGGUGCACAAAGAGCAUGCCUCAGUGCCGUUCGAUGACCAGUGCUCCAUCCUGGAGAAGGUACGUACACCGUAUGUACACGCAUUGCAUGAAUGCAAUGAGUUGAUUUUGCUCACAAAAGGGACCUUGUAUUUUUCUGAAUGUUUCUGCAGGAGGCCGUGAACGUGUCCCUCGCCAACCUCAAGACUUACCCCUUCGUCAAGGAACGGCUGGCCAAAGGGACCCUCAAGCUGGUCGGCGCCCACUACGACUUCGUGUCCGGGAAGUUCCUCACAUGGGAGCCUGUAGGGUUCAUAACCUUCAUCCUUACAUUUUCAAUUGUACAUACUGUAUCUGAGACCACAUGGUUUUACCUCCUGGCACACUCCAGAUCCAAACUUCCUAUCCAUUUUCUCUCCUUCCUUGCCAUCGCAAUUAAUUUCUUUCUAAGAAGAACAAAAUCACCACCAAAUCCAACCACAACACUUGAAAUCCGCCCCAUGCAUAGCACUUGAAACCAGCCCCAACAUCUUAAUUGACCUACUUCUCAUCUUCUUCGGAUAUAAGAAGAUUGAACCCUAUCUCCACCGCAAAUACAUAUAUCGCGUUCACCCGCUACAAACUUCUAGUCCAGUUGUCGCCUGGUCCUCUAUCCGCUUCAAUUAGGCUUGCCGUUGCAUCGAAUUUCUAACCUCGUUGGUGCACCAGGCUCGUCUGUGGUGAUGGAUAUGAGGCCAUGGCCAUCGAGGUCCAUCUACCACAAAGAUGCCACUGCCUUUUUCCAUGGCCACCAUGGUUUGCCGAAUCAGUUGUCCCCCGAGGAAGCAAUCAUCAUGUUGGAGUCGUUCUUCUCUACAAAACGUGCUCAAGUAGCCAUCGACAUUCCGCUUAAGCGAUAUAUAUUGUCCACAAAAGCUGUGCUUGACCGUUACUCAUUUUUCAUCAAAUCCCGCGUUGUGCGGUGUCUCUUUCUCUCACUAAAACGAUUGCACAUGUCAUCAUGUUGAUGUUGCUAGUAAUCUAGACAAUGGGGCAGCUCAAAAGGUGAACGAGAGAGAUAUAGAGAGAAAGGGAGGGAGGGAGGGCCACACCGCAUCUAUCCAUCUGACUAUAAGGGGGCAAAAGAAGAAAAGAGGAGAAGAUGAGAAGUUGCAUUUGCCUCCCUGUUAUAUAUCAAAGGAGGGUCAAUGAAGCCGUCCAUAGAUUCCCACACCUCGUCACUCCUUGAGAACCAGAAGCCCACCCCAUCCAGUCCAAGGUCCGUUCCCUCAUCCUCCUCCCUCACCCUCGCCAUCAUCCUUCACAUAGCACACACAGUAAUCUUUGUCCGUCCCUCUGUUUUCUUUUCCUCUAUUGCCAUCAUGAGCCUGCAACUUCUGCUUUCUCCCUAUGUUGUAUUGUGUUGGUGCAAAGAAGAUCCAUCUUCCCCUUUUUGAUCAUAUUUUAUGCAUGCUUUCCUUAUGGUCCGUGGCAAGGAGGCCAAGCAUUGGCAUCAUGCCCCUUCUAUCUCUCUCUACCCCCUCAUGCCCCUUCUCUUUCUCUCUCUACCCCCGUCAUGCUGCAUCACGAUCAUGAGUAUGCAAGUUGGUCUUUCCGGGAUGGCAAAAUGACCGAUGGUUUUCUGGUUGUUGGUCUUGUAGGUGAUGGACGCCGUUGACCGCUUGAAGAGCGGGUUCGAGCAGUUCAAGAUCGAGGUCUAUGAGUAAGUCAUCUCUCUACUUAGAGCUGUUGUUUUUUUAAUUUGUAGCACCCAUGUUUGGUUUAAUAUUUUCAGUUUCAACCACUUGAUUUAUUUUGGGAAUUCUGAGAGCUCCGACUGAUACUGCCAUGUUGUCUUUUUUCUGCAGCAAGAAGCCAGAGCUUUUUGAGCCUCUCAAAUCUGGCCAGGCCCCCAGGGUAUGUGUAGGGAUGAAAAUGGAUCAAAUUUGUAUAGAAUCAAAUCCAUAUAUCACCUCUUAACACAUUUUUAUUCAAAUUCAGUUAUUGGAUACAUAUACUUUUGAAUACAAAUAUAAAACAAAUGUCUUGAAUCUGUAUUUCUAUUCAAAGAUUUACUCAAUUCAACUCAAAUUGUAUAUUGCUAAAUUCAACGUACAUGUAUACAAUUUUACUACUAAAUUCAUCGAUAAACCUUUUUUGCUUUAUCAAUUUUUUAGGUUUACAAACUAUUAUAUUGAAACAUUUGUGUAUAUAAUUUAAAAUGAAUGGUGACAGCUUGUCGCCAUUAGCGGCCAAUUGGCAAGUACUAGUAGUAGUCUGUUGGAUAUAAUCCCUCCAUCCUAAAUAUAUGCAGAAAUCAUCUAUUGAGGAGUAAUUCUUUUUUUCAGUUUAACUAAAAGUAUAAUUUAUUUCGAAAAAAUACUAAAUGCUCAAUCUAAUGAUAUUUAUUAUACACUAUAAACAUUAAUAUAUUUUUAAUAUAAAUAUAAUUAAAAUUUAAAAAUUUGAAGUUUCAUAAAGCGAGAUGUACAGUUAUUUUGGGACAAAAGAAAUAGUCCUAUAAUUAUUUUGUACUACAAAAGUCUGCUCCAUAGGGCACAAGCUUCAACUUUGGCACUACUAGUCAUAGGCUCAUUGCGCAAAGAAAUGGUGGUGGGAGUGGGAUACAUACAUGCUCCUUCUUUUCCCGAUCGAUCGACCUGAUGCUGAUUAUUUUCCUCUGCUGCAUGCAUGCAGUACAUGGUGUUCGCCUGCGCUGACUCCCGUGUGUGCCCGUCGGUGACCCUGGGCCUGAUGCCCGGCGAGGCCUUCACCGUCCGCAACAUCGCCGCCCUGGUCCCAGGCUACGACAAGGUACGUACACACUGACCGUCGUCGCCGACGACACAAAAUGGCCGUCUAUUUCUCCUCGGCCCGGCCGGCCGCCGCCGGCCGGGCAUGACAGAGGAUCGAGGACUGACACGGCCGCGCCUUUCGUAUUCGUCACCUGCAGACCAAGUACACCGGCAUCGGGUCCGCCAUCGAGUACGCCGUGUGCGCCCUCAAGGUGCAGGUGCUCGUCGUCAUUGGCCAUAGCUGCUGCGGUGGCAUCAGGGCGCUCCUCUCCCUCCAGGACGGUGCACCUGACAACUUGUAAGACGCCACCGUAAAAUAUACAAAGUUUCAUUAAGAUAAAACAAAAAUUCUUUUGUACCUCUAUGAUGAUUUUGAUCCCAGCGCAUUUUUAUCUGUUGUUUUUUUUGUGGUGUAUCCAGCCACUUUGUUGAGGACUGGGUCAAGAUUGGCUUCCCUGCCAAGAUGAAGGUGAAGAAAGAGAACGCUUCGGUGCCGUUCGAUGACCAAUGCUACAUUCUAGAGAAGGUAUGUACACCGUACAUGCACGAGCAGUUAGUUGCUGCAUGAAUGGAUUAAUUUUUGCUCACCGGAGAACCUUGUAUUUCUGAAAAUGUUUCUGCAGGAGGCCGUGAAUGUGUCCUUGGAGAACCUCAAGACCUACCCAUUCGUCAAGGAAGGGCUGGCCAACGGUACCUUAAAGCUGGUCGGCGGCCACUAUGACUUCGUGAAAGGAGAGUUCCUCACAUGGAAAGUCUAGAGCUAAGGCACCCGGACGGCCCAACUCCUACAUCAUCAUAAAUUUAUACCACAUAUAUACCUACCGAUAUGCACCCGAUCGAUGCGAAUGCGCGGAGUACUACAUGCAUGUUUUCAGCAACUACAUAUAUACAUACCGGAUCGCCCCAAUGUGAAUGUAAUAAGCAAUAGCAUUUUCAACCGCUUUCAUUUCUAACGCCGAGCUUUUAUGUACUAUAUAUAUAAUAUGAUGCAUAAUUGACCGGCUUGUGGUCAAAAGACAUCAACUAUAAUCCUUUUUUCAUAAUAUUGUUAUGAAGAGUUUACCUCUUUUUUUUGUCAUUAACGGAUCCAGAGAAACAGGCCAGGAGGGCAACACGCCAACACCCUCCGUCCUAAAAUAGAGUGCAUUCUGACAUUUAAGAUGUGUCCCAAAAUAUAGUACAUUCAAGGAACAUGAAGAUAAUAUUUACUUAAAUAAAGUUACGGAAGAGGAAAGUAAUUGAGUGCUUACUAUAUUUUCUAUAAGAAAACUUAGAUUGCAACCUUUAAUCAUACGAAUAAGAUCAUAUUUCAAUAUAUUAGAAAGUUAAGUGAGUAGUACAUGCGUCUAUUGUUUUUUCUCUCUCUCUCUUAUUUUGUCUUAAAUAGCCAUAACGCACUGUAUUGCAGAGCGGAGGGAGUACUUUGGAAGCAUCAAGAGCAAAAUCCAAGGAUGGAAAGCCCCAUAUGAACAACUAAGAUGAUAACUAGAAAUCAUACUCGCCAUACACGAGUACUUUGGAAGCAAGAAGAGCAAAAAUCCAAGGAUAGAAAGCCCCAUAUAAACAACUAAGAUGAUAACCAGAAUUCAUACUCGCCAUACACCAAUAGAUCUAACAAACAGCACUCAAUUCAAAAUGCUUAAUUAGACAAUACAUCAUUAAUGAUAGAAAGGUACUUAAUAAAUAGCUUCCGAUAAUUAAAUGAUCAAAUAUGUUUCACAAUUUCACACCACUUGAACAAGCAUCCUCCAAUCUACAUACAAAAUAAAAUAUCAUGGUUCUUCAAACAACAUGAUAAUAUUAUGGAUUGAAAUGAACUUAUACAACACACACCUUGGUCCCUUGUGUGGCAAAUUUAUCUACAAAUUCUUAAGACCUGUAAGCGGUUACACACUGUCCACACAUGUUCUACGCUUUAAUCAAUUUGAUUGGUUAUCAAACCAUUAUUGAACAAAACCUCUUGAUUAACUUUUAGUUUUACUCUCUUUUGUUGUUCUUUUAGUUUUACCCUCUUUCGUCUAGAGACGACGACUCCUUUCCCUAUUUCUCGCGAGGAUUCCUCUAUUAGGGGACAGAGAUAAGACCAAAUUAACCCCCAUAGGUAACUAAACAGAACCAAAUCUAUCCACUUGUAUCUACUGGGGCUGGGGCCGGGAAGCUUUCCUCGUACCUGCUCCUUGUCAAGCCCUCUUUAGCCGACUCUUCAUCUAGCUAUCAAUCUGACACAAUUGCAUCCAUCCAUCUUUGAUUCUUAUCUUAUACUAGAUAAUGGCUCGUGUAUUGUUGUGCACACACAAAAUUUUAAUCGAAUAACUUUUUUUACCAAAAUGAACUAAAAUAAACUUUUAUAUAGGUAUAAAAUUUAAAUUCAGCAUGACAUAGAAUUACCUAUAUUUCAAGUUUUGAGAUCCUUUGCAAUUGAAAAAAAAGGUAUUACACUUUAAUAAACCGUACGUAUCCACAUAUUGUGUUUUGGUGGGGUUCGAAGCAGAAUCCAUGGUGACCUUUGUGUUACAAGCAUUUUAACACCGACCUAGAUAUCAAAAAUCAAGUCCAAAAUAGUAAAAUUGACCAUAACAGUUGGAAUAAAAACGCAGCUUUAGCUUGAAAUAACUUGCAGGUAUUCAUGAUCAGAUUGAUCAAGAUAUUCAUGAUCAAGGAACGCACAAGGAAAAUGCUGAGUACAACCAAACUUGUACAGUUGUACUUAAGUAACAAUGACCUAUACAAUUGACUUAUACCAUUGACUUUUACCUGUACAGUUGCAAUCAAGUAUGGUACUUAUUUGAAAACAUAGCAAUCCAUUUCAAUGUAAAUGUAUUGAACCUUGAAAAAUAAUUUCGAGGAUUACAUAGUACAACAUAGACGUCUACAACAUGCACGCAUACUCACACUAAUGAAUACACAUACGCAAACCAUACUCAUAUGAGCAUCUCCGAAGAAUUAAGCUGACAGAUCAUCUCGAGAUUCACAAAGUCAUUAAAGGCGUCUCGUUCUCGACGGGGACGUCACCUACCACUGGAAACAUAGCGUCGUUAAAUCUUGAAAUAAAUUUAGAAAAACAUGAGCACCCAUGCUAAGUCGACGAGGUGUUUGGGACUGCUCUGCUCCACUUUUUUCAGCUCCGCUCCACGUUUUUUAGCCAAACGGUUUCAGCUCCACGCACUGAGUUCGAGAAAAAAAAGUGGAGUUGUGAGAGCACCUAAAGAGGUACUCCACGAACUCCAGUUUUUUGUAGAGCUACUUCAUAGUGGAGUUUGUGAAGCAGAGUUCGUGGAGCAGUGCCAAACACCCCCUUAAACCUAGAUGGACAAGUUAACGUGAAAAAAUAGUUUAAUUUGCACUCCAGUCUUAUAGAUUUUUUUUGCGAGGACCAAUCUUAUAGAUCUAUAGUAAUUGAUUUUAUCUAGACAAUGUCUAAUAUUGCCACGUAGAACAAAUUAGCACCACCAGCAGAGAAACUUUAGAAAGAAGAUAUAUAAAUCAUAAGUUAUUCUAACUUUUUAAGUCAAAGCAUAUUAGUUGACCAAUUUUAUAGAAAAAUCUUAAAAGUUUUAUGAUAUUAAAUAGGUAUAUUAUAAAAAUAUAAUUAAUAAAAAUUUUAAUAAUACUUAUUUAAUAUUAUAAAGGUUUUAUAUUAUAUAAUAAAUUUUGUUAGAUUUGAGGUGAGUUGGAAUAAGUUAUAAUUUAGAAUGGAUAUUGUAGCUAGUAGAAGUACUCCCUCUAUUCUUGAAAGAUACAAUUUCUAGAGUUGUCUUAAAUCAAACUUUUAAAACUUUAACCGAAUUUCUAGAAAAAAGGUUAAGAUUUAUAGUAGUAAAUUGAUACCAUUAGAUCUAUCAUAGAAUAUAUUUUUAUAAAAUACUUAUUUUAUGAUAUAAAUAUUGAUGCUUUUUUGUAAAGAUCAUUAAAUUUUAAAAAAAUUAACCAACACGAAUUCUAGAAGUUGAAACUUUCAAUAAGGUCUUGUUUAGUUCACCCCAAAAACCAAAAUCUUUUCAAGAUUCCCCGUCACAUCGAAUCUUAUGGUACAUGCAUGGAGUAUUAAAUAUAGAUAAAAAUAAAAACUAAUUGUACAGUUUACCUGUAAAUCACGAGAUGAAUCUUUUAAGCCUAGUUACUCUACGAUUGGAUAAUGUUUGUCAAAUAAAAACGAAAAUACUACAGUUCCGAAAAUUUUUCAGUUUUCGAAACUAAACAAGGGCUAAAGAGUAGUGUUUAUGACAAAAGGAAAAAAAAAAAGAUCGGCACUUGGCACCCGGCCACCCGCCCUCCACCCUAGGCCCGACGCGACCCGACCCCCACCUAGACCGGUCUCGGUCGGACUCUCGGCGUCUCUCGCCACGCGCGGGCGCGCCGCAAACAGUCCUCCGCCCGCCGUCGUACCACCCCCACCCGUGCUUCCUCCGUCGGUUGGCUGCAACAAGUCGGCAGCGCCGCGCCCGCCUCCCGACGCCCCAAGCCCCCAAUCGCUCCUCCUCCAUUUCCCACCCAUCCAGAAGUCCGCCGGCGCAGAGGGACCAGGGUUCGCCGCCAGCAGAUGCAGUUGCAGGAGCAGGGUUCGCCGCCAGCGCCAGUAGACGCAGGAGCUCGGCGGAUCCACAUCGGAGGCGAGCUGAUCCUCUACAGAAGGUGCCCCGCUGCUCCUCCCGUAGUCCUGCUGCUCCCGUAUUUGAUUAAUUUCUCCGGCUGCGAAUCGACUCAUGGGGGAAGAAACAGUUUUAGACGACAACGCCCUGGCUUUCUCGGCGGGUACGUAAUCCCCGUCCAGGGACGGGGAUGGGGAUGGGGUGAAAGUGAAAAACCCUCCCCUGCGAGGUUUUACGGGGACGAGGACGGGGAUGGGGAAGCGUUCCCCGACGGCGAAUUUCCCGUUGCCAUCCGCUCGUCUGUGAUGCUGGAUACGACGAGGCCAUGGCCAUCGAGGCCCAUCUACCACAACGACGACGGCACUGCCUUUCUUCCAUGGCCACCCGUGGUUUCGCUGAAUCAGUGGUCCCAAACUGUCAUUUUGGAGUCGUUAUUUCUCCUCCUCCAAAACGCGAGGAGUAGCCAUCGACAUUCCGCUCGCUCAGGCGUUUAAUUUUGUCCACAAAAGCCGGGAUCAGCCGUUACUGGGCGUCUCUUUCUCUCGCUGAAACGAUUGCACGUGUCCUGUUGCUAGUAAUAAACUGGACAACGAGCGGGGCAGCUCAACAAGAGGCACAGCCAAACGAGAGAGAGAGAGAGGAGAGGAGAAAGGGAGGGAGGGCCGCCGCGCAUCCAUCCGUCCGGAGAUAAGAGGGGAGUGGAAGAAAAGAGGAGAAGAUGAGCAGCUGACUUUGCCUCCCCCGUUAUAAAAGGGAGGAGGGGGCAGGGAGGAAGCCGUCCAUAGAUUCCUCCGCCUCGUCACUCCACUCCUUGAGAUUUGAGAACCACAAGGGCCACCCCCCACCCACCCUCCAAGGUCCGUCCCCUCCUCCUCCUCCUCCUCCCUCACCUUCAGCACCAUCCUCUCCAUUCCUCCACACAGCAAUAUCUGUCAAUCCCCCCCGUUUUGUUUUCCUCUGUUGCAAUCAGUAGCGUGUACCCUGUAGCUGUAGCUUCCACUUUCUUGCUGUGUCGUACUGUGAUGGUGCAAAGAAGAUUCCUGUUCCCCCUUUUAGAUCACCUUUGUGCAUGCCUUUUCUUGUGGUCCGUGGGCAAGGAAGGAGGCCGAAAAUUGCAUCAAUGCCCCUCCCUUCUCUCUCUGUCUAUACCCCCUCAUACUGCAUCACGAUCAAGAGCAUGUAUGCAAGUUGGUCUUUCUAGGGAUGGCGAACUGACCGGCGAUUUUCUGGUUAUUCGUCCUGCAGGACAUGGCGGACGCCGUCGACCGCUUGAAGACCGGGUUCAACAAGUUCAAGACCGAGGUCUAUGAGUAAGUCAUCUCUCUACUCGAUCAGAGAGCUGUUGCUUUCUGCAGCCCCGGCGUUUGGUUUAAUCGUUUCAGUUUCAACCCCAUGGUGCUUGCUUUUUUUUUUGGGGGGAACUCUGAGAGCUCCGACUGAUCCUGUGCCUGCUUGAUUUUUGUUUUUUUCGCAGCAAGAAGCCGGAGCUGUUCGAGCCUCUCAAGGCCGGCCAGUCCCCCAAGGUAUGUGCUACUGCCAUACUUCGCUCUCUUCUCACCUCCCUUGUACGCCGCUAAGUUUUUCGUCUCUAGCGACUCCGGCCGGCCAGUUUUCGGUUAUCUGUCGUACUCGUAGGUGCUGCUGCUCCCGUGAUCCUCAGCACAGAUCCUGGAUGGUUAAUUAGACAAAACCGUGUUCAGUAAAUUCGGAUUUUCCGUGGGCCUCUGGGCAACGUCCGACUGGCCCACAGAUUUGGUGCUACUCUUGCUUGCUGGUUGCCCAUCUGCCUCAGAGAACCGCGUCGCUGCUAGUACUAGGCUCUGUAGCUCAUCAGUAUCCCUGCAUUGCAAUGCACUAUUCAUCGUCCACCCUGUCGUGUCCCUGGGUGCGCACGCAGCCACGCCGGUAAGGUGAGGUCAAAGUUGCAGUAGACAAAAGGAAACCUUUGUGCCGGUACCGAGGUCAAAGUUGCAGUAGACAAAAGGAAACGGAUUGUCCUAAUUGCACGGCUUAAAACUGAGGUGACAGCUUGUCGCCAUUAUAUUAGCGGCCAAUUGGCAAGUAGUUCUGUUUGGAUAUACUACAUAACUAGUCCUAUAAUUGCUUUGUGCAACAGUGCAAGUCUGCACCAUAGGGCACAAGCUUCAGCUUUGGCACUACCAGUCAUAGCGCAAAAGAAAUGGUGUAGUGGGAUAUACAUGCAUGCUUGCAAAGCAAAAUCCUUCACAGCUCCCACCGGCCACCACUGUGCCGGGCACUAACCCCAUGUGCGGCAUGCUAGCUGGUGAUUUGCAUUUGUUUGGUAAAUUAUUGAGAUGUCGCCGUCCCUAUAUAGGCUCACUUUGCAGAUGACGGAUAUAGUAGUACGUUAGUAUUAGUAUAUUGAUUUUCCUUCAGUUGACUAGUAUAAACCUGGUGCAAGAAUCUUGCAAGUACAGAGUUUAUUGUUUUAAUUUAUAGGAGUUUUGAGCUGGCAUCGAUCCCAUGCGCCUAAUUAGUAAAUACUUCAUGAAAUGCAUGCAUGCAUGGUAUAGCUAGCUGGUUCUACUGGUUUUUCCUACCCAUGAAAAUUACUAGUAGUCAAAUAUUCUUUGUAGUAAAGGAGAAGAUAAAAGCAGUCUAAUUUGGCGUACUCAGUCUGUGGAAAACAAAGAACUACUCUGCACAUUGUUUGAAUUAUAAUGGUCACUUCCACCUACUAGCCGUGUUGAAUUCUUUUUUUGAACAUAUGGUCACUUUCAUCAUUACAUUUGAAGGGGCAGCAACAGAUGGUGGUGACCAGCCAUUUCAGAUGUCUCAUCAUUUCGAUUUUUUUGUUUGACACUCACAUACACAACACAAACACAAAGAGACGUGAACCCCAAGUCUCCUUUACCUUAUAUGAUAGAACAGAAAUAAUGCAAGGGGAGCCAUGUACUAGAUAAGAACAGGUGUGUAUUAGCAUUCAUCAUUCCAUGGCUAAUGUGUGGUCCAGCCAUGAUUGAGCACAGGCCCCACCAUUCACCUCACGGGAUUCUUCUUUCUUCAUCGUCAGUAUAGAAGAGGAGUAGUUGGUUUGGACGUGUCCUCUCCCCUCUCCUCUCACACCCCUUGCAAAAAAGUUAGGCGCAUAAUUGUUGGGCAGCAGGGCCUAUUGGCGGUUGCUUUAGCAUUGAGAACACUGUGUAUUCGCAUCCAUAUCUCACUGGACAUGCCGAUCCUCGAGAAAAUAUGCUUUACUACACUACAGAUGUAUGUCUCAGAGUAUAUAUACACAAAAAAUAGUGGAAGAUGAUUGCAUUACGCCAUGGGUCCUAAUCACCUUUGUAUCCCCGGGUCCCUUUCCAAAUCAUGGCCUCCCAAGUCCCAAGUGUGAGCUAAUCCAAGCCAGAACAAAUAUUCCAGCGUCCUGCCUCCCGAAGACUCCUGAUGGCUGAUGCUGCUCUUUGCCGUCAAAUUAAAGCUUAAUCUGCACUAUUGAUUUGGACACCCACAUCCCAGGGCCACAUAAACCCGUCACAUGAAAUUCGUUAUCUGUUCAUUCACUUAUAUGCAUAUAUGCAGCCUCCCUUUUGCCUACCAACUUGGCCGGAAAUAUUCUUGCUUGGCAGCCGGGAAUAGGAUAGAUAAGCGUGUUUUUCCUUGGCCGCUGAUCUGCCCCGGGAGCACACGGAAACCAGCUUAGAAUAUCCUCGUCGCAACUUGUACUAGUAGCACGGAAGGAACCUUCCUGCAGCCUGGAUUUUGUCCAUCCUGCCCCUGUAAAAAAAAGAGCAUUGGAACAACAAAGACAGGCGGGUCAAAACUCACAAAAGCUGCCGCCUUUUGGCUUUGGUUGCCAGCUUGCAAAUCCACCACAGCCAGAAUCGUGUAGUACUCCACUGAUCAGGACCGAUCUGCCUACCUGCUUAUCGAUAAGAGCCGUGGGAACUGGACUGAAUUUUGCCGGCUCUCCCUCUUUUCACCGACCUCUGAUGGUGAUCUUCCUCUGCUAACACGCAGUACAUGGUGUUUGCGUGCUCCGACUCCCGUGUGUGCCCGUCGGUGACCCUGGGUCUGCAGCCCGGUGAGGCCUUCACCGUCCGCAACAUCGCCGCCAUGGUCCCAGCCUACGACAAGGUACGCGUCCACACUGACCGACGCAUUGGACGUCUAAUUUUUUCAAGCCCGGCCGCCGUGGAACAUUGACGGACGACUAACAUGGUUGCCUUUCGUUUUUGUCACCUGCAGACCAAGUACACCGGCAUUGGGUCUGCCAUUGAGUACGCCGUGUGCGCCCUCAAGGUGCAGGUCCUCGUCGUCAUUGGCCACAGCUGCUGUGGUGGCAUCAGGGCGCUCCUCUCCCUCCAGGAUGGCGCACCUGACACCUUGUAAGUCAUCAUCCCUAGAAUAUAUACAAAUUUCAUUUAGGUUAAGAAACAAGACUCGUGUGCCUCGAUCGAUCUCGUGUCAUGAAUUUGAUCCUAGCAUUGUUGUCCGUUUGUUUGGUGGUGUAUGUACGCAGCCACUUCGUUGAGGACUGGGUCAGGAUCGGCUUCCCUGCCAAGAUCAAGGUGAAGAAAGAGCACGCUUCGGUGCCGUUCGAUGACCAGUGUUCCAUCCUGGAGAAGGUACGUACACCGUACACGCACGAGCUGUUAGUUAUUGGAUGAAUAAUGGAUUGGUUUUGCUCACCAAAGGACCUUGUAUUUUCUGAAUAUUUGUGCAGGAGGCCGUGAACGUGUCCCUCGACAACCUCAAGACGUACCCCUUCGUCAAGGAAGGGCUGGCCAACGGGACCCUCAGGCUGGUCGGCGGCCACUACAACUUCGUGUCAGGGGAGUUCGACACAUGGGAAAUUAAGAGCUAAGCUGCCCGGCCGGCCGCUUAACAACUCCUACCAUCAUCAUAAAUAUAUAUACUACAUACCUACCGAUAUGCACCCGAUCGAUGUGAAUGCGUGGAGUAUUACUCAUGUUUUCUGCAUGCAGCGACAUAUAUAUAUAUAUACCGGAUCGCCCAAUGUGAAUGUAAUAAGUAAUAGCAUUUUCUACCGCUUUUAUUUCUAACGCCGAGCUUUCAUGUACUAUAUAAUGUGUUAUAUGAUGAGUAAUUUGACCGCCCUGUGGUCAAAAGACAUCAGCUAUAAUCCUUUUUUCGCAAUAUUUAUUAUGAAGCGUUUACCUCUUGUACUGCCUUUACUGUUCAUCUUUUCUGUCUCUCUAUGAAAUGCUGAUAUAUGACACCAUUUAUGUGAG